This 156844-nucleotide long non-coding RNA is filed under the name Medicago truncatula (barrel medic). Its description in RNAcentral is "long non-coding RNA (MTRU_LNC000021)". The record is from RNAcentral. Lineage: Eukaryota; Viridiplantae; Streptophyta; Magnoliopsida; Fabales; Fabaceae.
UCGUUUUCUUUUACCAUUUAAAACUCAUUUAUUUGUCAUUUUUACUUUUCAUUUUUUUGUUUUGUUUAUUAUUAUGUCAUUUUUUUUAUUUUUCUUUGAAAAAAAAAAAAAAGAAAAAAAACAACAAAGAAAGGGGAGUCACUCACGUGACCCUUCCCUCUUUUCUUUCCUCCUUUCUUUUAUUUUAUUAUUAUUAUUAUUAUUAUCUUUUAUUUGUUAAACUUUGUCUCCAAGUUUUCAGCAGGGGCAUUUUUGGUAUUAGUUCUGUGCCUGAGCCAACCCUAGUUUGUCUCUAUAAAUACACUGUCAAUCAUUGAGAAAUGGGUCCGAAAAUCACUGUUCAUGUCAGAAAAAAUCAGCAUCAAUUCACAAACCCUAAUUUUCUACUUUUCCAACCCUUUUUCAAAUCAAGCACAAAAAUUACAAAAAAAAUAGCAUGAGCUUAAGAAGAACAUUCAUGGGUUCAUAGGAGAAAUCCAGCAACACCAAAACUUUGACAAAACCUCAAAUCCAUUCAUAUAACCACACAAAUCACAAACAAGCAUAAACAAGCCAAAACCGAACCGAAGCAAUCAAAACCGGACCGGACCGGAGAAAAGAGCGCGCGAACCGCACCGGAAAGGAAGAAGAGGAGGCCGAACCGGAGCAAGGGGAGAAAAACGUGAAGCUCUCCAUUAGAGGUAACUUUUGAUCCUUUCCACCUCUUGUGUAGUGUUGCUAGUGUUUUUGGUUAUUUUGUAUGAAGUUUUGUUUGAAGCUAAGAUUGUAGAUCUAGGAUUUUUGGUGCAUGUUUUCGAAAUUAUGAGUUUAGAUUUGAGUAGAGGAAGGGAAGAGGAUUGUUUUGGUGCAAAAAUUUUCAAAAAAAAAGCAAAAAAAAACUCCGGCGCGGCGGCGCUCCGGCCGACCACCACGCCGGAGCAGCUCCGGCCGCCCCUCCCCCACCUUCUUCUCCGGCGAGCUUUGUAGAGAGAAGGGGGAGCUUCUCUCUCUAGGUUUUUUUUAGAAAGAGGAAUUGUGUGAUUUGUGUUGUGUUUUUUUUGUUAAAACCCUUUUAUAGUGCUUUCUUUUUUUGGUUUGGUCUUGUGCACAUGCGCAUACUGCAAUUCAGUGCUCCAUCGCGUUACAGCCCUUGGAUCUGGAUCAUUCCUUGAUCUGAGGGCUCCUGUGUAUCUUGAUCUUGGAUCAUGUGUGUGUUAUUCUGCGUGAAUGUAGUGUAGUUUCUGUUUGGACCGUCAGAUCGUUGAUCUGACGGUCACUGUGUUUUCAGUAUAAUCCCUUUGUUUCUAUGUUGUUUUUGUGACCCUUGGAUCGUUGGAUCCAAUGGCUGUGAUGAGAUCUUGGGAUUCAGAUCUGGACCUCUGGAUUCAUCCAACGGUCCAGAUUAAAUCCUGCUGAGCCAAUUUUGUAUUUUCUUUUUUUUUAAUUGUUCUUUAUCAUUUUUAAAGACUUUUUACACUUUUUUUUUACAUUUUAAUGCUUUUAAAAAUUCCAAAAAUAUUGUUCUUAUCAUCUUAAUUUUCUCUAAUUUUAAGAAUCCCUCCUAUUUGUUUUCUUUUAAAAUUUUUUUAUUUAUUUCUUAUAUGAUGAUUUUAAUUGUUGCUUGUCUUUAUUCCUUGCUUUUUAUUUCUUAUGUCUCAUUCACCAUGAUAUUUCUUAUGUUACUAACGAUUUAAUUUUUGUCUUGAAUCAUAACAUGUACAUUUAAUUUUCUCAUCAUUUUAUUUCGUCAUUGACUUAGUGUGUAUAAAUAAGGAAUUGAUGUAAUUUUAUUUCUUGCAUUUUAUUUUGGCAUAAAGGCCUUAGGGUUGUAUUUAGGAAUUGAUGUAAUAAUGUAGGUAACACAAGCACCGACACACGCACCGACACCAUCACGAUUUAUUUACCGCUUUCCGUUCGCUUUUACGACGUUACGUUAGUUUUCACCGUUAGUUUAGAAAAAUCAUUUUUCUCAAAAAAAAUCAAAUAUGCAAAACUUCAAAAUCAUUUUCUUAAUAAUUUUUUUUUUUCUUUUAUUUCUUAAUCAAACUUUCAAUUAACCUCACUCAUUUCUUUUAUCUCAUGCCUUGAGGCCUCUUUCUCUUCUUAAAACCAUUUUCAAAAAUCUUAAAACCAACCUAACCCACCAAAGAAAUUUUUUAGUGGAACUACGUCGGUUUUGAUCCCUUUCUCAAAAAAAGGGGUACGUAGGCAGAGGACUUGUCCUUCCAAAUCAAAUAAAAAUAACCAAAAACAUACUUCUUCUCCCUCCAUUCUUUCACUUAGAUUUUAGGUAAUAAUUUUUCAAGUAAGCAAAUGAAUUUAGCACAAGAUAAUCUAGGUAAGCGGUUCCUUCGGAAUACCGAAGUCGUUUAGGGUGCUUAACACCUUCCCUAUUCGAAACCAACCCCCGAAUCCAAAGUCUCGAAAAGGGUUUUUACUCAUUUUUUCCCUUCCCAAGAAUAAAGAUCGAGAGUUCAAAGAUUGACGAUUCAAAUCAAUCGAUGGUUUGAUAUCCGAAAAUCGAGGAGCACAAACUUGUUUACUUAGAUUUUUUUUCUUGAACAAACAAAAAUGGAUUAUAUUAACAUUAAUAAAACAGUCUCCUUAGACAUACCGAAGAGAGAAAUCACGAACAAGUUAGCCGAUACACAAACAUAUAAGGGGACUCGACCACAACAUAUGAGUACCAAAAACAAAAUUAGCCUUUUUAGUCUUCAUCCAUCGUAGAGAGUAUGACUUUAUUUUAUCUAGUAGAACUUUCUUAUUCUUAAAUAACAUGCUAUUACGUUCAUUUCACACAACCCAAACAUUUCACACAACCCAAACACACAUAAGCCAUAUAAGUUGUAGGAAAGAACGCCGCGACCAACUAUGUAGUAAAUAAAUUGAGUGAAAUGAUCUGAAAUAACUUAAAUGUCCGCCACAUCAAAGCCAAUCCACGCCCACACCAACGGCCAAAGAGAGUUGAAGGUUCUGCACGUUAGGAACAGGUGCUGAGAGCCCUAAACAUGACCACAACCAGCCACACACCAUCAAAGCCAAUCCACUUGUUUAUUUAAGAAAGAUGAUCAAAUUCAAUGGUUUAUUUUUGGUUUCUAGAAAGGAAGGUGUGAUUUGUUAUUUAUAAUGGAAAGUUGAAUACACCAACAAUGAAGUGAUAAAUAAAUUUGGGUUCCUUAAACAAGUGUUGAGAGGAUUUGAUCACCGACUCUUGCGUAUCGACAAAAAAUAAUUAUUUGUAAGCGGCAGUCGAAACUUCGUACUUAUAAUAUGGUAAAAAAAAUUGAAAAUUGGAAUAGAAAUAACUUAGGCUUAAUACAUGCUUUGGUCCCUUAACUUGUUUUUGGUUUUCAUUUUGAUCCCCUAAUUAUAAAGUGUUUCAAUUUGAUCCCAUAACUCUUUUACCGUUUACUAUUUUGGUCCUUUUCGUUAGUUUUUUUCAAAAAUCGUAACCCAUUAUCCACGUAUCACUUAAGAUGGAUGAUCAAGGGUUGGAUUUAGAAAGCGCACAUAUAUACAACGAACUCACAACAUAUGAUUAUUUCUAUUAAAUUACCUAAAAAUAAAAAUUAAAAUAGAAAUAAAAAAAUAUAAAAAAAUUCUCUUCUCUCCUAUCUGUUCCUUUCGUCCUCUUCAUUCUUUUUUCUUUCAAAAUAGGAACAUAUUUGUGUGUUCUUUAUCCAUAGUUCCUGCAACUCAAAAUUCAACACAUACCCAUUUUAAUCCAUCCACAAAUUCAUACCCAUUUUAAAUUCAGAUCUACAAUUCAUUAAGAAGAAAAAAAACCCAGAUCAUCAAUCCGAUCCGAGUUCGAAGAUGAAGGAGAUCGCUUUUCAUUUUUAGAAAAAAAAAAUCCACCGCUGCAAUUCCUUACAUGAGCUUGAGAGUCUUUGAUUUGUAUGUCUGUUUGAUGAAAGGGUUGUUGAGUGGAAUGUGGAUGAUCUAUUUUGUUAUGAAUGAUUUUAGAAAAUGAUUUCCUUUGGGUUUAACAAAGAUGAAUGAGAAAGAUGAGAAGGAGAAGAAAUUUCGGUUGCUGGGAAUCAUCCUUGCAUGCCUGUUCGUUUUUCUCUUUCCUUUUUAUUUUUAAAUUCAAGAAAUUCACAUAUGGCUUUUUUUGUUCUGCAAAUUGAAUGUUUUGAUUUUGUUUUUGCAAUCUUUUUUUAAAUUUGAUGUGUGUUGGGGUUUCUGGAAAAUAGCUGCGCUCCUGAUUUUCGGAUAUCAAACCAUUAAUUGAUUUGAAUCUUCAAUCUUUGAAUUCUCGAUUUUUAUUCGUGGGAAGGGAAAAAAAUGAGUAAAAACCCUUAUCGAGACUUUGGAUUCGGGGGUUGGUUAUGCGAAGGGAAGGUGCUAGCACCCUAAGCGUCUACGGUAUUCCAUAGGAACCUCUUACCUAAUUUAUCUUGUGCUAAAUUGAUUUGCUUAUUUGAAAAUUAUUACCUAAAAGUCUAAGUGAAAGAAUGGAGGGAGAAGAAGUAUGUUUUUGGUUAUUUUUAUUUGAUUUGGAAGGAUAAAAAUCCUAUGCAUACAUACCCUUAAAGAAAAGGGAUCAAAACCAAUGUAGUUCACCUAAAAAGUUUCUUUUUGGUGGGUUAGGUUGAUUUUAAGAUUUUUGAAAAUGAGUUUUAAGAAGAGAAAGAGGCCUCCAGGUGAGAUAAAGGAAACAAGUGAGGUUGAUUGAUUUUAGAGUUUAAAAAUGGUUGAAGUUGAAUUAAGAUUGAUUGAGAAUUUGAUUAAGAAAAUAAAGAGAAAAUGUUGUUAAGAAAAUGAUUUUUGAAUUUGACAUGUUUAGGUUUUUUGAUAAAAAAGUUUUUUUUUAAACUAACGGUAAGCUAACGUAACGACGUACAAGAAAUAAAUGUGAAGUGUCGGUGCAUGUGUCGGUGCUUGUGUUACCUACAUUAUUACAUCAAUUCCUAAAUACAACCCUAAGGCCUUUAUGCCGAAAUAAAAUGCAAGAAAUAAAACUUACAUCAAUUUUCUAUUUAUACACACUAAGUCAAUGACAAAAUAAAAUGAUGAGAAAAUUAAAUUUGCAUGCUAUGAUUCAAAACAAAGAUUAAAUCGUUAGUAAGCAUAAGGAAAAUUGUGAUGAAUGAGUCAUAAGAAGUAAUAAGCAAAAAAUUAAGAAUAGACAUGUGAAAAUAACAAGUAACAAUUAAAAUUAUCAUAUAAAGACACAAUUGAAAGCAAGUGAAGAAAUGAGCAAAAAAUUAAAAGAAACGAGUAGGAUGAAUUUUUUUGAGAAUUAGAGAAAACUAAGAUGAUAAGAACAAUAUUUUUUGGAAUUUUUUUUUAUUUGAAUGUUUUUGUUAUUUUGAAUGAUAUAUAAAACUAACGUAGCAAUGAAAUAAAAGUAUGAGAAUUUUGUAGUUAGAGAAUUUUGUAGUGACGUUGGAUCACCACCAAAUCUUUUUUUUUUCUUUUUUUGUAUUUUUUUAUAACAUAAAGCAAAACAAAAAUAAAAUAAAAUACCUUGAAACCGAAAGGGACAGAAAGGAGUAGAAAAAGAAGAAAGACUCGUCAACACAAGUCAAAAGAGGGAGAAGAGAAGAAAAGCACAGGAAGCAUCAAUUGUGUAUUUCGGUGUGUUGAAUGCAUUGUGUGAGCCCUCUAUUUAUAGAGAAACUUCCGAACUAAUAGGUGAGAAACUUUGGAAACAAGUAAUUCAUCUAGUACAAAAAUAUGCCAAUUGUCUACCAAAAUAUAUCAUAUUGAGUACAAAAAUAUAUUAUUCAAGUACAUAAAUAUAUAUUAUUGAGUAUCAAAAUAUAUUUCAGAUCAAGCACUAAAAUAUAUUAGAUUGCCUACCAAAAUAUAUCAUAUUGAGUACAAAAAUAUAUUAUUCAGUACAUAAAUAUGUUAUUUAGUACAUAAAUAUAUAUUAUUGAGUAUCAAAAUAUAUUUCAGAUCAAGCACUAAAAUAUAUUAGAUUACCUACCAAAAUAUUUUAGAUUGUGUUCCAAAAUAUUCUAGAUUGCGAUCUAAAAUAAUUUAGCAAAACUUGGGGACAAGAAAGCACUUUUUAAUAAUGACCAAAUUAAUUAUUUAAUUUAUCAUUUGCAAAUAAAAUUUUUCUAGCGCUUACUUCGUUCACACAAUUAUGUACCCCCAUUGUAUAAUCUUAGGUCAAAAAUUGGGGUAUCUCUGCCGAAAUUUCGUCUAAAACGACGGACAUUUUCGAUUUUAAAAGUACGAACGAAAUGUGUAAAAAUAGAGAAAAGUGGUCAAAAUUUGGGGUAUGACAAUAGCUAUGGAAUUUUAUAAUUUUAUGGAUUUUUAUUUAAGAUGAAGAUGAAUAAAGAUGCAGGUGAAGAAGAUUGAUAGGGGAAGAAGAUGAAGAAAAUAAUUAGGUGGUUGUUGUUCAUUAUAAGCUACAAUAGAUUCCUCCGUGAUCCAACAAUCUUCAUUUUUAAAAAAGAUCAAACGGUUAAAAUUAAAAAAUUUAAUAAAAUCUAUGGUAGAUCCUUAUAAGUUGGUUCACCUUAGACAUUUAAGGUUAAAAAAUAACAGAGGAGACCACAAUUGUAAACGGUAGAAGAGUUAUAGGACUAAAUUGAGACACUUUAUAAUUAUAAUUAGGGGAUCAAAAUGAAAACAAAAAAUAAGUUAAAGGACCAAAGCAUGUAUUAAGCCAAUAAUUUAACUUUUUUGCUAAAAAUUUUUGGACAAAAUAUCAUGUACUAUAAUGGAAAAAUAAAUAGCCAAUCUAAUUGAGAUGUUGGUGUUUCCUUCUAAUGUCUAUCCUUACUCGCUGCUUAGCCAAAAAAAUGGAAAAAUAAAUAUAAAUAAUUUGACUUUUGCUACUAACUUUUUUUGACCAAAACCAAUUACAUUUAUUACAAUACCACACAUGUGUUGUAAUUUAAAAAUCAUAUCUAGAAACAACUAUAAUGCUUGACCAAAAAAAAAGGAAUUUAAAAUGCUAUAAGUGUCCAAUCACUGAUUUGGUAAAGUGUUCAUAAAAUGUUUAUUAUAGAUGCACACAGCGAAGGGAAGUUCAUGAAACCUUGUCAUGUAUAUCUCAAAUAAAUAAAAAUAUUAACUAAAUUAAUAGAAAAAUAAUAUUUAUUAUAAUUUAUUUUUCUUAUGGCCAAUUGUUAGUAGUUAGUUUUUACAUUAACAUAUAUCACACGAGUUUGAACUUUGAACCUCUAACUCCUUAACCCUUAAUUCAAAUAAGUUGAGAUACCUAUUCCCUAUCAUUUACGUUCCACACUCCGUUUCAUUUUGAUGAGAUAUUGGUUUUUACACAUGGAUGAAAAUUAAUAAAUUUGAAUUUUAAUAAACUCGAAAUAAAACUGAAUUUAUUCAAAUGAACUCGAUAAACUCUCAAAAGAAACUAUCAAAAGUUUUUUUUUUCAUCUCAUUUUCCACAUUUGGUUCAUUUUCUUCUUUGUUAGAUUGAACUUUUAAAAGAAUUAUUGAUGUAUUAAUAAUAUAUAUACAAUAUGAUGUAAAUUUGGACUAUUCUCCGAAUAGAGUUUAGAAAUCAAUUUCACAUACCUAUUUGAAAUGUAAUUUUUUUUUUAAAUUACUAGAUACAUUUAUUAUUAUUUUUUUCUAAACAUAUUUCUAAUUAAUACUAUUAACUUGUCUUGAAAUAUAAAAAGUCAAAUUUAAUACACAUAUAAAUAAAUGACAAUUUAACAUUAAAACACAAAAUAGACACAUUAAUUACACUACCAACUUUUCAUAAGAAAUGUGAAAAAAGCAAAGGGGGCUUACAUCUACCUCCGUCCAAAAUUAUAAAUCGCUUUGGAGAAAAAAUUCAUAAAUUAUAAGUCGCUUUACAAUAGCAAUAAAACAUUAAUGUUACUUUUACAAUAACACACCUUUAACUAUUUAUAAAUUUCUUUUCUUUCAAUCCUUUAAUGAUGAAUGCUAACAACACACAUUUUUCGACACACUCUCUUUGAUCGGUUAAAAUUCGCAUGGGUCCCACCAAAUUAUGUGGGACCUAUAUAAAUUUGGUGGAUCCCAUGUGAAUUUUAAUCAAUCAAAGAGAGUGUGUUGAAAAGUGUGUGUUGCUAGCAUUUCUCAUUCUUUAAUUUAUUUUUCCCAUAACAUUAAUUAAGGAAUAUUUUAUAAAACAAGUUAUAAUAUAUAUUUCUCAUACAAAAUUAAUUACAUUUCUUUAUACAUGUGAAAUGCUUUAAGCUCAUGUAAUUUAGAACGGAGGGAGUACAAUUUUGACAACUUUAAUUAUCAUCAAUAAUGUAUGAGAAGUCUUUGUAUUGUAAUACAUUAAAUUUUCGUCAAAUAGUCAAAAUAUUUAUCGCAAACAUUUAAAUUUUCUAAUAGGAAAAUGCUAACUAGUGUCUCAAGGGCAUUGGUUAAGCAUCCAAAACAAGUAAGUUUACAUGAAAAAGUUGUGUAAUCAUUGAAUGAUAAAAAAUAACAUGUUAUAUUUCUAAGAUAAAUUUUUUACUUAGAGAUUCCUUAACCAUUGUGCUGAGGACAAUGGUUAGCAAGAACAUGUCUAAUAUAAUUGCAAAAUAAUACAUAAGAGCAUUACCACACUAGUUAUUAUAAGAGUAGUGAUAUUUAAACAAUCAUUUGGAACAACUUAUGUGACAACUUCUUUUUUCUCUCUUUUCAUUGGUCAAAAUCAAUGGAAAGAGAAAAAGGAAGAGAGAGAAUAAAAAUAUAAUGUGAAUAUGAGAGAGAAAGUUAUCAAAAAGUUGUACUAAAGUGAUUGUACAAAUAUCAUUUCUCUUAUUAUAAAUACAAGGUAGGAGAUGGUUUCAGUUUCAGUGCACAUCACCAACAAGAACAAAGAGUGAAAUUACUCUCCUCACACAAUUUUGAUUUUUGGUUCAUCUAUAGUUGGCAUUUUUUGACUCAUUGUAACAUUUUCCAACUCCAAAUUCCCAAAGGUAAACUCCAAAAAUCUAAAUCAAAACGUAAACUCAUUGUUACAUUUUGCUUGGUUUUACUCAAAAAAAAAAAAAAAAAAACCAUAUGCUUGGUUUUUUGGGAUUAUAGAACAUGCAUGUACCAUAGUCCAAGACCAUGAUGCUUGUAUUCAAUUUAUAAUUCUUUCAUACCAUUUUUUUCUUCUUAUAUGUGACAACUAAAACUAUAGACAAUUAUUGGAUUUUUGAAAAUUAGAUUCAAACAUGGAUGCAUCAACAUGUCCAACUGCUGAUGCAAUCAGAGCUUUCCUUGAAUACUUGGUAGAUCCAUUGCUGCAAGAAGAUCAUUCUACCAAUGAUGAUCUUCCACUAUCACAACAUGAAAAAGUUGCAAACCAGGUUUGUUUUUUUCAUUCACCUUGCAACUUUAUUUUAAUGGCAAUCCAAACAUUAACUAAUACUUCUUGGUGACUAUUUGGACAUGAUUUUUGUUACGCCUUUUUAAACAAAAUUAUUUUAAAUUUCAUUAAUUAACAUUUAAUGGAAGUCGAUUUAAACUUGAGGUGAUUGCUCAGUUGUACGAGCUUAGCCUUGUUACCUCCAGGUAAAGAGGUAAAGAGUUCAAAAUCCCCUCAAAGACGGUUAUGAAUUGGUCAUUAGUGCCAAUAUUUUAAAAAAUGUUCUCAUUUGAUUUUAAAAUUGAAAGAUUAGUUAACAUGAAAUUGAAGUUCUUAUUUGAUUUUAAUAUCUAAUUGAAGUUCAUGAUUUUAACAUCUACUUAAGGUUCCUAUUAGAUAUGGCAAUCCAAAGAUUAAUUAACAUCUAAUUGAAGUUCCUAUUUGAUUUAAAAGUUGAAGAUCCACAAGUAUUUAAUUAUAUGAUUAUGGUGUAGGUGCAUGCAGUCGUGUUAUUGAACAACUACUACCACAUAAAACUGAAUCAAGAGCUAGCAUUUUUGCCAUAUAGGGAAUUUUGCAAGAUCAUUGUGGAUCUGAGACCACCACUGUCAGCAUAUAUGAAAUUCAUGUUGCAGCCUGAUUAUGCUGAGCUCGUUGACGUGGAACAGAAACUUUCAUUAACUGAAAAGGCGAUCAUGAGUUCCCAUGAUAUAUGUUUAUCUUUAGAUGCAUCGAAACAUGUUCCUAAUAUUGAGGGUUGGCCCAUUUCAAAAGUUGCGGUCCUUUUGGUUGAUAGUAAGAAGGAAAACUGCUUCUUGCGUUUUAAUUCCUUCACUGAUGGAGUAUGGUCAUUGAUUGAAAAAGAUGUUGAUACUUCAUAUCAAAUUGCUGAAGUUACAAGUGAGAUCAAAUCUCCAUACAAAAGAAGAGGAGUAAUUAUGAAGCGUUCGAAAGUCAUAUUAAAUGAAGAUCAACUCUUGCAAGUUGGAUAUUCUGCUGUUAAGGAAGCUGCAAGUAAUUAUCUUUCUUUUACAUAAAUAUUGCAUUAGAGCACUCAUAGUGUACACUUUUUUUAUGUUUUCUAUAUAUCUUGAGGUUCAUAUCAGGACAUGCUUUGUUUUUCGUUAUUUUCUGUAUAGUAAAGACUUUUAACAUGCAUUUUUUGACUCAUAAAAGUCGAAUAUGAUUCUUAUAUAGCGAUUUCAUAUUUCCCUUGUGAAUAGGUGUCAAUAGUAUUGAUAUGAUGCUUUUGGGAAGUUACAAUGUGUAUUCCCAGAGCAAAGAGAGGACAGCUUCUCGCUUUUAUAUAAUGAAGUGCUCACAGUCGAUCGUUGAAGGGUUUACUAAAGUUCCUAUCAAAGAUUUAAUUGAAAGGUUCGUUACAAUCAAUAUGGCUUUUCUAUAACAAAAUUUUUGUGUGUUUCUCUAUAACAUUUGAUAUCUCAUCUUUGUAUAGCUUUCGAGGUCCUUUGGUCAAAAGAAGUUCUAGCAGUUGGAAGACCACCCCAGUUGUCAAGUACUUCCACAUGCUUCCUUAUUCUGAAAUAAUCUCAGAAUGGAUUUCUAGGUUGGUAUAAUUCACAUUUCCCAUUUUCUGAUGCUAAAUUCAUAUUGAUUUACAGUAAUGAAUAUUGACCUCACAAUUAGAAGCCUCGUAAACAUUGCAUAAGUUUGAUUAAAUUAUUUCUCAUUUCCAUCUUACGUUUUCGUUUCACCUUUUCCAUAAAAUAAUGAUUGAUAUUUGCAUAAAAUAUCUUUGCAGAGAAGCUUUCUCAAAUAGUUUGCAAGAUUUAAACGUGGCAGAGAAACAAUUCUCAAAGGUUAAAGUGAGAGAAUCACAUGUAAGUAGUAAGGGCUUGUAUAUUGAUAACAAGUUGUGCAGAUAUUUUAUACAAUGUUUUUCAAGGCCAUAUUUCACCCAACUACAUGCCAUUGGAUAUAUUGGCAGGUUGAGAAGGUUUGUUCAACAAGGAUGCACAUCAGUAAGGAUGGAAUCAAGGAUCAACCGGCUUCAGAUACCAUUUCUAAAAAUGAAUUUGAAGGAUGUGCAAGUAAUGUCACCAGGAAAAACAAAAAAGAUCGAAAGCAAAUAGGAUCCCAUGAUACAAAUCAAGAGGGACCUAAUACAAGAGACAAAAAUGGUCCAAUAAAGGUGGGUACAAAUUCUAGUGAUACACCAAAUCAAAGGCCUAAGAGAUUGAUCAAGAGACCUAGCAGAUUCAAUACUUAAAUGUAUCUCUAUAAGCAUUCAAGGAAGAGGGUAAAUCCAUGAGCUGAUACAAAUAUCUCUAGUACCAUUAGUACCUGAAAAAGGAUAAGAAUAAAAAUAGUUAGCAAUUUUCUUUUAUAUUUUUAAUCAAUGGGAUGAAGACAAUUAGUGUCUCAAUAUCCUAUAUCCUAGGAAGAAUUGUAUCGUCUCUAGCAUUAUAUGAAUCGUGUUUGCGUUUGGACUUGAUCAUAUUUUUGUUUCUUGCUUUAUCUUUCUAGUUUUGGUUUUACCAUGUUAACUUGGAAAUUUCUAGUUUCCUUGUUUUCCUAGAAUUAAAUAAAUGUGUGGUUCAUAAUUUCUCUACAUGGCUUGAAUUGGACUACGCACACACGACGACAGUGUCUGCAUUCAUAAGGAAACACAAUGAAGACGUUCAAGAAUGAUAAGUGAUAAAUAAAUCAAAAGAUCGUAUCCAACCGCAAAAUGAAGAUGAAACUAACAAUAGAUAUUUUCCAUGUUUAAAAGCAUCAAAAAAUAAUUCACAAGUAGAACUCAUGAAAUGAAUAAACAUGUGUUCUAGUCCAUCAUCCUGAAGUUGUCCAAUACAAUGCUACAAUUUUUUUUUUUAGGGAAUACAAUGCUACCAUUAUUCUUGUUGUAACUUUUUUAUUUAUUUCUAAUGGUAAUGGUAAUUGUAAAGGUGACAAAAGUGUUGCUAUAAUCCUAAGAACAUCUUAAAAAUGGUAAUGGUAAUGAUAUGUCUCAAGGGCACAAGUUAAGGAAUUUAAAAUAUAAAUAAUUGUUUUAAAAAUUGUGCAUUCAAUUUUAGUCAACUUUAACUGUGGCAUAGUUAAGUGGAUGAGCACAGACCUUGAUCCGAUAUCAACUGAAGGUGAGAAAAAUACAAAAGGGAGAUUGAAUUAUGUUGGCUUUUUCAAAUUUCUCCAGUGUUUUAGUAUUGGUCAGAGUUUGAAGUGUAAAGUCUAACUAAGAGUUUGAUAGCAGCGUAAAACACACACACACACACACAUACAGAGAUAGAGAGAGAGAUAUUAUGCUGAUUCCUCCUACAAUCCGGGAGUUGUUCAUCCCCCUUGCGUUUCCAAGGAAUUUUUACUAUAAUUACAACUGAUUACAAAUGUUCAAGGACACAACCAAGAGACUUCAUAUGCUCAACCACACAAGAAAGAGACUUCCAAAUGCUCAAUCGCAACUGAAAGAGACUUUUAAGAGUCUACAAAUAAACGUGUUUUCUUACACUUGGCAUACAAUGAGAGGUGUAAACAAUUAAAAUCAGAACAGACUCUAUGACUUAGAAUUUCUAAAAUAUGAACUUAGUAAGAAAUUCUAAAGUGUUCUAUGCGCAUUUGAAUUUGACAUAGUAAGGGCACAUUUAAAAUAGCAGAGUCUUAUUUUUAUUCUUCAACUCCUUAUAUAUGCAAUGAUUUGAGAGACGUUGGACAAGUGUCAACGCAUUAAGAUUCGUUGAGAAGCUUCACAUCAAAGACGUUAGAAUAUUAUAUGGUAUGGAUAAUAUCAUUGAUUAGACAUUUGAAAUUCCUUUACUGCAAUUAGAAUUACCCGUUCAUUCCUUUUGUACUUGAAGUUCUUUGUUUGUAUCUGCACGUGGUUACAAGAAGACAAAAUGUACUAUCAGAGUCUGAUAAAGACAGCUUCAGAAAAAGACAAAUCUAACGUGGCUUAUGGGUUCCUCAGAAACUUCUGUCUUUCAGAGUCUAAUGUUCUUCAGAGUCUGAUGGUCUUCAAAGUCUGGUGGUCUUCAUAGUCUAGUGGCCUUCAGAGUUUGGUGGUCUUCAGAGUCUGAUGGUCUUUAGAGUGCACAUGUGAAUAUAUAUUAGCAUAUCCAAUUGUUCUUUAAUACUUUGUUAUCAUCAAAACUUUAUAGGUACUGUACAAAUUCAAUUUUGUUCCAACAAUAAAAGAAUGUUGAAUGCACCGACAGUGAAGUGAUUCAAGUGAUAAAAAGAUUUAGGUUCCUUAAACAAGUGUUCAAGGGGUUCAAUCAUUGACUCUUGCGUAUCAACGGAAGGUAGUCACUUCUAAGUGGAAGCCGAAACUCCGUACUUAUAACAUGGUAACAAAAAAAUUUGAAAAUUGAAAUACAAAUAAUUUAACUUUUUUGCUAAAAAAAUUUGGACAAAAAAAUUAUCACAUUUAUUACAAUAUCAUGUAUUCUUAUGGAAAAAUAAAUAUAAAUAAUUUGACUUUUGCUGCUAACUUCUUUUUGAACAAAAUAAUUACAUUUAUUACAAUACCAUGCAUGUAUUGUAAUUUAAAAAUCAAAUUUAGAAUCAACUAAAAUGUUUGAACAAAAAAAAAAGAAUCAACUAAAAUGCUAAGUGUUUGGUAAAGUGUUCAUAAAAGUUUAAUUAUAGAUGCAGACACCGAAGGGAAGUUCAUGAACCUUGUCAUGUAUAUCUCAAAUAAAUAAAAGAGUUAUGAUACAUAGACAUCUUUAGGUGGCAAUACAUCAUUUGACACCCACAUAAAAAUCUGACACGUGGCCACAUGGACCCCGCACAAGCACACUUUCUCUUUUCUCUCCUCUUCUUUCUUCCUAAUGUAUGGGGUGUACAAGAGUGUAUAGAAAUAAAGGGUGUCUAUGUAAUAUUUUCCUAAAUAAAAAUAUUAUCUAAAUUAAUAAAAAAAUAAUAUUUAUAUCAUUUUUUUUCUAAUGGUAAAUUGUUAAUUAGUAAUUAGUUUUUACAUUAAUAUAUAUUGAUUUGCACGGGUUUGAACCCAUAACCUCUAAUAUUACUUAUCAUUUAGCACAUCACCAAAAAGAACAAAGAGUGACAUUACACUCCUCUCACCAUUUUGAUUUUUGGUUCAUCUAUAGUUGGCAUUUUUUGACUCAUUGUAACAUUUUCCAACUCCAAAUUCCCAAAGGUAAACUCCAAAAAUCUAAAUCAAAACGUAAACUUAUUGUUACAUUUUGCUUGGUUUUACUCAACAAAAAAAAAACAAUAUGCUUGGUUUUUUGGGAUUAUAGAACAUGCAUGUACUAUUGUCCAAGACCAUGAUGCUUGAAUUCAAUUUAAAAUUACUUUCUUACAAUUUUUUUCUUCUUAUAUGUGACAACUAAAACUAUAGACAAUUAUUGGAUUUUUGAAAAUCAGAUUCAAACAUGGAUGCAUCAGAAGUGUGUCCAACUGUUGAUGCAAUCAGAGCUUUCCUUGAAUACUUGGUAGAUCCAUUGCUGCAAGAAGAUCAUUCUACCAAUGAUGAUCUUCCACUAUCACAACAUGAAAAAGUUGCAAACCAGGUUUAUUUUUUUCAUUCACCUUGAAACUUUAUUUUAAUGGCAAUCCAAAGAUUAACUAAUACCUCUUGGUUUUUUAUGUCUUAAAAAAAAACUAAUACCUCUUGGUGACUAUUUGGACAUGAUUUUUGUUACGCCUUUUUAAACAAAAUUAUUUUAAAUUUCAUUAAUUAACAUUUAAUGGAAGUCGAUUUAAACUUGAGGUCAUUGCUCAGUUGUACGAGCUUAGCCUUGUUACCUCCACGUAAAGAGGUAAAGAGUUCAAAAUCCCCUCGAAGACGGUUAUGAAUUGGUCAUUAGUGCCAAUAUUUUAAAAAAUGUUCUCAUUUGAUUUUAAAAUUGAAAGAUUAGUUAACAUCAAAUUGAAGUUCUUAUUUGAUUUUAAUAUCUAAUUGAAGUUCAUAUUUGUCAAAAAAAAUAUCUAAUUGAAGUUCAUGAUUUUAACAUCUACUUAAAGUUCCUAGUAGAUAUGGCAAUCCAAAGAUUAAUUAACAUCUAAUUAAAGUUCCUAUUUGAUUUAAAAGUUGAAGAACCACAAGUAUUUAAUUAUAUGAUUAUGGCGUAGGUGCAUGCAGUCGUGUUAUUGAACAACUACUACCACAUAAAACUGAAUCAAGAGCUAGCAUUUUUGCCAUAUAGGGAAUUUUGCAAGAUCAUUGUGGAUCUGAGACCAUCACUGUCAGCAUAUAUGAAAUUCAUGUUGCAGCGUGAUUAUGCUGAGCUCGUUGAUGUGGAGCAGCAACUUUCAUUAACUGAAAAGGCGAUCAUGAGUUCGCAUGAUAUAUGCUUAUCUUUAGAUGCAUCGAAAAAUGAACCUAAUAUAGAGGGUUGGCCCAUUUCAAAAGUCGCGGUCCUUUUGGUCGAUAGUAAGAAGGAAAACAGCUUCUUGCGUUUUAAUUCCUUCACUGAUGGAGUAUGGUCAUUGAUUGAAAAAGAUGUUGAUACUUCAGAUCAAAUUUCUGAAGUUACAAGUGAGAUCAAAUCUCCAUACAAAAGAAGAAGAGUAAUUAUGACGCGUUCGAAAGUCAUAUUAAAUGAAGAUCAACUCUUGCAAGAUGGAUAUUCUGCUAUUAGCGAAGCUGCAAGUAAUUAUCCUACUUUAACAUAAAGAUUGCAUUUGUUUUAAUUUAUUCACAAUUGGAAUCAUAUGCCAGCAUGACUCAUGGUGUACACUUUUCUUAUGUUUUCUGUACAUCUUGUCAUAUCAGGACAUGCUUUGUUUUUUCUUUAUUUUCUGUAUAUUAAAUUGUUUUAACAUGCAUUUUUUGACUCAUAAUAGUCGAACAUGAUUCUUAUAUAAUGAUUUCAUAUUUCCCUUGUGAAUAGGUGUCAAUAGUAUUGAUAUGAUGCUUUUGGGAAGUUAUACAGUGUAUUCCCAGAGCAAGGAGAGGGCAGCUUCUCGCUUUUAUAUAAUGAAGUGCUCACAGUCGAUUGUUGAAGGGUUUACUAAAGUUCCUAUCAAAGAUUUAAUUGAAAGGUUUGUUACAAUCGAUAUGGCUUUUCUAUAACAAACUUUGUGUCUUUCUCUACAACAUUUGAUAUCUCUUCUUUGUAUAGCUUUUGGGGUCCUUUGGUCAAAAGAAGUUCUAGCAGUUGGAAGACCACCUCCCUUGUCAAGUACUUCCAGAUGCUUCCUUAUUCUGAAAUAAUCUCUGAAUGGAUUUCUAGGUUGGUAUAAUUCACAUUUCCUAUUUUCCGAUGCUAAAUUCAUAUGGAUUUACAGUAAUGAAUAUUGACCUCAUAAUUAGAAGCCUCGUAAACAUUGCAUAGUUUUGAUUAAAUUAUUUCUCAUUUCCAUAUUACGUUUUCGUUUUCACCUUUUCCAUAAAAUAAUGAUGGAUAUUUGCAUAAUAUGUUCUUUGCAGAGAAGCUUUCUCAAAUAGUUUGCAAGAUUUAAAGCUGGCAGAGAAACAAGUCUCAAAGCUUGAAGUGACAGAAUCACAUGUAAGUAGUAAGGGCUUGUAUAUUGAUCUUGAUAACAAGUUGUGCAGAUGUUUUAUACAAUAUUUUUCAAAGCUUGAAUCUGAAGGAUGUGCAAGUAAUGUCAUGGACCAGGGUCAGCAGGAUAGGCCAAAAGUGUUUAAGAUCGAUGUAAGGAAAAACAAAAAAGAUCGAAAGCAAAUAGGAUCCCAUGCAUGAUACAAAUCAAGAGGGACCUAAUACAAGAAACAAAAAUGAUCCAAUAAAGGUGGAUACAAAUUCUAGUGAUACACCAAAACAAAGGCCCAAGAGAUUGAUCAAGAGACCUAGCAGAUUCAAUAAUUAAAUAUAUUGCUAUUAGCAUCAAGGAAUAGGAUAAAUCCAUGAGCUGAUACAAGUUGUCCUUUAGUACCAGAAAAUGGAUAAGAAUAAAAAUAAUUAGGAAUUUUCUUUUAUAUUUUAAUCAAUGGAUCGAAGACAAUUAGUGUCUCAAUAUCCUAUAUCCUAGGAAGAAUUGUAUCGUUUCUACUCUCUAGCAUUAUAUGAAUAGUGUUUGCGUUUGGACUGAUUAUAUUUUUAUUUCUUGCUUUAUCUUUCUAGUUUUGGUUUUACCAUGUUGUUAACUUGGAAAUUUCUUGUUACCUUGUUUUCCAGGAGUUAAAUAAAUGUGUGGUUUAUAAUUGUUUUGCAUUGCUUACAUUGGACUCUGCACACAUGACAACAAUGUGUACAUUUAUAAGGAAUCACAAUGAUGACGUUCAAGAAUGAUAAGUGAUAAGUAAAUCAUAAGAUCGAAUCCACAACCACAAAACGAAGAUGAAUCUAUCCAUAGAUAUUUUCCAUGCUUAAAAGUAUCAAAAUAUAAUUCACAAGUAGAAUAAACAGGUUUCUAGUCUAUCACCAUGAAGUUGUCCAUUACAUUGCUACAAUUAUAUUGCAUUACAUGGAAAUGUGAACAUUUGAAGAAUUCCCAAAUUUUUCUACACAACUCAAUGCAAAUGAAUAAUAGUUAUACAUAACUCAAAGUCAUCCAAACUUUAUAAAAAUUGAAACCCAAAUCACACUGAUCAAAUCUUGUUUAUUUGUUUUUCUUCAUAAAUAAAUUAGAUUCAUUAGGAAACAUAACACAAUUUCUGAGCACAAGAAAUACAACGACCCUUCUACAAGCCUACAACAGUACAACAGCAACGACCCUUCCUUCAAAAAAAGAAGCCUACAACGGUACAACAACCAAAUUUAUUUUGAUGUGCUUUGAAAACAUCUAAGCCAACGAAACCAAAGAAUAAUUUGAUAAAUUUUCUUUGCAAGUCUUUUCAUAAUUUGAUAAAUUUUAGAAGACUUCAUGUUCUGAAUUCGGUAACUUCUAAUCUCACGUCAAUGAAAUUUAGAUUUGUGGAGCAAGUAUCAAUGGCAACCAAAAUAACCGCAAGCAACAACAAUAUAUCUAGAUCUAAUCUAGCAACCAAGUGUAUAGCAAAACCACAAACAAACCAAAAUAAUCAAGAUAAAGAGAGUAAAGAAAAAGAACAACAUCAAAUAAUUGUUUACCCAGUUCAGUUCAACACUAACCUACUAUGGGGGAGAGAGAAUGAUCUCUCCGCUUCACUAUCAAUGAGUACUUUACAAAGAUAUACAAAAGAGUUACAAGAAAUUAGCUUCAACAAGCUCUCCAAGAACAAACUUAAUUUCUACGAUUUUCUCAAUCUCCUCCUUUCAUGAACAAGAGACUCAAUGAGUUCACUCGAUCCAAGGUGUUUCCCAACUCUAGAGUCUAACCCCUAAAAGGGAACCAAUCCGUAGCUUUUCUACAAACCUAAUUUCUACGAUUUUCUCAAUCUCCUUCUUUCAUGAACAAGAGACUCAAUGAGUUCACUCGAUCCAAGGUGUUUCCCAACUCUAGAUUCUAACCCCUAAAAGGAACCAAUCCGUAGCUUUUGAUUUCCUAAUGAUAUACUCUUUUGGUCUCGUAAGACUCGCCCAAGUUGCUCAUAAAAACUCUCCUUUGAUGUGUUUCCCAAUCCCAUGAAUCUCUCACCUAAAGGCACCAACCCUCUCCAAAGAGCCCCCUUUUUUGGUUCUCCAAGAUUCACAUCUUGAAGCUUUGAACCUCACCCAAAGACCCUCAACCUUUAGUAUCUACAUACCCUAAAAGCUCCCUCCUUUGGUUCUCAUGAGAUUCACCAAGCUUGCUCAACAAAUGGGUCAAAGGAUGCUUAUAUAGUGUUCAGAUCCAAGCAAAAUCGUGUCACAAUUUGCCUAAAUUGUGCCACGAUAAAGCUCGUACACAAUAUUGUAUUGCACCCUUAUCCAAAAAUCGUGUCACGAUUCCCUAAAUUGUGUCACGAUUUGACUUCCAGAAACACACUCACAUCCAGCCUCAAAAUCGUGUCAUGAUUUCAAACUUCCAACACACACUAAUUUUGACUCACAUGCUCAACACUUCCUUUUUGAAGGAGGACAUCCUUUACGAUGUCAAUUACAUGAUAUAAUUGGCUAUUUUAUUUUUGAAUUCUAACAAAAUAGUUUCUAAAAUCAUUUUCUGCAAGUGUCAAAUUCUCAUAUCCAUUUUCUUCAGUUGCCAAAGAUUUAAAAUUUAUGCUUAGAUUUAUCCCAACUUGAAUAUUGAGUUCUAAUAUAUUUUUUGAAUGAGACAUCAAAUUCUUACUACUUCUAAAAUAGAAUACCUUGGUAGGGCUUAGAUCAUUAUUAAGCUUGAGAUCGACUCUUAAAGUGGUAAUUGUUUCAUCUAACCAAAUACAUGCAUACAAUCUAGCCUUACACUGAGUUUUUGUUAUUGGAUUUAGCUUCAAAAGAUGAUUUGAUCCGCUCAAAUAGUUUGUUCCAUGACUACAAGCUACAGUAAAAUAUUAUUUCACAUCACCUCCAUCUUUUUCUACGAAGUUUAGUAACUCCAAAACUCAUAGACCGGGCAUAUCUCUUGCAAUAUUAUGGAAGCUCAUGGUUAAAGCUAAAUAUCAUUCCAAGCAUUGUGAUUCAUUUAUUACAUUUAAAUUUAUUGAGCAUAUUUAUGCACAUAAUCAAAUGCAACAAAUGCAGUGAUAUAUUGACCACUCCCUCCGUUUCAAAAUAUAAGCAAAAUUCAUUUUUUAAAUUCAUUCAUUUAAUGAUGUAUGUGGUUCAUAAUAUAGAUCAUAUACAUCAUUAAAUAAAUGAACUUAAAAAAUGAAUUUUGCUUAUGUUUUAAAACGGAGAGAAUACCAAUGAACGAUGAUAAAAGCUACCCACCAAAUUUUAGUGGGUUUUAGUAACUAGUUUUAAAUGUUGUCUUGCAUUUAGUUUGUUGAGUGAAUUGUCUAGGAAAUUGUAUCAUGAACUAUUUGAAUGUAUUGCCUAGGAAAUUGUGGUAAUUAAUCUUGAAUGUUGUGUUGCAUUGUAAAUACUCUUUCCGUUCUUUUUUAAUUGUCACAUUUUAACUUUUUGCAUAAAUCAAGACAUUAAAUGUAUUUCACUAUUUUUGAUACAAUAACUUAUGGUUUGUCAAUAAUAUCCUUAAUUAUUUAAUAUCAUACUCCCUCCGGUCCUAUUUAUAAGAGAAAGUUGAUUUUUUAGAUACAUUGAAUAAUGUAUGUAUUUAGUCAAGAACCUAAACCAAAUACAUAAAUUAUUUAAUGUAUCUAAAAAGUAAAUUGUUUCUUGUAAAUAGGACUGGAGGGAGUAUUUCAUAUAUUUCUAUCUCUGCAAUAAAUUACUAAAGGCAUUAUAGGAAAAACAACAUUUAAUGUUACAUUAAACUUUGAAAGUGACACUUAAUUAGAAGAAAAAAAUAUAUGUAAAAGUGACGGUUAUAAAGGAAAGGAGGGGGUAUUGUUUCCUUUGAAAUUAAUGUCAUAAUAAAUCUCUAAUGUUACGUUGCAUUUAAUUAGUUUAGGAACAAUGUUAUAUCUCUAGAAAAAUAACAUCAAGAAUUCUUCAAGAAUAAAGAGCAGCCAAUCACAAUGCACAAUUUGUCACAAUUCAAGGAGGUGUGGCUGAAAAAUAGGAAAUGAACAAAUAAAUUAUGCAAUUAAAACUUGACUGUCGUGUCUUGAAAAAAUUUUGAUGCUAUUUUUUUAGAGAAAUAACAUUUUCUUUUGAAUAUCGUUGUGUUGCAUUUGAUUAGUUGUAUGGUAAAUAUCUCUUCCUUUUAAAUUAAUGUCAUACUUCGCAAUGCAUGAAUUGUUGUAGAAUUAAUAAUAUGGUUAUUAAUUGGAGGUUUAGACAUUAAUAAUGUUACUUGUUUUGGUGGGAUUAAGAUUGAGUUAUAAACAAUGGGGGAUUAGGUAGAAAAAAAUACAUUUAGGAGUAGAUAGAAUAACUAAAAAAAAAUAUAAAAUAUAGAUAUUAAAAACAAUCUAUCUAUUAACAUUAUAUAAAGCCAAACUAAUUUUAUUUUGUUGUUUUAAUGAAUUAAUUUCAAUUAUUACACAACUAAAAUUACACAUACGCUCCUUUAACUCAAUUUCAAAAAUUACACACACAUUUAACUUAAUUUCAAGUAAUAGUUCGGUCUUUUAUCCUUUUGUUUUCCUGUUUUAGUCCUUCAAGUUAUAAAGUAACACAAUUAUCCUUUUUACACUUAAAAAAUCACAAAAAUCCAGAAAUUCAUAACAUUUAUCAUAAUAUUCAAUAAAAAAAAAUCCAUAUAUUCAUCAAUUAAACCGAGAUUUUUUCCUUUUAGACUUAAUUAUUUUAUUUCUAAUGAAAGAGUAAUUUAAGGAGAGACUCUAAAUCUUCAUCCCAAAAGGCCAAUCCUUAACAAAUUCUUCUUUCUCACGGUGCUCUUCUCUCUUUCUCACCCACACACAUUCUUCUUUAUUACAUGAACUCCAAUGUUUGUUUCUACCCUAAAACCAAGAUCUAAAAAAUUAAAACCAUGCACAUUUUUUUACUUUAGUUGCUCACCGACAUGAAUAAUUCAUGUGAUAAACAAAUUUGGGUUCCUUAAACUAGUGUUCAAAGGGUUCAAUUAUUGACUCUUGUGUAUCGUCGAAAAUUAGUCACUUCUAAGUGGCAUCGAAACUCUGUAUUUAUAACAUGGUAACAAAAAAUUUGAAAAUUGAAAUACAAAUAAUUUAACUUUUUUUGAAAGUUUUUGGACAAAAAUUAUCACAUUUGUUACAAUAUCAUGCAUUCUAAUGGAAAAAUAAAUAUAAAUAAUUUGACUUUUGCUACUAACUUUUUUGAACAAAAAUAUUUACAUUUAUUACAAUAUCAUGCAUGUAUUGUAAUUUAAAAAUCAAUUUUAGAAUCAACUAAAAUGCUUGAACAAAAAAAAAAGAAUCAACUAAAAUGCUAAGUGUCAAUCACUAUCCGGUAAAGUUAUGAUAAUUUUUUUAUUAUAGAUGCACACACCGAAGGGAAGUUCAUGAACCUUGUCAUGUAUAUCUCAAAUAAAUAAAAAUAUUAACUAAAUUAAUAAAAAAAAAUCACACUUAUUAUAAUUUUUUCCAAGGGCAUAUUGUUUUUAUUUUUUAUUUUUGAAAUAUACUUAUGAACCUUGUUCGUGAUUAGUUUUUUUUUUUUUUUACGUUAAAAUAUAUUAAUUUGCACGGGUUUGAACCCAUAACCUCUAACUUCUUAAGCUUAACUCGAACAAGUUAAGCUACCUAACCUCUCAAAUAUUGUUUAUCAUUUAUAUUCAACGCUUUGUUUCAUUCUGAUGCCUUAUAAUUUUUACACACAGAUGAAAAUUAAUAAAUUCAAAUUUUAGUAAACUUGAAAUAAAACUGAGUUUAUUCAGAAGAAUUCGAUAAACUCAUGUAAACACACGUAAACUCGAAAAAAACUAUCAAAAAAAAAUCAUCUAAAUUUUUACAUUUGGUUCAUAUUCUACGAUUUUACGAGUCGAGUUUAGAAAUCAAUUUCACGCAGGCAAAACAAGUUUACUAAAACAUAUGAUUUUGACAACUUUAAUUAUCAUCAUUAAUGUAUUAGAAGUCUUUUAUUUUUUAAAGAAUGUAUGAGAAAUCUUUGUAUUGUAAAACAUUAAAUUUUGGUCAAACAAUCACAAUAUUUAUUUUAUUCAUAUAUUUAUCACAAACAUUUAAAUUUUCUAAUAUAAUUGCAAUAUACUCCCUCCGUCCCAAAAUCAAUUUAUGGUGAUCCAUUUUUGCUUACAUUUUGGGAUGGAAGGAGUGCAACAUAUUACAUAUGUCAUUACCACACUAGAUUUAUUAUAAAUACAAGGUAGGAGAUGAUUUCAGUUUCAGUGAUUGAGCACAUCACCAACAAGAACAAAGAGUGAGAUUACUCUCCUCUCACCAUUUUCAUUUUUGGUUCAUCUAUAGCAGCUGGCAUUUUUUUGACUCAUUGUAACAUUUUCCAACUCCAAAUUCCCAAAGGUAAACUCCAAAAAUCUAAAUCAAAACGUAAACUUACUCUUACAUUUUGCUUGGUUUUACUCAAAAAAGAAAACAAUAUGCUUGGUUUUUUGGGAUUAUAGAACAUGCAUGUACUAUUGCCCAAGACCAUUUUUUUCUGCUUAUAAGUGACAACUAAACUAUAGACAAUUAUUGGAUUUUUGAAAAUCAGAUUCAAACAUGGAUGUAUCAGAAGUCUGUCCAACUGUUGAUGCAAUCAGAGCUUUCCUUGAAUACUUGGUAGAUCCAUUGCUGCAAGAAGAUCAUUCUACCAAUGAUGAUCUUCCACUAUCACAACAUGAAAAAGUUGCAAACCAGGUUUGUUUUUUUCAUUCACCUUGAAACUUUAUUUUAAUGGCAAUCCAAAGAUUAACUAAUACCUCUUGGUGACUAUUUGGACAUGAUUUUUGUUACGCCUUUUUAAACAUAAUUAUUUUAAAUUUCAUUAAUUAACAUUUAAUGGAAGUCGAUUUAAACUUGAGGUGAUUGCUCAGUUGUACGAGCUUAUCCUUGUUACCUCCAGGUAAAGAGUUAAAAUCCCCUCGAAGACUCGUCAUUAGUAUCACUUUGAUUUAUAAAAAUUUCCCCUUUGCCAAUAUUUUAAAAAAAUUCUCAUUUGAUUUUAAAAUUGAAAGAUUAAUUAACAUCAAAUUGAAAAUCUUAUUUGAUUUUAAUAUCUAAUUGAAGUUCCUGAUUUUACAUCUACAUGAAGUUCCAAUUAGAUAUGGCAAUCCAAAGAUUAAUUAACAUCUAAUUGAAUUAUCCUAUUUGGUUUUAAUGAUGAAGAACCAAAGUUUAAUUAUAUGAUUAUGGUGUAGGUGCAUUCAGUCGCGUUAUUGAACAACUACUACCACAGAAAACUGAAUCAAGAGCUAGCAUUUUUGCCAUAUAGGGAAUUUUGCAAGAUCAUUGUGGAUCUAAGACCAGCAAUGUCAGCAUAUAUGAAAUUCACGUUGCUGCCUGAAUAUGCUGAACUUGUUGACGCGGAGCAGCAACUUUCAUUAGCAGAAAAAGCAAUCAUGAGUGCCUAUGAUAUAUGCUUAUAUUUAGAUGCAUCGAAAAAUGAUCCUAAUAUAGAGGGUUGGCCCAUUUCAAAAGUUGCAGUCCUUUUGGUUGAUAAUGAGAAGGAAAACUGCUUCUUGCAUUUUAAUUCCAUCCCUCAUGGAGUAUGGUCAUUGAUUGAAAAAGAUGUUGAUACAUUAGAUCAAAUUUCUGAAGUUACAAGUGAGAUCAAAUCUCCAUGCAAAAGAAGAAGAGUAAUUAUGAAGCGUUCGAAAGUCAUAUUAAAUGAAGAUCAACUCUUGCAAGUUGGAUAUUCUGCUGUUAAGGAAAUUGCGGGUAAUUAUCCUUCUUUUACAUAGAGAUUGCAUUAGUUUUAAUUUAUUCACAAUUGGAAUCAAUUGCCAGCAUGACUCAUUGUGUACACUUUACUUAUGUUUUCUAUAAAUCUUUAGGUUCAUAUCAGCUCAUGGUGUACACUUUUACAUCUUUUGUUUUUUCUCUAUUAAAUAGUUUUAACAUGCAUUUUUUGACUCAUAAUAGUUGAACAUGAUUCUUAUGUAAUGAUUUCAUAUUUCCCUUGUGAAUAGGUGUCAAUAGUAUUGAUAUGAUGCUUUUGGGAAGUUACACUGUGCAUUCCCAGAGCAAAGAGAGGACAGCUUCUCGCUUUUAUAUAAUGAAGGGCUCACAGUCCAUCGAUGAAGGGUUUACUCAAGUUCCUAUCAAAGAUUUAAUUGAAAGGUUCGCUACAAUCGAUAUCGCUUUUCUAUGACAAACUUUUUGUGUGUUUCUCUAUAACAUUUGAUAUCUCAUCUUUGUAUAGCUUUCGGGGUCCUUUGGUCAAAAGAAGUUCUUGCAGUUGGAAGGCCACCGCAGUUGUCAAUUACUUCCACAUGCUUCCUUAUUCUGAAAUAAUCUCAGAAUGGAUUUCUAGGUUUGUAUAAUUCACAUUUCCCAUUUUCUGAUGCUAAAUUUAGAUUGAUUUAUAGUAAUGAAUAUUGACCUCAUAAUUCGAAAGCCUCGGAAACAAAGCAUAGGUUUGAUUAAAUUAUUUCCCAUUUCCAACUUAUGUUUUCAUUUUCACCUUGUGCAUAAAAUAAUGAUGGCUAUUUGCAUAAUGUGUUCUUUGCAGAGAAGCUUUCUCAAAUAGUUUGCAAGAUUUAAUGCUGGCAGAGAAACAAUUCUCANNNNNNNNNNNNNNNNNNNNNNNNNNNNNNNNNNNNNNNNNNNNNNNNNNNNNNNNNNNNNNNNNNNNNNNNNNNNNNNNNNNNNNNNNNNNNNNNNNNNNNNNNNNNNNNNNNNNNNNNNNNNNNNNNNNNNNNNNNNNNNNNNNNNNNNNNNNNNNNNNNNNNNNNNNNNNNNNNNNNNNNNNNNNNNNNNNNNNNNNAAGCUUGAAGUGACAGAAUCGCAUGUAAGUAGUAAGGGCUUGUUUAUUAAUCUUGAUAGCAAGUUGUGCAAAUGUUUUAUACAAUAUUUUUUGUAUUGAGUAAACUCUUACUAGUUGUGUCUAUGGAUACUUCUUUAGGUUUACAUAAACCCUAAAGUUUUUACUAUUUCCUUUAUUGUUGAGAUGUCUUUUUUCUUAAGAAAAAAAAUAGUCUCAGUGCUUUUCCAAUAUUAUAUAUCAUCUCUCACCUAACUACAUGCCAUUGGAUAUAUUGACGGGUUGAGAAGGUUUCUUCUACAAGGAUGCAAAUCACUGAAGAUGGAAUCAAAAAUCAACCUAUUUCAGAAAAUGAAUAUGAGGGAUGUGCAAGUGAUGUCAAGGACCAGGGUCAGCAGGAUAGGCCCAAAGUGUUGAAGAUCUAUGUAAGGAGAAACAAAAAAGACCGAAAGGUAGUAAAUCCAUCAAUGCAACAUCACUCAAAUGAAUGUACACGAACCAUUGAGGCUUGUGUUACAAAGCAAAUAGGAUCUCAUGAUACAAAUCAAGAGGGACCUAAUACAAGAAACAAAAAUGGUCCAAUAAAGGUGGAUACAAAUUCUAGUGAUACACCAAAUCAAAGGCCCAAGAGAUUGAUCAAGAGACCUAGCAGAUUCAAUACUUAAAUGUAUCUCUAGAAGCAUUCAAGGAAGAGGGUAAAUCCAUGAGCUGAUACAAAUAUCUCUAGUACCAUUAGUACCUGAAAAAGCAUAAGAAUAAAAAUAAUUACCAGUUUUAUUUUAUAUUUUAAUCAAUGCAAGAAUUGUAUCGUCUCUAGCAUUAUAUGACUUGCGUUUGCGUUUGGACUGAUCAUAUUUUUGUUUCUUGCUUUAUCUUUCUAGUUUUGGUUUUACAAUGUUAACUUGGAAAAUUCUUUACAAUGUGUUUACAAUGUUUCCCAACCCUCAAGAGAACCUCACUACAAAGACACUCAACCUUAAAGUUACCUCCUUUGUAUUCCCAAGUUUCUCUCUCAAAGCCACACUCAAAAAAAUAAAGAAAGAAGCCUUAAAUAGUGUUCAGGAAUACGCAGCAUCGUGCCACGUUUCGUGCCCAUCGUGCCACGAUGGAGCAGGUGAUAGUACAAUACUAUACCUUAUCUGUCUACAUCGUGCCACGUUCCUCCUGGAUCGUGUCACGUUCCUCUUCCAUCAUGCCACGUUCCUCCUGGAUCCUGCCACGAUUUUUCCAGCGACAAACGCAAAACCUGAACCAUCCAAUCGUGCCACGUUGCCCUGCAAACGUGCCACGAUUUCUCAGUGCUUCAACAUCCAAUUCUUGAGUCAAUUUUCAAUAAGAUUCAUUGAAUUAAUGAUGUAUGUGGUUUAUAAUAUGGACGACAUAUAUCAUUUAUUCAAAGAACCUAAAAAGUAAAUUUUGUUUAUAUUUAAAAACGGAGAUAGUAUACAUAUAAUAUGAUGUAAAUUUUUAGGAUUCUACGAAUGGAGUUCAAAAAUUAAUUUCACAUAGACAAAACAAGUUUACUAAAACGUACGAUUUUGAAAACUUUAAUUAUCAUCAUUUUUUUUUUUUAGUUUUUUUUUUUGCGAAAGAAAAAAAAUCAAUAAAUACCCUAUUUAAAAUUUUAAUAUAUAAUUUUUUAAGGGCCUUCUAUAUAUUUUUUUUUAUAUGCAAAGAGAUAGGACAGACAUCAUCGACAUUCCAACUAGAUUGGUAUCCCGAGAUACCUCCAUCCUAUGCCGCCAAACUCGAAAAAUUUAUUAAAAAAGGGGAAAAUAUAUAUAUACAAAAGGAAAGGGACUAUACCAAAACCCUCCGAAAAACCGCUAAAAACAUAAAAAGAAAAAGAAAUACAACAAAACAGCCAAUAGUCUGUGUAUUGAAAUACAUUAAAUUUUGGUCAAACUUUAAAAAAAAAAAUUAAAUUUUGGUCAAAUAGUCAAAAUAUUUAAUUUAUUCAUAUAAGUCUUUGUAUUGAAAUACAUUAAAUUUUGGUCAAUCUUUCCAAAAAAAAAAAAAUUAAUUUUAGUUAAAUAGUCAAAAUAUUUAAUUUAUUCAUAUAGUUAUCGCAAACAUUUAAAUUUUUAAUAUAAUACAUAUGGGCAUGUCGUUAUUAUAAAUACAAGGUAGGAGAUGAUUUCAGUUUCAGUAACUGAGAGCACAUCACAAACAAGAACAAAGAGUGAGAUUACUCUCAUCUCAUCAUUUUCAUUUUUGGUUCACCAUUUAUAUGUGAUAACUAAAACCAUAGUCAAGUAUUGGAUUUUUGAAAAUCAGAUUCAAACAUUGACGGAUCAAAAGUGUGUCCAACUGUUGAUGCAAUCAGAGCUUUCCUUGAAUACUUGGUAGAUCCAUUACUGCAAGAAGAUAAUUCUACCAAUGAUGAUCUUCCACAAUCACAACAUGAAAAAGAUGCAAACCAGGUUUUUUUUUUUCAUUCACCUUGAACCUUUUUAUUCAUACAUGAAAAAAUUUGAUUGAUAAAAAUUUCCCCUUUGCCAAUUUUUUUUUAAAAAGUUCUCAAAUGAUUUCAAAAUUAAUUAACAUCAAAUUAAGUUCUUCUUUCAAAAAAAAAAUCAAGUUGAAGUUCUUAUAUGAUUUUAAUAUCUACUAGAGUUCCUAUUAGAUAUGGCAAUCCAAAGAUUAAUUAACAUCUAAUUGAAUUGUUCCUAUUUGAUUUUAAAGUUGAAGAACCACAAGUAUUUAAUUAUAUGAUUAUGGUGUAGGUGCAUCUAGUCGUCUUAUUGAAGAACUGCUGCCACAAAAAACUGAAUCAAGAGCUAGCAAAGUUUCAACCAAGUCUGCUUUCCGAUCCUUAUAGAAUCCUUUCAUUUCGAGAUCCUUUGUCAUUGACCUCAAUGUAGGCAUUGUCUCUUUCAUCAAGGAUUAUGUAGUUUUCAUCACGGUAAUAGGGACCAAAGCUAAUCUCACAUUAUACUGGCUUCCAUUAUCCAAUGAAACCCUAUUUAAAUUCUUCAAAACUUGUCUUUUCUUUUGUAAUUCAGAAAAUUUGUUGUCAUAAUGAAUAACAGCCUUACCAUCAGUUCCGUGAUGGCCCGACUACAAAUCCCUGUCAUUACUUUUACAAUUGAUGGGCUCAUUUAAGAUCAUACCAGCAGGACAUGUUUUCGACUUCCGCUGCCUCUUAGUUAAUACAUUAUCAUUGUCAGAAAGAACAAUAGAAUUGCCCUCAAUUUCGUGUUGGCCCUGUUGCACAUUUAAGAUUGUACCAGCAAUACAUGUUUUUGGUUUCCGCUGCCUCUUAGUUGAUACAAUAAUAUUAGAUGUUCUUGGAGUAACUUCUAAUAUUAUAUUAAAUAAGAGGCAACGGAAACAACAAAAACCUAUAUUGUUGGUACAAUCAUAAAUGACAACUGGGUCAGCAUGAAGUUGAGGGAAAUUCUAUUGUUCUUUCUGACAGUGAUAAUGUAUUAACCAGCGGAAGUCAAAAAUUUGUCCUACUGCUAUGAUCUUGAAUGAUCAAUAGUACAAAUAAUAAGAGGGAUUUGCAGCCGGGACAACAUGGAACUAUUGGUAAGGCGGUUGUUCUUUAAGGAAUCUCGAAAUGGUAAAGGAUUGGAAAGGAUCUCGAAAUUUCUGAAUGACAAUUCCUACACUGUGGUCAAUGGUAAAGGAUCUCGAAAUGAAAGGAUUCUGUAAGGAUUGGAAAGCAGAUUUGGUUGAAAAAUUACUUGUGUCAUAUAAGGAAUUUCGCGAGAUCAUUGUGGAUCUGAGACCAGCAAUGUUGGCAUAUAUGAAAAAUUAAAGUUGGCAGAGAAACAAUUCUCAAAGCUUGAAGUGACAAAAUGGCAUGUAAUUAAGUAGUACGGGCUUGUAUAUUGAUCUUGAUAACAAGUCGUGCAAGGAUUUCCCAAUCUAUAUAUCUUUUAUAUUUUAAUCAAUGGGAUGAAGACAAUUAGUGUCUCAAUAUCCUAUAUCCUAUGAAGAAUUGUGUCGUCUCUAGCAUUAUAUGAAUUGUGUUUGCGUUUGGACUUGAUCAUAUUUUUGUUUCUUGCUUUAUCUUUCUAGUUUUGGUUUUACCAUGUUAACUUGGAAAUUUCUUGUUACCUUGUUUUCCAAGAAUUAAAUAAUUGUGUGGUUCAUAAUUGCUCUACAUGGCUUACAUUGGACCAUACAAGAAAUAACAUAUUUUACAACGACUUUUUCGCAGCGACAAACAAUUUAUUGACAAUAACAUGCAUAUAGCAACAAUUAUUUUAAGUUGUUGGAAUAAGUUAGUUUUUUCUCGACAACUUCAUUAUUGUUGAGAAAAAAAUACUUAUCCCGACAACAAUUAAUGUCUUUGGAACUCAAGCGGAAGAAUUGGGUAUUUAGGUAAUAAAUUUGUUCUUACAUUUUCUUUGAUUGAGUUUGUUCUCCUACAAUUAAUUAAUUAAACACAACACUUUCACUUGCUACAUAGAGUUUAGCGAACCUAAUAUGUUAGACACAGUUCAGUAACCACACACUUAUAUCAUUUUAGUUCAGUUAGUGAAUCACUAAAAUGCAAGGUUGAAAGCUAUGUGUGUGUCUUUAAGCGUAGCGUGUUCUUUUUUGUUUGAUGUUCACUUUUCUAGUCAUGAAUGAAUUAUGACUAAGAGUAUUUCUGCAUUUUAUGUGUGACUUCACAUCCCUGUCACUCCGACGUAUCCAACAUGUAAGAGUAGUUUCCUUUUUGGUACUCCUGAGUAUUGUCUUGCUUUUUUCCGAUGUCUUUGUCCUAAAUUUCAAAUUUGUGCACUCAUUGAUAUUCAGAUCAUAUAUGUACAUCAAUUAAUUGUGGCUACAAUUUUGAUUAGUUAGAUUCUGUAAUUUCUUAUGGUAUGUUCAUGAUUAUAUGUGGAAAUGAUGUGAUGGAAAUUAAUUGUUUGAAGAGAAGUCAAAUGUACUUUCGCUGAAUCGAUAAAUUUAUCAAGAAUAGCUUGAAAUUCUGUAUAGCUAAUGUGAUCAUUAAUGUGUGUUUGGCCUUGCUUAUAGUUUAGUUUUAGUCAUUUUGACAGCAAUCUGUAUAGCUAAUGUGAGAAGCAAGCAAAGUUUGGGUGGUGCUUUGAUAUGGCUGCAAUUUUGGCUUGUAUUUUCAAGUGAUUUCAUGGCUUUUGUUAUAACCGUGAGAAUUGAACCUGCAUAAUUAUUAUGUCAGGGUAGUGAUAAAGUCCUGAUGUUGCUUUAUUUGGUUAGCCAAGUUUGUGUGCUAUUGUAUUGUAACUUUUUUUUUUUCUCAUCUUUGCACAUCUUGUACUUGGAUGUGUUUUUUAUUACAUUAGCUCUUAUUGUCGUUGCAAAGAAAUAAAAUAAAAAAUAUCCAUAGAAGAAAACAUAUUAAAUAAUAACUCUUUAUUGUGUUGAAAUUGCAGGUCAAGUAAAGGUGUUUCGACUGCUUCACAAAGAAAGUUUUCAGGCAAAGUUAUAAAGAAGAGUUAAUAUUGUUGCUAGUUGGAGUCACCCUUAUAUUUGUUAAUUCUGUAAAUGUAAAUUUUCAGUUUGUUUUUAGGGUUAAAUAUGUUUUUGGUCCCUAUAAAAUUAGGAACUUCUAAGUUUAGUCCUUACUUAAUUUAAUAGGUUUUUUAGUCCUUACAAAAAAAAAAAAUUACUUCUAGUUUUAGUCCCAGUUACAACAAAAUUUGUUUAAUUAUCCUUAAACUCUUAAAUUUUUGAACGAUUUUUUUAAGACAAGUUUAGAACAUUAUGAAAGGUUCAUUUACCAAAAUUUAGAUUUUUUUAAUAUGAAACGAAUUAAAUAUGAAUUUUUUAAAACGGCAAAAGUUAAAGAUAAAAUUAACAAAAUCUAGACAUAGAAAUCAAAUUUUGCGACAAUUUUUUGCAGAGGAACUUUUAGUAAUGUUUUUAACACGUCUGCAAAAAUUUGUUUGAAAACUCAUGAGUUUAAGCAUAAAUUAAACAAAUUUGAAUUGAGGAGAGACUAAUAAAUUAAAAAAAGCCGGCAUGAAUUAAAAAAAGAAAAGAAAAAAAAUUACACGUGACACCUCACUUAAGUGAUGUGGGUGCUAAGUCAGCGAAGACCAAGUCAAAAUUGGCCUUGGAGGCCAAAACUGCCAAAGAUCCAAUACAUAUGGGGCUGUUUUGUAUUUUAAUUAAUAAGGGGGCCAAAAUCGCAACUUCUAGAAAGAUAGGGGUCAAAAGUGCAAUUAAAUCUAACUUAAUUUCAAAAAUUAAACAUAUGGUCAUUUAACUUAAUUUCAAAUAACGAUUCUGUCUUUUUAUCUUUCUGUUUUCCCACUUUAAUCCUUUAAGUUCUAAAAAAUUUACACAAUUAUCCUUUUUUACAUAAAAAAUCACAAAAAUCCAGAAAUUCAUAACAUUUAACUUAAUAUUCAAUAAAAAAUCCAUAUAUUCAUUAAAUAAACCGAGAUUUUCUUUGAGACUCAAAAUCUUCAUCCCAAAAGGCCAAUCCUUAACAAUUUCUUCUAUCUCACGGUGCCCUUCUCUCUCUCACCCACACACAUUCUUCUUUAUUACAUGUACUCUCUUAUUUGUUUCUACCCCAAAACCAAGAUCUAUUAUCACAUUUAUUACAAUAUCAUGCAUUCUAAUGGAAAAAUAAAUAUAAAUAAUUUGACUUUUGAUAAUAACUUUUUUUGAACAAAAAUAUUUAGUUUUUUUUCAAUAGCAUGCAUGUAUUCUAAAAUGCUUGACCAAAAAAAAGUUUUGGUCAAAAAGUCACAAUAUUUAAUUUAUUCAUAUAUUUAUCACAAACAUUUAAAUUUUCUAAUAUAGUUGCAAUAUAAUACAUAUGUGCAUUACCACACUAGUUAUUAUAAAUACAAGGUAUCCUUCAAAAAAAAAAUUAUAAAUACAAGGUAGGAGAUGAUUUCAGUUUCAGUGAUUGAGCACAUCACCAACAAGAAAGAAGAUGGCUCAGGGACAAAAGGAAAGGUAGAGAAAAUAGAGAAACACUCUAAUAUUCUCAAAGAAAAGUUAUAUUACUUGAAUGAUUCAAUACUUGAUUCUUUGAAUGUGCCUAAACACUUAGUGGUGAGCCUUAUUUAUACUACUCUAGGAAGGCUCUACAUUACAAACUAGAAAUAUCUAGAAACAUUUAAUGCUACUACUUAAUUACAAGAACUAUCUAGAGAUUCUAAUAUCUAGUUCAUGUGCCUAGAGAUGAUCCUAAUCACUAUGACAUUAUUUUGUAAUAUUCUUGAAAGUUCUUCGACAUCUUAAAAGUUCCAUAAUGUUCUAUAUUAUUCUCCAUAAUUCUCUAUCAUUCUCCACGGGUUGGAAGAGACUCAUCCUCGAGUCAAGAUUUCCUUGUUCAUCCUCGAGUCAAGAUUUCAGAAUACUUUUGCUACGGAAGUCAAAGUAUUCGAAGGACAAAAUCAGUUCCAACAUUUUCCCAAGGUGGCUUAGGAACUGGACGAAGUAGACAUAACUUUGUCUUAUCUUUGAAUGGUUCCUUUGCGGGUGAAAGUCCAAGUAGCUUAAAUUCCGCUUUUCCAUCAUUGAGUGGUAGAGGUGCCAACUUGAUCACAUCUUUCACGAAAGUGCAUGUAUUGACAUGAUCAUCGUAUAAUGCACAACGAUCAUAUUGACAUGGCAUCCAAGUAUCCAUAGAAAUAACAUCACACCAUAAAUUUUCUUUAUAAUUAUUGCCAAUGGAAAAUGAGAUAAUAGAGUGUUGAGAUACUUUUACCUCAUUAUCCUUGUUGAGCCGUUGAAGCUUGUGAGGGUGUAGGCGCUCCUUUGUUGGUAGAUUUAAUUUUUCUACCAUAUAAUUGGAUACAACAUUUUCACAACUUCCACCGUUGACAAUGAUAUCACAGACCUUACCUUGUGAGGUGUUGGAAGUGUGGAAGAUAUUAUGUUUUAGACAUGAUUCUUCUUUAUCUGUUGUUGUUUGUAAGCUUCUUCUAGCUACAAGUGAUUUACCAGAAUCAAAAGGAACACAUUCUCCGUCAUACAGUGGUUCGUUCUCCUCUUUUUCAAACACUUCAUGAAUAUCAUCAGGAUCAUGUUCAACAUCAUUCAUUGGAUCGUUGUUUCCUUCUUCUUUAAACACUUCACAAAUGUCAGUACCAACAUAUUCUUCAUCAUAUAUUGGUUCUCCCAUUGUCUCUGCUUCAAAUGAUUCAUGGAUGUCUUCUCUUUCUUCUUCAAAAAUAUUGUUUAUCUCUCUAUUAACGAUGGUGACUGCUUUAUAAUUCACACAAUCUAUGGCUAUGUGUCCGUACCCUUGACACAUGACACAUUUAGGUAUAUUGGUAUUUAUCUCUGUGACUGUUUUAUGACGGGGUUUAAAUGUGAAAAUAGGUUGAUGGGUUAGUGGUUUGUGAGAGUCAAUUUGAUUUUUUGUGGGGGAAAAUUGUCGGUAUGAAAUUUUUUUGGAUAAUUGUGGUUGAGUAAAAUUGUAUUGAUAAUAAUGGGGAGGUAAAUACUUACGGGUUAGUUUUUGACGCAUUUUCUCCCACGUCUUGAUCUUGCUUUUUCCUUCACGCUUGCGUCUCCUUUUAACAUUUUUCCACCAAAUUGAAGCGAGUUUCUUCAGCUUGGCAGCAACGAUCUUUACCUUUUGCUCCUCCGGAACCUCCUUAUAUUUAAAUAAACGUUCCACAAUUUGUAGCCAAUCUAGAAAAUCAUCUGGUUGUAGAUUCCCUUCAAAAUCUGGAAUGUCUACUUUAAUAUCAUUCAUUUGAAGCUCACGUCGUUGUGAGCGACUGCUUCUAGAUGAUGAAGAGUCACUACCGGAGACAUGAUCUUUGAAUCUCUUUUGUUGUGCUUCCAAAAGGGCUUGUUGGGCAUUGACAAUCUCUUGUAGUUGUUGAAUUUGUCGCCUCAUUUUUUCCAUCUCUUGCAAACUUCUUUCAUUUUGUCUUCGAGGUGGCAUUUGGACGAUGACGGUUCAACAAACUAUAUGGUAAAGAUUGUGGUUGUGAGUGGUGGUUUUGUUGGUGGUGAAGACUUGUUAACCAACGGUUUUCUUCACUUCCCAAACAAAAUGACAGGGUUAGUUUUGCAAACAAAAUGGCCGCAAAGUGAAGUUUUACUAAGGCAACUCCUUGCUCACUUGAAAACUCACUUUCCGUUGAUUUUUUCGCACAAACUCAACUCCGAGGUAUCGUAACCAGCUCUGAUAUCAAAUCUGGCUCAGGGACAAAAGGAAAGGUAGAGAAAAUAGAGAAACACUCUAAUAUUCUCAAAGAAAAGUUAUAUUACUUGAAUGAUUCAAUGCUUGAUUCUUUGAAUGUGCCUAAACACUUAGUGGUGAGCCUUAUUUAUACUACUCUAGGAAGACUCUACAUUACAAACUAGAAAUAUCUAGAAACAUUUAAUGCUACUACUUAAUUACAAGAACUAUCUAGAGAUUUUAAUAUCUAGUUCAGGAAAAUACUUGUUCAUGUGCCUAGAAAGUUCUAGAGAUGCUAAGAUGAUCCUAAUCACUAUGACAUUAUUUUGUAAUAUUCUUGAAAGUUCUUCGACAUCUUAAAAGUUCCAUAAUGUUCUAUAUUAUUCUCCAUAAUUCUCUAUUAGAAGAGUGAGAUUACUCUCCUCUCACAAUCUUGAUUUAUGGUUCUUCUAUAGCUGGCAUUAUUUUAACUCAUUCUAACAUUUUCCAACUCCAAAUUCCCAAAGGUAAACUCCAAAAAUCUAAAAGAAAACGUAUACUUUUUGUUACAUUUUGCUUGGUUUUUUGGGAUUAUAGAACAUGCAUGUACUAUUGUCCAAGACCAUGAUGCUUGUAUUCAAUUUAAAAUUUCUUUCAUACCAUUUUUUUCAUCUUAUAUGUGACAACUAAAACUAUAGACAGUUAUUGGAUUUUUGAAAAUCAGAUUCAAACAUGGAUGUAUCAGAAGUGUGUCCAACUGUUGAUGCAAUAAGAGCUUUCCUUGAAUACUUGGUAGAUCCAUUACUGCAAGAAGAUCAUUCUACCAAUGAUGAUCUUCCAUUAUCACAACAUGAAAAAGUUGCAAAACAGGUUUUUUUUUUCUUUCAUUCACCUUGAAACUUUUGUUAUGGCAAUCCAAAUAUUAACUAAUAACAUCUAGGUGACUAUUUGGAACAGAUUUCAGUUACGCCUUUUUAUACAAACUUAUUUUAAAUUUAAUUUCAUUAAUUAACAUUUAAUAGAAGUCGUUUAAACUUGAGGUGAUUGCUCAAUCGUACGAGCUUAGCCUUGUUACCUCCAGGUAAAGAGGUAAAGAGUUCAAAAUCCCCUCGAAGACGGUUAUGAUUUGGUCAUUAGUGCCAUUUUGAUCGAUAAAAAUUUCCCCUUUGCCAAUAUUUUAAAAGAAGUUCCCAUUUGAUUUUAAAUUUGAAAGAUUAGUUAACAUGAAAUUGAAGUUCUUAUUUGAUUUUAAUAUCUAAUUGAAGUUCAUGAUUUUAACAUCUAUUAAAGUUCCUAUUAGAUAUGGCAAUCCAAAGAUUAAUUAACAUCUAAUUGAAGUUCCUAUUUGAUUUAAAAGUUGAAGAACCACAAGUAUUUCAUUAUAUGAUUAUGAUGUAGGUGCGUGCAGUCGCAGUCGUGUUAUUGAACAACUACUACCACAUCAGAAAAAUGAAUCAAGAGCUAGCAUUUUUGCCAUACAGGGAAUUUUGCAACAUCAUUGUGGAUCUGAGACCAGCAAUGUUGGCAUAUAUGAAAUUUAUGUUGCAGCCUAAUUAUACUGACCUCGUUGACGUGGAGCAGCAACUUUCAUUAACUGAAAAUGUGAUCAUGAGUUCCCAUGAUAUAUGCUUAUCUAUAGAUGCAUCGAAAAAUGAACCUAAUAUAGAGGGUUGGCCCAUUUCAAAAGUCGCGGUCCUUUUGGUCGAUAUUAAGAAGGAAAACUGCUUCUUGCGUUUUAAUUCCUUCACUGAUGGAGUAUGGUCAUUGAUUGAAAAAGAUGUUGAUACUUCAUAUCAAAUUUUUGAAGUUACAAGUGAGAUCAAAUCUCCAUACAAAAGAAGAAUAGUAAUUAUGACACGUUCGAAAGUCAUAUUAAAUGAAGAUUAACUCUUGCAAGAUGGAUAUUCUGCUAUUAGCGAAGCUGCAAGUAAUUAUCCUACUUUAACAUAAAGAUUGCAUUUGUUUUAAUUUAUUCACAAUUGGAAUCAUAUGCCAGCAUGACUCAUGGUGUACACUUUUCUUAUGUUUUCUGUACAUCUUGUCAUAUCAGGACAUGCUUUGUUUUUUCUUUAUUUUCUGUAUAUUAAAUUGUUUUAACAUGUAUUUUUUGACUCAUAAUAGUCGAACAUGAUUCUUAUAAAAUGAUUUCAUAUUUCCCUUGUGAAUAGGUGUCAAUAUUAUUGAUAUGAUGCUUUUGGGAAGUUACACUGUGUAUUCCCAGAGCAAAGAGAGGACAGCGUUUCGCUUUUAUAUAAUGAAGUGCUCACAGUCGAUUGUUGAAGGGUUUACUAAAGUUCCUAUCAAAGAUUUAAUUGAAAGGUUUGUUACAAUCGAUAUGGCUUUUCUAUAACAAACUUUUUGUGUGUUUCUCUAUAACAUUUGAUAUCUCAUCUUUGUAUAGCUUUCGGGGUCCUUUGGUCAAAAGAAGUUCUUGCAGUUGUCAAUUACUUCCACAUGCUUCCUUAUUCUGAAAUAAUCUCAGAAUGGAUUUCUAGGUUUGUAUAAUUCACAUUUCCCAUUUUCUGAUGCUAAAUUCAGAUUGAUUUACAGUAAUGAAUAUUGACCUAAUAAUUAGAAGCCUCGGAAACAUAGCAUAGGUUUGAUUAAAUUAUUUCCCAUUUCCAUCUUAUGUUUUCGUUUUCACCUUUUGCAUAAAAUAAUGAUGGAUAUUUGCAUAAUGUGUUCUUUGCAGAGAAGCUUUCUCAAAUAGUUUGCAAGAUUUAAUGCUGGCAGAGAAACAAUCCUCAAAGCUUGAAGUGACAGAAUCACAUGUAAGUAGUAAGGGCUUGUAUAUUGAUCUUGAUAACAAGUUGUGCAGAUGUUUUAUACAAUAUUUAGUUAUGUCUAUGGAUACUUCUUAAGGUUUACAUAAACCCUAGAGUUUUUACUAUUUCCUUUAUUGUUGAGAUGGCUUUUUUCUUAAGAAAAAAAAGUAGUCUCAAUGCUUUUUUCAUCUCUCACCUAACUACAUGCCAUUGGAUAUAUUGACAGGUUGAGAAGGUUUGUUCAACAAGGAUGCAAAUCACUGAAGAUGGAAUCAAAGAUCAACCUAUUUCAGAAAAUGAAUCUGAGGGAUGUGCAAGUGAUGUCAAGGACCAGGGUCAGCAGGAUAGGCCCAAAGUGUUGAAGAUCUAUGCGAGGAGAAACAAAAAAGAUCAAAAGGUAGUAAAACCAUCAAUGCAACAUCACUCAAAUGAAUGUACACGAACCAUUGAGGCUUGUGUUACAAAGCAAAUAGGAUCUCAUGAUACAAAUCAAGAGGGACCUAAUACAAGAAACAAAAAUGGUCCAAUAAAGGUGGAUACAAAUUCUAGUGAUAGACCAAAUCAAAGGCCUAAGAGAUUGAUCAAGAGACCUAGCAGAUUCAAUACUUAAAUGUAUAUCUAGUAGCAUUCAAGGAAGAGGGUAAAUCCAUGAGCUGAUACAAAUAUCUCUAGUACCAUUAGUACCUGAAAAAGGAUAAGAAUAAAAAUAGUUAGCAAUUUUUUUUUUUAUAUUUUAAUCAAUGGGAUGAAGACAAUUAGUGUCUCAAUAUCCUAUAUCCUAGGAAGAAUUGUAUCGUCUCUAGCAUUAUAUGAAUUGUGUUUGCGUUUGGACUGAUCAUAUUUUUGUUUCUUGCUUUAUCUUUCUAGUUUUGGUUUUACCAUGUCAACUUGGAAAUUUCUUGUGACCUUGUUUUCCAAUAAUUAAAUUUGUGGUUCAUAAUUGCUCUACAUGGCUUACAUUGAACUAUGCACACAUGACAACAGUGCGUGCAUUCAUAAGGAAACACAAUGAUGACGUUGAAGAAUGAUAAGUGAUAAGUAAAUCAAAAAAUCGAAUCCACAACCACAAAAUGAAGAUGAAACUAUACAUAGAUAUUUUCCAUGUUUAAAAGUAUCAAAAAAAUAAUUCACAAGUAGAACUCGUGAAUUGAAUAAACAGGUUUCUAGUCCAUCACACUGAAUUUGUCCUAUACAAUGCUACAAUUAUUCUAGAUGUAACUUAGUUUUUUUUUUAUUUCUAUUGGUGACAAAAGUGUUCUUAUAAUCCUAUGAUUGUCUAAAAAGGGCAAAUGUCAACAUGUGCUCUAAGGGUAGGGCUGGUCAUCAGUCAAUUUCGGUCGAAAAUCGGGGCCAAAACCUCGAUCUGCGCUAACCCAUCGUUGGAACUCCUAGGCUCAAUUCCAGUCUCGGUUUAGUUGGUUUCGGUUUACUGGGUUCAGUCUAUUAACUCCUUAAUGGACCAAAUUAUUUGGCUCGUAAAUUUUUUCAAGAAUAUACCUUUCAAUAAAAAAAGAUUUCUGGUUUUUUUUUUCCUUAGUAAUUCUAAAAAUGGGCAUGUGUGUAGAUUCAAAUACAUAUUGUUUUCUUAAAUUGGACCAUUCAACAUAUUAUUAAGCUCAUUCAUACUAAUCUUAAGGUUAAUCAAUUGACACAGCAUACUCAAUAAAUUACAAUUUAAAUAGCCAUAUUAAGACAUUAAUUAUAUUCAUUCGAUAAUAAAAUUAACAUAGUAAGUUCUUUCACUGUUAUAAAUGAAUAUAGCAAGCUUCUUGCUGAUGUAAGAUGGAGAAACUUGAACCUUGAUGCUGCAAAAAAGAAAAGAAAAACAAUCACCAAUGAUAAUUAUUCACUCACAAUCUUAAAAAGAGAAUAAAAUUGCAGAAAGGGUGGGUUAUUCUUAUGAACAUUUGUUAGAGCUUCUAAGUGGUUAUUCUUUUUUCUCUCAAAAAAAAAAAGUGGUUAUUCUUUUUGAAGCAAAUAGAAACAUGUUCACUUGCAUACGUACACUUAAAAAGAAGCAAAGAGAACUUUAUUUGCAUACACUUUUAAUACACAUUUACAUCAACUUUGAAUAAAUGUUCGCAUACAUACAUACACUUUGAAAAGGUCAAGAGAACAACAAAUAAACCAUAUAAGAAGCAAAGAGAGAUUAUAGUCAAAUUUUCUUGCAAAUUUCAGAUUUCAUUUAGAUAUCACAACGAACUUGCAUAAACUCAAACUCACAUACACUUGCAUACAAAAGAAAGACACUACAAUUUUCACUUGCAUACACAUUUGGAUCAACUUUAAAUACAUGUUAGCAUACACUUUGAAGAAGAAAAAAAAAAGCAUCAAAAGACAAUUCAAUGGACUUCAAUAAGUCUUUUGGAUUUUGUUAUUUAAAAAAGAUAGUUGUGUUAAAAUUUUAGAACAUGAAGGGUUAAAAUGAAAAAAUAAAAAGAUAAAUGAUUGAAUUGUUACUUAAAAUUAAGUUAAGAUAUUAAGGAUAUAAUUUUGCGUUAUUAUUUUAAUAAAACAGAUAGCUUAACUAAGAAUUCCAACAAUUUAACAAUGAGUAGUUAUUAUAUUUUAAUAAAACAUAUCGUGUCAUGAUUCUAUCAAAUAAUCUCUCUCCCAACAAUUUAACAAUGAGUAGUGAUAUUUGAACAACCAUUUCAUUCAAUUUUUGUGAUAACUAUUAUUUUUUCUCUUUUCAUUGAUCAAAAACAAUAGAAAGAGAUAAAGGAAGAGAUAGAAUAAAAGCAUAACGUGAAUAUAAAAGAGAGAGUUGUCACAAAGUGGUUGUACAAAUAUCAUUUCUCUUUAACAAUUUAUUAGUUUCUCACAUACUAAGCUUUAUCAAUUGUUUUACUCAUUUACCCUAUCAAUUUUUGGGUUUAAUCAUUUAAUGAAAGAGGGAUAGCUGAGAUAGAUGGAUUGAAGAGGAAAGAAGACAAUGAAAUAAAUAAAAAAUUGAAAAUGUUGGUAUAAAACAACAGUAACUACGAUGUAUGUAUUGUGUUUUGUUUUUGUGUGUUCAGUUAUCAUUUUUUUUUCAUUAUUAUCAUCAUUAAUGUACGAGAAAACUUUGUAUUGAAAUACAUUAAAUUUUAGUCAAUCUUUAAAAAAAAAAAAAAUUGGUCAAAUAUUCGAAAUAUUUAAUUUAUUCAUAUAAGUCAUUGUAUUGAAAUACAUUAAAUUUUGGUCAAUCUUUCAAAAUAAAUUAAAUUUUGGUCAAAUAGUCAAAAUAUUUAAUUUAUUCAUAUAGUUAUCGCAAACAUUUAAAUUUUCUAAUAUAAUUGCAAUAUAAUACAUGUGGGCAUUACCACACUAGUUAUUAUAAAUACAAGGUAGGAGAUGAUUUCAGUUUCAGUGAUUGAGCACAUCACCAACAAGAACAAAGAGUGAGAAUAUUCUCCUCUCACCAUUUUCAUUUUUGGUUCACCAUUUAUAUGUGAUAACUAAAACCAUAGUCAAUUAUUGGAUUUUUGAAAAUCAGAUUCAAACAUGGAUGUAUUAGAAGUGUGUCCAACUGUUGAUGCAAUCAGAGCUUUCCUUGAAUACUUGGUAGAUCGAUUACUGCAAGAAGAUAAUUCUACCAAUGAUGAUCUUCCACAAUCACAACAUGAAAAAGAUGCAAACCAGGUUUUUUUUUUCUUUCACCUUGAACCUUUUUUUUCAUACAUGAAAAAUUUUGAUUGAUAAAAAUUUCCCCUUUGCCAAUAUUUUUUUAAAAACUUCUCAUUUGAUUUCAAAAUUGAAAUAUUAAUUAACAUCAAAUUUAAGUUCUUUUUUCAAAAAAAUAAUCAAAUUGAAGUUCUUAUUUGAUUUUAAUAUCCACUUGAGUUCCUAUUAGAUAUGGCAAUCCAAAGAUUAAUUAACAUCUAAUUGAAUUGUUCCUGUUUGAUUUUAAAGUUGAAGAACCAGAAGUAUUUAAUUAUAUGAUUAUGGUGUAGGUGCAUCUAGUCGUGUUAUUGAAGAACUGCUGCCACAAAAAACUGAAUCAAGAGCUAGCAAAGUUUCAACCAAGUCUGCUUUCCGAUCCUUAUAGAAUCCUUUCAUUUCGAGAUCCUUUGUCAUUGACCUCAAUCUAGGCAUUGUCUCUUUCAUCAAGGAUUAUGUAGUUUUCAUCACGGUAAUAGGGACCAAAGCUAAUCUCACAUUAUAUUGGCUUCCAUUAUCCAAUGAAACCCUAUUUAAAUUCUUCAAAACUUGUCUUUUCUUUUGUAAUUCAGAAAAUUUGUUGUCAUAAUGAAUAACAGCCUUACCAUCAGUUCCGUGAUGGCCCGACUACAAAUCCCUUUAUUACUUUUACUAUUGAUGGGCUCAUUUAAGAUCAUACCAGCAGGACAUGUUUUCGACUUCCGCUGCCUCUUAGUUAAUACAUUAUCAUUGUUAGAAAGAACAAUAGAAUUACCCUCAAUUUCGUGUUGGCCCUGUUGCACAUUUAAGAUUGUACCAGCAAUAUAUGUUUUUUGUUUCCGCGGCCUCUUAGUUGAUACAGUAAUAUUAGAUGUUCUUGGAGUAACUUCUAAUAUUAUAUUAAAUAAGAGGCAACGGAAACAAAAAAAACCUAUAUUGUUGGUACAAUCAUAAAUGACAACUGGGCCAGCAUGAAGUUGAGGGAAAUUCUAUUGUUCUUUUUCACAUUGAUAAUGUAUUAACCAGCGGAAGUCAAAAAUUUGUCCUACUGCUAUGAUCUUGAAUGAUCAAUAGUACAAAUAAUAAGAGGGAUUUACAGCCGGGACAACAUGGAACUAUUGGUAAGGCCAUUGUUCUUUAAGGAAUCUCGAAAUGGUAAAGGAUUGGAAAGGAUCUCGAAAUUUCUGAAUGACAAUUCCUACACUGUGGUCAAUGGUAAAGGAUCUCGAAAUGAAAGGAUUCUGUAAGGAUUGGAAAGCAGAUUUGGUUGAAAAAUUACUUGUGUCAUAUAGGUAAUUUCGCGAGAUCAUUGUGGAUCUGAGACCAGCAAUGUUGGCAUAUAUGAAAAUUUAAUGUUGGCAGAGAAACAAUUCUCAAAGCUUGAAGUGACAAAAUCGCACGUAAUUAAGUAGUACGGGCUUGUAUAUUGAUCUUGAUAACAAGUCGUGCAAGAAUUUCCCAAUCUAUAUAUCUUUUAUAUUUUAAUCAAUGGGAUGAAGACAAUUAGUGUCUCAAUAUCCUAUAUCCUAUGAAGAAUUGUGUCGUCUCUAGCAUUAUAUGAAUUGUGUUUGCAUUUGGACUUGAUCAUAUUUUUGUUUCUUGCUUUAUCUUUCUAGUUUUGGUUUUACCAUGUUAACUUGGAAAUUUCUUGUUACCUUGUUUUCCAAAAAUUAAAUAAAUGUGUGGUUCAUAAUUGCUCAACAUGGCUUACAUUGGACUAUGCACACAUGACGAGAGUGUGUGCAUUUAUAAGGAAACACAAUGAUGACGAUCAAGAAUAAUAAGUGAUAAGUAAAUCAAAAUAUAUCAAAUCCAUCUAAAAACUUCUACUUUUAAAAUCCUUAACUUGUGCCGUUAGAGCAUAGGUUAGCAAGAUCGAUCUAAAAAUGCAUGAGUAUUUUGCUUCUAGUAUCACUGUUUUGCUCGUUUUCUUUUUCUUUUCCCAAUUUUCUGAAUUCUCACAACUAUUCUAAUGUAAAUGAAUAAUAGUUAUACACAACUCAAAGCCAAUUAAACUUGUUAAAAAUUGAAAGCCAAAUUACAGUGAUAAAAUCUCGUGUACUUAUUUUACUUUAUAAAUAAAUUAGAUUCAUUAGUGAAAUAUAAACUCUGUCUGAGCACAAGAAAUUCCACAACCCUUCUACAAGCUUACAACACUACAACAACAAAAGCUAUCAUGAUGUGCUUUGAAAGCAUCUGGACCAACAUAAUCCACAAAACAAAGAAGAAGCUAGACUUCAAUUCUAAACACUUUUAAAAUAAAAAAAUAAAAAUAAAAAUAAACCUUAGAUUGUAAACUUUUAUAAAAAUAAAAAAAUAAAAAAAAAAACCUUAAAUUGAAAAAUAAUUAACUAUUGUGUUUGAUAUUUUAUUACAAUUAACAAACAAACAUGUUCACCCCAAACAAUUAUUGUUGUGUAUAACACUUGUAAUAAAGAAACACUAAGUUUUUUUGGUGCACAAUAAAGAAACACUAUUUUAUCAUCUCCCUGAGAAAACAUUGUUAUUUGAAGAUAUAUAUGGUGUAAAAGUUGCCAAUCAAAUUUUAUGGACUGAUAGCCGAGUUUCAUAAAUAUAUAGAUUUGAGAAGUUGUAAAGAAAUAAAUUUGAGAAGCACUAUUACAAAUGGCGGUCUAAUAUGAAUCCUCUCGAAUGGUGAACUAUGAAUUUUAAAUUUUUUUUUAAUAAAAUGCUACAUUUGUUCUAAAUUUUUAUUAAUAUUAUAUGCACCCCUAAUAUUAUAAUUUUAUUUGUUCCAUAUUUGAUGCACCUAUAUUGUAAUUAUAUUUUUACCCUUUUACAAAUGUACAACAUAUAAAUAGGAUACAAGACAAAAGCAGCAGAGAUGUCGCGGUAUAUACAAUCAAAAUUAUGAAUGAGGGCCUCUAAAAUAUUAUGAAAGAUUAUUAGUGUUGAGAAUAGUGCAUACUUUAAUAGAUUAUCCAUUUAAAAAUCAUGAUUGUUUGUGAGGUUCUAUAUUUGUCAGUUUCUUAACAAUUAACACCAAUUUUAUCUGUAGGUUGUAGCUACAGACAAAUAUAGACAAAUACAGCCUACACCAAUUUUUCUCUAUAUUUGGCUCUAAAUAUAAAUUAUAAAAGGAACCAUAUUUUCAAUGGAUCAAGCACAAUAGUCAAUUAGUUUUUCAUUCAUGGCUCUGAAUAUGAAAUUAUUCAGAGCCUUUUUAAUUCUCACUCUCUUCAAUCUCUUCACCACGUUACCAUCUGCUGAGGUUGUUUCACCAAUUCUUGAUGUUUCUUCACUUAAUCGAACUAGUUUUCCUACAAACUUCAUUUUUGGGACAGCAUCCUCAGCAUACCAGGUACCUCAUUAUUUCAAUGAGACCUUCUUACAGAUUUGAAUUCAAUUUCAGUCGGGCCAAAAUGCAGUUUUUAAUUUAUGAGCAUUGAUUUUAAAAAAUAAUGAUAAUGGUUUUAAUUUUUAGAACAUAUUAAAAAUCCCACCAAAUUUAAGCUAAAUCAAGGUAAUUGAAUUGAACAAUUUGGUUGAUGUCAUGAUAUAUUAUAUCAUGUAGUACGAAGGUGCUGCUAAAGAAGGUGGGAGAGGAGCAAGUAUAUGGGACACCUAUACUCAUAAGUAUCCAGGUAUCUGAUUUCUCCAUUUAUUUUUUUGGAUUGAAUUCAAGAUGCAUGUAAAGUGUUAAAAUUAAUUUUGAUUUAGUAACAACUCAAUGUUUUUUUUAUUCUGUAUCAAGAUUGAUUUUACGACUUUGAUUUAAUUAAAAGAGAUCAAGAGUACUUUUAUGAUGAUGAGUUGAAAAUUUUAUAAUAUGUUUACGUUUUACACUUUUUAGAUUCGUGAAGCAAAUAUCAAUGGCAACCAAUAACCAAAUGUAAAUAACCACAAGCAAUAACAACAAUCUAGAUCUAAUCUAGAAAACAAGUGCAUAGAAAAACCACAAUCCAACCAAGGAAUAAACAAGUUAAAGAGGGUAAAGAAAAGAUAACAGCACCAAGAAAUUAUUGACCCAGUUCGGUCCAACUUGACCUAAUCUGGGGAGAGAUUGAUCUCUCCAAUCCAUUAUCAAUGAGCUCUUACAAAGAAAUACAAAUGGGUUACAAUAAAUUAGCUUCAACAAGCUCACAAAGAACAACCUUAAUUUCUACCCAUUUUCCCAAUCUCACCAAUGCACAAGACACUCGUGAUUUUCACUCUCCCAAGGUGUUUACAAUUGUUUCCCAACUCUAGAAUCUAAACCCGAAAAGAGAACCAACCCUUAGCCUUUGAUUUCACUAAGGAUCUUCUCUUUUGGUUUCACAAGACUCACCCAAGUUGCUCACAAAAGACUCUCCACUCAUGUGUUUCCCAACCCCAUGAAUCUUCCCAAAAGGCACCAACCCUUUUCCCAAGAGCCCCCUCUUUUGGUUCUUCAAGAUUCACAUCUUGAAGUUUUGAACCUCACCCAAAGACCCUCAACCUUUAGUAUCUAAAACCCUAAAAGUUCUCUCAUUUGGUUUCCAUGAGAUUCACCUAGCUUUUUAACAAAUGGGUCAUAGAGUGCUUAAAUAGUGUGACAGAUCUGUCAAAAUCGCGUCGCGUCAGCCAAAAUCGCGCCACGGUUCAUUGUGUACGACCCAAGGUACAACAACCUUAUCAAGAAAUCGUGUCAUGAUGCACAAAAUCACGCCACGAUUUGCUUCAACAGAAACCAUCCAUUCUACCAGCAAAAUCACGCCACGCCUCUGAAAAUCGCACCACAAUUUUCAGCUUUUACAACAUCACAAUUUUGAAUCAUUUCUCAACAAUUAUUUAGAAACGCGUUCACCACAAACCAAUAUUGGUGUGUAUAGCACUGGUAAUAAAUAAAUAAAAAUACACAAUGUUAUUCUGCUCAAUGGUGCAAUAUGAGUUUGUCUCUCUCUCAGAGAACAUUUUAAUUUGAAGGUAUUAUGUUGUAAGAGUUGCAAAUCAAAUUUUAUGGAAUGAGAGGCCGAAAGUCAUAACUUAAUUAGAUUUGAGAAGUAUUUUAUAAGGGACAAUCUAAUAUGAACCUUCUCGAAAGGUGAACUGUGAAUUUUAAAAAAUUUGCAAACAUUCCUUCAAAACAAAAGUUAUUAACAUAUUACAAUUAUUCUAAAUUUUUAUUAACAUAAAAUUAGUUUUACUAUAUACACCCCAAUUAUUAUAACUUUAUCUGAUCCAUAUUAGAUGCACCUAUUAUAAUUCUAUUUUUAGCCUUUUACAAAUAAAACAAAUGUUCAACAUGCAGAAAAGAUAUCAGACAGAAGCAACGGAGAUGUUGCGGUUGACCAAUAUUAUCGCUAUAAGGUACUGUAUUUAUGAUCAAAAUCAUGAACGAGGACCCCUAUAAUAUUAAGUAUGAUGAUUAAUGUUGAAAAUUGUGAAUAGUUUAAGAGAUUAUCAAUUUAAAGUUCAUUAUUGCCUGCAAGGUCUAGCUCAAAUAUCAAUGCCUAUAUUGCUAGACUGAAGACAUUCACCCUGGUUUGAAUCUGGCACCUCACUGUUGUAUGUGUGAGUAUUAAAUGAUAUAUUAUCACUUCGUCUACAAACUACAAAAAAUAAUAGUCAAUAUUGUUAAAAAUCAAGGUGAUGAUACGAAAUCGACUAAAAUACCAAAUAUAAUAUAUUUUUUACUUACUUAAUGAGAAUUGAUUAAUGCAUAAAACUUUUCAUAAGAUAGAACACUAGUAAAAUUAUUAUUAUAAAGAUAAUGAUAUUCAAUGGAGAAAAAUCAAAUUCAAUAUCCCCCUGCAAUUGGUUACUAUUUUGUAUUAUAUUAUAUAUUUUCUUUUGUACAAUAAAAUGAUAGUAUGUUAUUUCAAAAAAAUAUGGAACUAGUACGUUAUACACUUAAAUAUCGCAGGAAGAUGUUGGCAUCAUGAAGAAUAUGAAUUUGGAUGCCUACAGAUUCUCGAUCUCUUGGUCUAGAAUCCUCCCAAGUGAGUUAAACUUAAACGACUAACUCCUAGUUAAUUUUACCUAAUUAAGUUGAUGUUUCACAAUUUUUUUCUUUCAAUUUUAUUAAACUAUCAAUAGAAGGAAAAAUUAAUGGAGGUAUAAACCAAGAAGGAGUCAAAUAUUACAACAACCUCAUCAAUGAGUUGUUGGCUAAUGGUUAGUCCAUACUUGGUUUACUUGAUUUUUUAUUAAACUACUACACAUUUUAACAUUUCAAACAACAUUAAUAGUAAACAAAAUUAUUGAAUAUAAAUAUUGUAGGUCUACAACCAUUCGUAACUUUAUUUCAUUGGGAUCUUCCUCAAGCUUUAGAGAACGAGUAUGGCGGCUUCUUAAGCCCUCUCAUUGUGUAAGUGAUACAAAAUUACCUAAAUCUUAUUUACCUAAAUCUCAUUAUGAAGAUCCACAUUAGGCUAGUUUUGUAUUUGGAACAAAUUGUAUAUUAACCAAUCAAAAAGCAACAAUACUAAGCAUUAAUAUCAUAAUCUGUGGCUUAUUUUUAGAAAUGAUUUUCAAGACUACGCGGAACUUUGUUUCAAAGAGUUUGGAGAUAGGGUGAAGUAUUGGAUCACUUUCAAUGAGCCAUCCUCUUUCAGCGUUUCUUCCUAUGCAAUAGGGAUCUUUCCACCUGGUCGAUGUUCUAAAUGGUUGAGUUCAAAUUGCACCGAUGGUGAUUCAGGGAAAGAACCUUACAUUGUUUCGCAUCACCAACUUCUUGCUCAUGCUGUAGCUGCCGAUGUGUACAAGAAGAAGUAUCAGGUUUGUUAUUAUAACUUAGAUAAGAACUUAAUUUAAAGUUAAAGAUACCUAAUAACCAAAAAAUGAUAUAUUUAUAUAUAGGAAUCUCAAAAGGGUGUGAUAGGCAUAACCUUGGUGUCUAGUUGGUUCAUUCCACAUUCUGAUAAUAAAUUCGAUCAAAAAGCUGCUGAACGAGGACUAGACUUCAUGUUUGGAUGGUAAGUGCUUAACUCUACACUAGAAUACUAGUUAGAUAUAGUUGAAUAUUAAUUAGAAUUAGUUUAAUUUUUUUAAGAAAGUUAAAACUUAGUGGUGUAAUUAUUUGUUUUUUUAUAAGCUAGCAAAUAUUUCUUGAUUAUGAGUAAACUAAACUAGCACACGAUGUUCAAGGAUUUGUUCAAUUUACGAGCACCACCCUUACUCCUAUCAAAAGGGUGAUCUCUUCAUCAAGGAGUCACUCUUGGUUUCCCAUGUUGCCGACCUCCUUGGAUUUUAACCUACGUACCGGUAGACCCCAAAACUGAAACGGUACUUUAUCAAAGGUGCAAAACAAGAAGUUUCCAUAAAAUGUUACUCCAUGAUCACAAUAAAAAGCGAUCAUUUGAAAUCAUCAUAAUACCAAUUCCAAAACCGAUCCAUGUUUCUAUAAUUAGUUGGACUAUAUCGUAUAGUAGUAAUUCUCAACAAUAACAAUUGUUCGUGAAAUUGUUUUUAAGUUUUCUAUUUGUAAAAAUGAUUACAGGUAUAUGGAACCACUAACAAAAGGGGAAUAUCCACAAAGCAUGCGUUCUCUUGUUGGAAAACGAUUGCCAAAUUUCUCUAAAAAGCAAGCAAGACUACUUAAAGGGUCAUUUGAUUUCCUUGGACUAAACUAUUAUACCUCUAUGUAUGCUACCAAUGCACCACAACUUGGAAAUGGUAGACCCAAUUACUUCACUGAUUCUAAUGCCAAUUUUACAAGUAAGCAUGUCCUUUAUUUAUUGAUCAUUUUUUAAAUUAAUGAAUAUUUUUUAAUUUGAUGAUAAAAUUAUAUCUUUUGUUUUUGUGGUGGAAGCUGAGCGCAAUGGUAUUCCAAUAGGUCCAAGGGUACGUAUACCAUAGCAUAUUAUAACUUUUAUAAUUUUUUUAAGUGUAUAUAUAUUUAGGUUAUGUUUGCAAUUAUCUUUGUGCAGGCAGCUUCAAGUUGGUUAUAUGUUUAUCCUAAAGGAAUUCAAGAAUUGUUACUCUAUGUUAAGAAAGUGUACAACAAUCCUUUGAUUUACAUCACCGAAAAUGGUAAACACACUUUACUUCAUAUUGUUUAUUCCUGAAUAUUGUUAUAUAAAGUAAAUGUGAGAUAGAAUACAUAACAUUUUUCGAUAAAAAUUUACGUUUAUGUAUGAAUUUUAUCUUUUGAUAUUUUUAUCUAACAUAUAUAUGAUCAUAAUCUUUUUUGAAAACUUAAUUUUUAGGUGUUGAUGAGUUUAAUGAUCCAACACUAUCACUCGAGGAAGCCCUUAUGGACACUUCUAGAAUUGAUUAUUUCCACCGUCAUCUCUAUUAUAUUCGAUGUGCAAUCAAGUAAGUGAAUAGUAUUUAUAUAUUUAAAUUUUGAGAUUAGUUUUUUUAAGGAUUUCUUAGAGUGGCUAUAUAUUAUAUAUUUAAAGUAUAGUUGUUUUCUCAUACAUGAUUUAAUUUAUUUUUUUAUUAGGGAUGGCGUAAAUAUAAAAGGAUAUUUUGCAUGGUCGUUUCUCGACAAUUUUGAAUGGGCAUCAGGUUAUGCAAUGCGAUUUGGCAUGAAUUUUGUGGAUUACAAAAAUGGUUUGAAAAGACACCAAAAGUUGUCGGCAAUGUGGUUUACGAAUUUUCUCAAAAAAUGUUAAAUUUUAUAUACUUGAUGUUUCCAAUAAUUAAGAAUGUAAUGAAACAUAUCAAGCAAGUUUAAUUUUAAUUCAUAACAUGGUCGUUCAUUCUUAAACGUAUUUUUUUUAUCCAAUUAGUCAGGUUAUACUUUCACCCUUAAGUUGAAUAAGUGAGGUGUUGAAAUAAAAUAAUUGAGUUAUGUUUACGAGAAUCUUAUACUUAUGACUUUAUUGUCUAAUAAUAAAAUAAUAUAGCGACAUAUGCAACUUCAGUUGUGCAAAUUGAGAUGGAAACAAAAUGUUAUCAACAAUAACUCAAUUAAGGAGAUCUUCUAUGCGUAGUUAAAUUUAAAAUAGCGAUUGAAAUUAUAUUAAUGUAAUAAUAAUAAAUCAUUACUUUGUUGAAAAGUUUCUGAAGCACGAACAAGAAAAAGAUUAAUAAUGUAUGGCUAAUAAGAUAUGAUGACGCCACUUUUCUAUCCUAAAUUUUAAUGAUUUGGAUCUUCUACAAGAAUUUUAUGCAUCUUUUUCCACAUCAUUUUUAUUCUCUUCUGAUUACCUACUCAUUUUUUCUUAUCCUCUUUAUCCAUUCACUUAGAUGCAUCGUGAAUAUGAUACACAUCUUCUAUAUAUCAAACAAUGAACACGUUUACAAUCAAUGUGAGACUACUGUUAAUUUAUUCUUGAAUACCAACAAUCUCUCCAUCAAAUGUGAAUAUAUCACAUCACUAUAAUUAGCUCAAAUACCAUGACCCCACUCUUGAUCCCUUAUCAAGCCAAACUAAGGCUUUAAUACCACUUGUUAGAGAGUUCGAGCAUCAGGAGCAACAAUGAAUAUUAUGAUGUGGUAUUAACAAGAGAUCAUGACACCACAUCCAAACCUAAAACCUUAAUAUGUAAAUAUGAAUAUGAAUAUGAACAUGUUUAAUGUUGGAUAUAUAAGAGAUAUCGAUGACACGUCAAUAAAUGAUGUUAACUUAACAUACAUUUUGAGAGGUACCAUUAAUGUUAACUUAACCCCCAUUUUUCUUUUCUCGAAAAUUUUUUUUUUUUUUUGGUCAAGUCUUUUCUCGAAAUUUUAAUACAUCAUUACAUAUUUUGAUCAUUUUUUUUAUAAUUUUUCCUAUUAAUUUAUAAAAUGAAAACACUUAUUCGGCCACACCAAAAUCUAUGUUAGCAAAAAAAUUAUGUCUAAUAAAUGUUGCUAUUUCAUAAAUUAAUAACAGUAUUAUGAAAAAGGUAAAAUAGUGGAACCAAAAAACUUGUUUUUAAAAUAGGAGGACAUAAACUUAUUUUCUUAAAAUUUCAAAACGACACAAUGGUUUAAAAUUUGAUCCAAGCAAAAUUUAAUUUUCUUUACUUGUUUCAUUAAUUACUUUUCAGAAGUGUUGAACGGUUGUUCCAUCUCCUCAAACGCGAAGUUGUCUCACAAGUGUUAAAAAAAACCACGUGCAUUAUCUUCUGAAUUAAAAAAUAAAAAAUAAAAUAAAAUAAAAAAUGGAAAGAUAAAAAAGGAAGGACAUGUGAGGGUUCUCUCUCGUGCGACCCUUCUUUCUCUUUACAAACAUAAGCCACCAUCACUUCUUCCUCUGGUAAAAUCAAAGACCAAGGUCGAGUCUAUGGCUUUUCUUCUACUUCAAACUACCUUCAUAUCCAUCACCCUUCUCCCUCUUAGAACCCUAAUCCCAAACCCACUUCACCAAUCACUUCAGAUCAUAUCAAAAUUGACAAAACAUGCAAACCCGAAGAUUAGAAGAAUUAACAACAAUUUUACUUAAGAAACAUUCCUAUGAUUGUAUGGUGAUGAUGAUUUGCAGAAGAUGGGGAGAAUAAAGGUAAGGUGGUGGUGGGUGUAUUAGCAUCCUCGUGUGUACCUUCCUUUUUAUUUCCAUUUUCUUAAUCCAACAAUUAUACACGUGAUUUUCUUAAAUAGAUAACUACACGCGUUGUACACCAAUCAGUUAACUGAGCUGCCACGUCAGUAUUGAUUGGAUCAAAAUUGAAAAAAGGAUUAAUAUAUCAAAGGGGGCAAUGUUGAAGAAAAUAAAAGGGUUUUGUACAAAUCUCUGAAGUUUUCAUGAUAACAAGUAUGAAAUAAUAAUUAGAUAUGAUGAUGCUCGAAAAAUAGUUGUCUAUUUUCCAAUACAUGUAAAGUGCAAGUAUACACUGUUGUAACAAGUAAUAAAGAGUAAGUAGAGUAUCGAUCCGACGAGGAUUGGAGUGGAUAGGUCGUAAGUAUUUCCAAAUGCUAAGUUUAGUUAUUUAAGACCCAAAGUGAAAAAUAGUAAAGAUAAGAUUUUAAGGUUCUAAAGUAAAAUGCAGAAGUAAAUAAAGCAUGUCAAAAGAAUUUAGAGAUUCAUGUGAAAAAGUAUUGUUAAGGAAUUAACUUGGUAAAAAUAGAGAUUUGUAAGAUUUAUAAAGCUACAACUCGCAGAUGGAAGUUAUAGUUUGGUACAACUUCCAGAGAAAAAACGUAUAGAGUUAUACCUUCACAUAGCUUCAUGGCCACUUGGUGGCCUGUGGCCUUUGGAGUCUUUUGACUCAACCAUCAUGUUAAGAAUGUGAAAAAACUCCAACAUUACUAAGUUAUAUCAUUAAUAGCUCUACAACGGCGACAAAGUAGUAUCUCUUGUUCUCGUCACCUAUCGGUACUUAGGGACAUAACUCAUAUCAAACAAACAUUUUUCAUUCUCAUGUCCUCUCGGUCUCAGGGAACUAUAACUAGGGGUGUUCACGGUGCGGUUUGGAUCAGUUUUGAGGUAAAAUGCCAACCGAUCCAAAAUAAAAAUCACAUGUGGUUCGGUUCGGUUUGGAUGAGUAUUAUAAAAAAAUCUGAACCGAGCCAAUUCAAAUAUAUGCAGUUUAAUUUGGAUCGGUUUUUGGACAUCCAAAAUGCUUUUUUUUUUUUAUUUACUCUUUUAUGAAUGAUAUAAUUUUUUUUAUUAAUAUUAAUAUUACACAAACAAGGUAAAAUAAUAGGUUUGAUGCAAAAUAUAUUAAAAAGUUAAAAUUAUUGUAUGAAAAUUAUCAAUUAUUUUUGAAACAUAUGUAGUCAUAAUAAUUAGAUUAAAUUAGUGCAAUAUAUAAGAUUAAAAUUUAACAAGCAAUAUAAUAAUGCAAUAUAUAAUACUAAUAAAAGAACAAAUAGGUAUUAAUAAUUAUUUUUGCAGUUCGGUUCGGUUUGGUUCGAUUUUGAAAAGUGAUCCGAAAGCCGAACCGAUCUUAGCAGUUUUUACAAAACAACAUACAAACGCAUCCAAAUAUAUUCGGUUUUUUGCGGUUUUUGGUUUUUUUGGAUCGGUUUCCGGUUUUAUUUUGGAUCGGUUUAGAUUUGAACACCCCUAACUAUAACAUCAAAAAUAAAAGUGAUCAAGUUUUAAUUAUAAAGAUUUGGCAAUGAAACAAUUUGUUUGAAAGAAGCUUUAAAGGUUGUAACAAACUGAAAUUACUGACAUAAUUAUUACUUAAUCAUUCCUUAACCACAAAAGUGGUUUAGCUCAUAAUGAACAUAAACACAAAAAUAUAAAUAGAGAAGAUAAUAGUUAAAAACAUAAUUGCAUAAAUUAUUACUAUUAUAGUUUGCAAAAGAGAAAUUACAAUCUUCUGAGGAUGAAGGUGAAUUUUUGCAGCACUCAAUUAACAAUUUACUCUAAUGACUUGCGUUUGAAUGAUGGUUUAUGAGGGGAAGGGAGUGAAGGACUUACUUUUCUUUUUUAAAUUACGGAUAUUAUAAAAUGAAUUUUAGAAAAAUGAAUUAACAACAUAAUAAAUGAUCAUAUAAUAAUUUAAAAACACUUAAUUCAUUUUAAAAAAAUAUUUUACAUCGUUCGUAAUUUAAAAAAUAAAAGUGAACCCUCUCCUCCCUUCCCCUCCUAAUCCCUCAAUCCAAACACACCCUAAAACUCAAAGACUUAGUUACUAUGCGCUUUCUGUAUGAAAUGGAUGAAGGUAUGAGAUGAAGAAGAAUGAUUUGAAUCUCUAAGUUGGUGGCUAGAGUUGAUUGGAGGCUACUGUCUCCAACCUCUACUCCAUUCAGCACAUCACUAACACACCCUUGCAAAUGAAGGCUUGUUGUCCUUUUAUGGUACAAGUCCUUUCUUAUCCUUUAGUAUCAUUUUGGUCAUUUUCCAAGCGAUGGUCUGUUUCUUAACCAUUAAGCAGAAGAAUAUACCUUAUCCCAUCCGUGUACUAUUUGAGACUCUCUUACCUUUCUCUCCAAACACAAGAUGUUAUGGGCCCAGUUUAGUGCGUAUUCAAUAAAAACCAAGUAUGACGUAUCACAACGUUGUAGCUUCCUACAUCACUAGGAUGUCUCAUAGUCCUUUAGCUUCCUCAUACUAUACUCAUUGGAGACAACUCAUAUAAACUUUGUCCUUGAGACUUGCAAAUAAGUGACGCAAGGUCAUACACUUGUAUGACCCAUACUGAGAGAUCUUCAAUGUUAUAGCUCCAAACUCCUUUCCUAGUGUUAUAUCCUCAAACAUCUUCAUACGACUUGGCGUUCAAACCAACACUAGAAAGAAUAAAAGGUUCCUAAAUAUCAAACAAAUAAAAAAACUGAAAUAAAGAUUCUUAAAACAAUAAAAGACUAUUUAAACUAAAUAAAGGCUAAAUAUGUUUUGCAUGCACUCGAAGAUCACAUAUAGUGGGAGAUAAAGGCAAGGUAAUAACCGACAUAUUUGUUGAUUAUCAUAUGCUAAUGUAUGUUAAAGUGUGCAGAACCAUAUAAUUAAAUUCUAAUUCUUAAAUCAAGUUUUUGUUCUAAAAUAUGAAGACUUUGAACGCUUAAAAGUGCAUUUGAAGUAAAAGAAAAAAUUAUAAAACUUGGAACAAGGUCUGAAGAAAGGUCAACUAGAAAGUCAAAAUCCUGAUUAUAAGUGAAAUUUCAGAAGCAUCUGAAGGAAUGAAUUAUCUGAAGUAGUGAAGACUCUGAAGGAAUAUCACUAUAUCAGAGUGAAAGUAGCACCAUUUGUCUUCUUCUGACCACGUGUAGAAAUUAACAAAGAAAUUCAAGGACAAAGAUAAUAUAAGAAAUCAUUCUAUUAGAAGAAAAUGAACUUCAAAUGACUACUCAACGACAUUAUCCAUUUGAGGAAAAGAUUCAACGUCUCUGAUUAAACUUCUCAAGGAAUGAUUUGAUGCACUGACAUUUAUUCAACACCGGCUCUCAGAUUUUAUCCUAUAUAAGGACCUGAGCAGUUGAAGAAAAACAACAAGACUUCUGUAAUUUUACUAGUGCCCUUACUUUGUCAAAAUAUAUAGCGCAUAAUCACUUAAAGAAAUUCUUACAAACUUUUAUAUAUUAGAAGUCUCUUUCUUACACCUCUGAGUAUAUAUCAAGUGUAAACAACAAUCUUUCUUAUUUGAUUAAACUUAGAUUAUAGAAGUCUCUUUCUUGUAUGAUUGAGCAAAGGAAGUCUCUUACUUAUGUGUUUGAUCAAAUUGUAAUCUUGUGCGAUUAUAGUGAAAAUCCAUUGGAAAUGCAAGAGGAUUGUAUUACUUAGGACUUAUGGGAGGGACCAGUAUAAUUUGUUUGCUCUCUCUCUCUCUCUCUCUCUCUCUCUCUCUCUCUCUCUCUCUCUCUCUCUCUCUCUCUCUCUCUCUCUCUCUCUCUCUCUCUCUGUGUGUUUAAUUUAAUUUUGCUGCAUAACUCUAUUUUAGACUCUGAUAAGAACUCUGCUUAUGAUCAUACUCUAAACUGUUUUGAUAAACACUCAAAAAAGUUUUUAACAAAACCAACACAAUUCAACCCCCCUGUGUGUUUCUCACCUCCAUGAAAAACAACAACAUUGGAACACAGUCAAAACCCAAACCAUUUUAAGAUUUUUCAGAAACCCCAAUUCUACUGUUGCUGAAACUUGCUGAAUCAAGAUUCAUCACUCUCAUUCUCCUUUUCUAAAUCUGAACUCAAACUUCAUUCAGAUUUAAAAUCGAAAUUACGACUUUUCGUUUGAAUUCUCCAUGGACAAAAGUAAUGAAAGUUCAAUUGAAUCAAAUGAAUCCAAAUCUAAAACCCCUCGAAAACCUAAAGAAACUGCUCUCUCUCUGACUUCGCAUGACCCAACACCAUGCAUGACCUCAACUAAACAUUGCACACAUGAACAAACAAGUGAAAUUUGACAAAUAAGAGCACCUAGUGUGCUUGUUUUUAUUUUAUUUUAUUAAGUAGUCUAGUGGUUGUAGCUCACACAUUUUAAAUAUAUAUGGAAAAGUUAGGAGUCUAGGGUUCAAACCCCGACCCUUGCAUAAUAUUGUCAUUGCAACUACCAACUGAGUUGUACUUAUCAAUUCUACAUUAAUGUAAAAGUAAAUUACACCCCCUCCCCUAAGAAAAGCUUGAAUUGCAGUCAUCCUCUCCCUUGAAAAGUAAAAUGCUAGAGUAAAUUAUACCUCCCUCCCAUACGAAAUGUUUAUUACAAUUCUCUCCCUUAGUAAUUAAAUAUACAUAAAUAAAUAUCUUUAUAAUGUCUACUACCUUUGAGCCAUCAUUUGAGAAAAAAACAAACUCAUUUCUUUAGAUGCACUACACUUUAAUUAAACUAGCAUUAACUACCAAAUUAUCAUACAACAAUCCAGCCUUAAGAGAGCUUAGAUGACUCAUAUUUUAUGAGUCACCACACAUCCAAACUUGAACUAUCGUAAUGAUAGAAAAUAAUCACAAUAAGUAUGUUUUAUGACGACACAAUUUAGAAGCCAAGUAUUCGAAAUCAGGCCGUAUUAAAAAAUAUGCACAUCCAUUUAGUUAACCUUACAAUGAGAGUUAUUCUAGUGAUUAGGUGGAACUUCUAGCUGAUGAUGAAAUCCACGGGGAAAACAAAUUUGUCCACCCUUAUGAUGAACACAUCUUCAAUCAACAAAUUGACAUAUCGUGUAAUAGUUAUGGGUCUUGCUUCCCCGAUACCAAACCUGUAAAAUAUGGACAUAACAUGAGAUUGAUACUAGCCCAUUAAUCACGUAAAUGACACAUUAGAAUUGUGAAACUCCCUGGAUCUUUCUGUAUAAUUUUAUAUCCGACCACAACUCAAAGGUUUUGUUAGAAAUUAAAUCAAGAAAUAUCUAGAAGAGUAUAGAAGUUUGGAGUUACUCUUUAUCAUUAAGAGUUAAAAAUAUCUAUAUUAUGUAGCACCACCUAGAAUAAUCUUGUAACCAAAGGAAUAAUCUAGUGCUGAUUGUACACCGCCUCUAUAGGAAUAAUCUAGCACCAUCCAUGUAUUUACUUAGCUAGAAAAAUCUAGUAACCGACAUUAAGUUUAAGAUCCUAUAAAAGGCACAUGCUUGUACCAUAUUGAAUCAUCAAGUCUUCGACAAUAAAAUUAGUGUGUGUUCAAAUAAAUUCUCCAUUGUUCUCUUAGUUAUUACUUUGUGAGUUUGUCUCCCACUGAUAUCAAAUUGGUAUCAGAGCAGGUUAGGUCCUGCAAGUGUCAGUGUCAAAAAUAGUCUAAGUGUGUGAGGAACAAAAGAGUUCUCAUUGUGUCGAAAUUAUUGUAAGCAUAUUCUGAGAAAGAUAUGUCAAACAAUAAUUUCAAUAUCGUUUGGUCCGGUCCUAAAUUGAAUUCUGAAUUAGAUUUCAAUUAUUAGGAAUUUAUGAUGACAACACAUCUUAAAGCUCACAACAUCUGGAGCUAUGUGGAGUCUAGUUUGCAACAAGGAGCUGAUGAACUUGCUCGUAGAAGGGACCAGCUGGCACUAUCACAAAUUCUUCAAGGAAUAGAUUACUCAAUUUUCGGCAAAAUAGCAAAUGCGAAGACUUCGAAAGAAGCGUGGGACAUAUUGAAGUUGUCACAUAAAGGAGUAGAGAAAGCUUAGAAAUCAAAGUUGCAGUCUCUGCGUAGAGAAUACGAAAGGUAUGAAAUGUCCAGUUCUGAAACAGUGGAUCAAUAUUUUACUCGUGUUAUGAAUCUUGUCAACAAAAUGAGAGUGUAUGGAGAAGAUAUUCAAGAUAGCAAGGUGGUGGAGAAAAUUCUAUGCACCAUGCCGAUGAAAUAUGAUCAUGUGGUGACUACGAUAUUGGAGUCCCACGAUACCGAUACCUUGUCGGUAGCAGAGUUGCAGGGAAGCAUUGAAAGCCAUGUCAACAGAAUAUUGGAGAAGAGUGAAAAUGUAAAGGAGGAAGCCUUGAAGAGCCAGGUGAACCUCAACAACAUUGUUGAAUCCAGUCAGAUGGGUGAAGCCAGAGCUCGUGACAAUUUCAACAAUGGAGGAAGAGGAAAUUUCAGAGGAAGAGGUCGAGGAAGCUUUAGAGGAAGAGGACGUGGCAACUUCAACCAAUGGAGAGACAACAAUUACAACAAUUUCAAUCCAUCCCAUCAAGGAAGAGGUGGAAACAAUUUUGGUUCCAAUAGCCGUGGCAGAGGAAGAGGUUAUUACAACCAAGAGAGAACAAAUAAUGGUUGCUUUAAUUGUGGAAAGUAUGGGCAUAAAGCAGUUGACUGUAGAUAUAAACAUCAGGCAAAUAUGGCAGAGAAUUCAUAUCAACAUUUUGGUGAGUCUUCUCAAAAUCAACAUAGUUUAUUUUUAGCAAGCAAUACACUUUCAGAAGAAGAAAAUAUUUGGUAUUUGGACACCGGGUGUAGUAAUCACAUCUGUGGGAAAAAGGAAUUAUUUUCUUCUCUGGACGAAACGGUAAAAUCUACCGUGAAGUUUGGAAAUAAUUCAAAUAUUCCAAUUGAGGGGAAAGGCCAAAUUGCUAUCAGACUGAAAGAUGGAUCCCAAAAUUUUAUUGGUGAUGUUUUCUAUGCUCCCGGUCUUCAUCAUAAUCUCUUGAGCAUGGGACAGCUGUCUGAGAAAGAUUACAACAUGCAGAUUCACAAAGGCUAUUGCACGUUGAUUGAUGGAAAUGGGAGAUUCAUCACAAAGGUAAAAAUGUCUCCUAACCGCCUAUUCCCUCUAAGAAUUCAACAUGAUCAAUUUCCUUGCUUGAGUUCAAUAAUUCCAAAUGAUGAUUGGUUGUGGCACAUGAGAUUUGGUCACUUUCAUUUUUCUGGAUUGAAUUAUCUGUCACGAAAAGAAUAUGUUUCUGGUUUGCCUGUUGUGAACAUUCCAAGUGGUGUAUGCGAGACAUGUCAAAUGGGAAAGAAGCAUAGAGAAUCAUUUCCAACUGGAAAAGCUUGGAGAGCAAAGAAACUAUUGGAGAUCGUUCAUUCAGAUUUGUGCUCGGUUGAAAUACCAACACCUGGUGGAUGCAGGUAUUUUAUUACUUUCAUUGAUGAUUUUAGCAGAAAGGCAUGGGUGUAUUUUCUGAAGCAGAAAUCAGAAGUUGUUGAUGCCUUUAAGACAUUUAAAGCGUUCGUAGAAAAACAAAGUGGUUGUCUAAUCAAAGCACUCAGAACAGACAGAAGCCAAGAAUACCUCAUCGGCACAGAUUUCUUUGAGCAACAUGGAAUCCAACAUCAAUUGACAAAAAGAUAUACUCCUCAACAAAAUGGAGUAGCUGAAAGAAAGAACAGAACAGUUAUGGAUAUGGUGAGAUGCAUGCUGAAAGCCAAACAAAUGCCAAAGGAAUUUUGGGUAGAAGCAGUUGCUACUGCAGUUUAUAUUUUGAACAGAUGUCCAACAAAAAGUGUUCAAGAGAAGACUCCUGAAGAAGCAUGGAGCGCAAGGAGGCCCUCAAUCAGGCACCUCAGAGUUUUUGGAUGUAUUGCUUAUGCUCAUGUACCAAAUCAAAUUAGAAAGAAGUUAGAUGAUAAAGGAGAGAGAUGUAUUUUUAUUGGCUACUGCUCAAAUUCAAAGGCCUACAAGCUUUACAAUCCAGAGACCAAGAAGGUGAUUAUCAGUAAAGAUGUGACAUUUGAUGAAGUAGGAAUGUGAAAUUGGUCAUCAAAGUCACAAAAGGAGCCGAUUGUAACUCCAAAUGAUUAUGAAGAGGAAGAUGAGCAUGUAGAUACAACGCCUGAUGAGCCAGAAACAUCGAACAGAGAACAAAGGAAUCGAAGAUUACCAGCUCGACUGCAAGAUUGUGUUUUGGGUGCCGACAAUGACCCAUCUGAUGAAGAGAUCAUCAACUUUGCUUUGUUUGCAGAUUGUGAGCCAGUUACUUUUGAAGAAGCCUCACGUGAUGAAAAUUGGAUAAAAGCUAUGGAUGAAGAAAUCAAUGCAAUUGAGAAGAAUAAAACAUGGGAGCUGACUGAAUUGCCAGCAGACAAGAAGCCAAUAGGAGUAAAGUGGGUGUACAAGACAAAGUACAAACUCAAUGGUGAGAUUGAUCGCUAUAAAGCGAGGCUAGUGGCUAAAGGCUACAAACAAAAACCAGGUAUUGAUUAUUUUGAAGUAUUUGCUCCUGUUGCGAGAUUAGAUACAAUUCGCAUGCUUAUUUCAUUCUCAGCUCAGAAUAAUUGGAAAAUACAUCAAAUGGAUGUUAAGUCUGCAUUUCUUAAUGGUACUUUGGAAGAAGAAGUGCAUGUUGAGCAGCCUGCGGGAUAUGUAGUUAAGGGAAAGGAGGAUAAAGUAUAUAGAUUAAAGAAAGCAUUGUAUGGCUUGAAGCAAGCGCCAAGAGCAUGGUACAAAAAGAUUGAUUCUUAUUUCAUUCAAAACGGCUUUCAGAGAUGUCCAUUCGAGCACACACUCUACAUCAAAUUCAUUGAUCCUGGAGGUGUUCUUAUUGUGUGCCUCUAUGUCGAUGAUCUGAUAUUCACCGGAAACAAUUCAAAGAUGAUUGCUGAAUUCAGGGAGGCUAUGAUAAGAUGUUUUGAAAUGACAGACUUGGACCUAAUGUCCUAUUUUCUCGGCAUUGAGGUCGUUCAACAUAAGGAUGGAAUCUUUAUUUCUCAAAAGAAGUAUGCAAGUGAUAUUUUGAAGAAGUUCAAGAUGGAGCAUUCAAAGCCAAUUUCCACGCCGGUUGAAGAAAAGUUGAAGCUGACAAGAGAAAGCGAUGGUAAAAGGGUAGACUCAACUCAUUAUAAAAGUUUGAUUGGAAGUUUGAGAUAUUUGACUGCAACAAGGCCAGAUAUAGUAUAUGGAGUUGGUUUACUUAGUAGAUACAUGGAGGAUCCGUGUGUUAGUCACUUGCAAGGAGCAAAGAGGAUUCUUCGUUAUAUUAAAGGUACUCUGACCGAAGGAAUUUUUUAUGGUAAUAAUAGUGAUGUGAAGCUUGUUGGAUAUACAGAUAGUGAUUGGGCAGGAGAUACAGAAACAAGAAAAAGCACGUCAGGGUACGCGUUUCAUCUAGGAACCGGUGCAAUAUCAUGGUCUUCGAAGAAACAACCUGUGGUCGCUUUUUCCACAGCAGAAGCAGAAUAUAUAGCAUCAACUAGUUGUGCUACUCAAACAGUGUGGUUGAGAAGAAUUUUAGAAGUGAUGCAUCAUGAGCAGAACACUCCUACAAAGAUAUAUUGUGAUAACAAGUCAGCAAUUGCACUGAGCAAAAAUCCAGUUUUUCAUGGACGGUCCAAGCAUAUUGACAUCCAGUUUCACAAGAUACGAGAGUUAAUUGCCGAGAAAGAAGUGGUGAUCGAGUAUUGUCCCACUGAAGAGAAAAUUGCAGAUAUCUUUACAAAGCCAUUGAAGAUUGAGUCGUUUUACAAAUUGAAGAAAAUGCUUGGAAUGAUGAAAGCUUGAUUUAAGGGAGGCAAUGUUAGAAAUUAAAUCAAGAAAUAUCUAGAAGAGUAUAGAAGCUUGGAGUUACUCUUUGUCAUUAAGAGUUAAAAAUAUCUAUAUUAUGUAACACCACCUAGAAUAAUCUUGUAACCAAAGGAAUAAUCUAGUGCUGAUUGUACACCGCCUCUAUAGGAAUAAUCUAACACCAUCCAUGUAUUUACUUAGCUAGAAAAAUCUAGUAACCGACAUUAAGUUUAAGAUCCUAUAAAAGGCACAUGCUUGUACCAUAUUGAAUCAUCAAGUCUUCGACAAUAAAAUUAGUGUGUUUUCAAAUAAAUUCUUCAUUGUUCUUUUAGUUAUUACAUUGUGAGUUUGUGUCCCGCUGAUAUCAGGUUUUAUAUCUAAAUUAUUGUUUAAACAUACAUUAUGCACAAUUUACGAGCCAAAAAAAUUAGGGUUGUCUAGUCAUCAAGACAUAAACAGCCACGUGGCAAAAUAUUGAACACUGGAUUUAUCAUACGGACAAGAAUUCUUCAAAGUCAAAUUGUCGUUUACUACAAAGUAACAGAGUACAACGUAAGAGACAUACACUUUUCCGCAAUUUCAGUUUCAGUUCUGAGAAAUUAAUGUCAAUUUCAGUCUUAGUACUGUGAUUGAGCUCAUCACCACCAACAACAAAGAGUGAGUGAGUUCGCCAUUUUGCUUUGUACUUUCCAUUUCCUCAAAUUUUUCCACUUUUAUCGAACAUGCAUGUACUAUGUUAUUGUCCAAAACCAUGAUGCAUGUCUUUAAAUAAAAAUUCCUUUUUUAUCCUUUUUGUUGUUUUUGCUGCAUGUGACAGGUGAAACUAUAUACAUUCAUUGGAAUUGUGGAAUUUGGUGGGUGAAAUUAAGAAGAUGGGUGUUUCAGAUGUGUGUCCUACUGUGGAUGCAAUUAGGGCAUUUCUUGAACAUUUGGUUGAUCCAAUGCUGGCAGAAAUACCUAUUCUGGAUGAUCCUCCACUAUCACAACAGCAGAAAGUUGCAAAACAGGUUUUUUUAUUUAUCUUGAAACUUUUGUUAUGGCAAUUCAAAGUUUGAUUAACAUCUAGGUGAUUAUUGAUGGAGUUAAAACUUAUUUAGUUAGUUUGUUAAUAAUUAGUUUGUGCUCAAUUUCUGUGGACUAGUUCAUAUAGAGCUUGCUUUGCUUUGACUUUAAAUGGGUCCCGUUAGUGCACGGUGGGAUUGGUCCCCUCAAACCAGAUAUCGAGUUUUCAAAAGAAAAAUAAAUAAAUAAAUAAAAAUAAUUAAUUUGAGUUAGUUAGUUUGUUACUAGGUUCUAGCUGUGAGUUGUUAGAGUAGUUGGGUGAAUAUUUAAGGAAAAAUUGCAUGUGUGGUCCUUUAAGUUUAACCUUCAUUUCAUAUUGAUCCUUUAAGUUUAAUUUUUUCUGAAUUGGUUCUUUAUGAUACAUUUUGUUUGCACAGUUAGCCUUUAAGUUAUCUUGCCGUUGCAUUGUAGUCAUUGUUUGAGGUUCGUAAAUUUUAACCAUUCCUUCUAAAUGAACACAUUGUUGCGAACAAUGAGAUACUUCGGUUUUAAAGUUUUUGGAUUUGAGAAUUUAGAUUUAAGUUAGAGGAGAAUGGAUUUGGAUGUAUUUGACAUGUCUAUAUAAAUUUUCUCAAAAUUAAAAUGUCAUACCCGAUUCAUUUUAACAGAACUUGUUAAGAAGGCUAGAAGUGAGUGUAUAAUGUAACAUAAAAGUCCAAUUUGGGAAAAUAAAAACUUGAAGGACCAAUCCGGGAAAAAAUGUCAGACUUAAAGGACUGCAGAUGUAAUUUUUCCUAUAUUUAACUAGUGUGUAGUUUUUCUUUUCCUUUUUCUGACGCAACUAGUGUGCAGUUAGUACUAUAUACAGAUGUGAUGUAAAGUGUAAGAUACACAAGUCCCACAAGUGAAUCAUUUGAGAAAUAUAGUUUACAUUUUUAGUUUUUCCUCUUUAAGUGUUGUAACUCAAAGUGUGUGUUCAUUCUUAUUAUAGUUACAACAAUGAUUUGGAACUGAUUUUAGUUGGCCCUUUUGGAUAAUGUUUUGCCACAUAUGCCAAUGUAGAUUAAAAGUGUUGUGAUGUUGAUAAUUUAUCAUCACCAACUAUUCUUAUGUGCUUUUUAAUGAGGCAUUUCACAUGAUAGCUCUGAGUGAGGGGUUGCGUAGCAGUAAGUCAGCUUCAUAAAUAAACCAAAUCGCCUUUUUCCUUCAUGCAUGUAAAUUGCUAUAGUAAAAUGUGUCUUCCAUAUUAUUUACUAAAAUUAUCUUUUGAACUUUUGUGGCUAGUAUCCUUCUGCUAUGUUUGAGUUUGUCUCAAUGCAAUUCUUCAAAAAAAAAAAUUAAUUGAAGUUCCUAUUUGAUUUUAAAGUUCAAGAACCAUUAGUAUUAAGUUGCAUGAUUAUGGUGUAGGUGCAUGCUGUUGUGUUACUGUACAACUAUUACCACAGAAAACAGAAUCCAGAGCUAGAAUUUGUGGCAUUUAGUGCAUUUUGCAAGUUGAUUGUGGAUCUGAGACCAGCUUUGUUACCGUAUAUGAAAUUCACACAGAAGCCUGUUGACCUUGUUGAUGUGGAGCAGCAGUUGUCAUUAACAGAAAAAGCAAUCGUGAGUUCCUAUGAUAUAUGUACACUUUUAGACGCGUCAAAAAGUGUUCCUAAUAUAGAGGGAUGGCCCAUUUCAAAAGUUGCCGUCCUUUUGGUCGAUAGUAAGAAGGAGAACUGCUUCUUGCAUUUUGGUUCUAUAACUGAUGGAGUACGGUCAUUGAUUGAAAAAGAUGUGGAUACCUCCAAUAAAGUUUCUGAAGUUACAACCUCCAAUAAAAUUUCUGAAGUUACAAGUGAAAUCAAAACAUACAAAAAAAGAAGAGUUGUUAAGAAGCCUUCGAGAAACGGAUCAAAUGUUGAUGAAGAUCGAAUUUUGCAAGUUGGAUAUUCUGCUGUUAAGGAAGCUGCGGGUAAUUAUCCUUCUUCUAAUGAAAGAUUGCAAUAGCUAUUGUUAGAACUAUAGUGCUUUAGUUUUAAGUGUAUUUGUAAGUUAUUAUUUCCUUUUUCAUUUUUCCAAUUUAUUUAACCUAGUAAAGAUGUCCUCGUGACAAUAUGAAAUAUCACGCUGUAUACUUUACAUUAUCUAUAUAUUUUGAGGUUAAUAUCAGAACAUACUUUGUUCUUCCUUAUUUUCUGUAUAGUAUAUUGUUUUUUGCUCUAUUGAAUUGUUCUUGUAGCAUUUUCUGUUUUGAGUUAAUAUAUCAUUUUCUUAAUUUACUUUUUAACAGGAGUUUUUUAUUCAUAAAAGUCGAAUGUUAUUCUGGUAUCAAUAUUUCUUAUUUCCCUUAUGAACAGGUGUCAAUAGUAUCGAUAUUAUGCUUUUGGAAAGUUACACUGUGUAUUCCCAGAGCAAAGAGAAGACAUCUUCACGCUUUUAUAUAAUGAAGUGCUCACAGUCGAUCGAUGAAGGGUUUACUCAAGUUCCUAUCAAAGAUUUAAUUGAAAGGUUCGUUACAAUUGGUAUGGUUUUCCUAUUGGCUGAUCACUCAGGUCUCGAGGGUGAAUUGCAUAACUGUGUCUGGUUUUUCCAUUGAUACGAAGAAAAGGUUUCCUUUAUGUUUCAUCCAUUCAGUUGGAUUAAUUUUCCCUUGUCCGAAGAAAAGUCGAAUAUAAUUUGUUUGCAUACCAAUAAUUGUCUUCACUUCUAAAUCUAGUUAUAAACUUUUUUUUAUGAAUCUGUACAUGUUGACUUAUAAACUUCCAUUUUGAUAGUCAUUUUAUAUCUGAUUGUUAACGAACUUGUGUAUGCUUCUCUAUGACAUUUUAUAUCUCAUCUUUGGAUAGCGUCCGGGGUCCUUUGGUCAAAAGAAGUUCUGACAGUUGGAAGGUAACCCCAGUUGUCGAGUACUUCCACAUGCUUCCUUAUUCCAAAAUAAUCUCAGAAUGGAUUUCUAGGUUGGUAUAAUUCUCCUUUCCCUUUUUCUGAUGCCCAAUUUAGAUUGAUUUACAAUAAUGUAUUCUGACCUCAUAAUUAAAGCCUUGGAAACAUAACAUAGAUUUCCUCAAAUUAUUUCUCAUUUCCAUUUUAUGUUUUUUUUGCACAUCUGUCCAUAUGAUAAUGAUGGCUAUUUGCAUAUUAUGUUCUUUGUAGAGAAACAUUCUCAAAUAGUUUGCAAGAUUCAAAGCUGGCUGAGAAACAAUUCCCGAAGCUUGAAGUUAAAGAAUCACAUAUAAGUAGCAAGGCCCUGUCCGUUGGUCUUGAUAACAAGCAAUGCAGCGAAACUAUUGUAGCUCUUAAUCAGAAGCAACUCCUGAAGCUUGAAGUUAAAGAAAUGCAUGUAAGUAGCGAGGGCAUGUCUGCUGGUCUUGAUAACAAGGCAUGCAGUGACACUAUUGUAACUCUUAAUCAAAAAGAGAAAAACGGUUGUGGUACAAUUACACAGUGUGGUUCUGUCAAGAAAGACCAGGAUAUGGAUGUGGACAACUCUUCAAGAGUGAAAACAAAUCUUGAAGUUACAGAAUCACAUGUAAGUAGCGAGGGCAUGUCUGUUGGUCUUGAUAACAAGCAAUCUAGUGAUACUAUUGCAGCUCUUAAUCAGAAAGAGAACAACGGUUGCGGUAUAAUUACACAGUGCGGUUCUGUCAAGAAAGACGAGGAUAUGGAUGUGGAUAACUCUUCAAUAAAGAAAACAAAUCUUGAAGUUACAGAAUCACAUGUAAGUAGUGAGGGCAUGUCUGUUGAUCUUGAUAACAAGCCAUGCAGUGAUACUAUUGCAGCUCUUAAUCAGAAAGAGAACAACAGUUGUGGUACAAUUACACGGUGUUGUUCUGUCAAGAAAGACGAGGAUAUGGAUGUGGAUAACUCUUCAACAAAGAAAAAAAAUCUUGAAGUUACAGAAUCACAUGUAAGUAGCGAGGGCAUGUCUGUUGGUCUUGAUAACAAGCCAUGCAGUGAUACUAUUGCAGCUCUUAAUCAGAAAGAGGACACCGGUUGCGGUACAAUUACGCAGUGUGGUUCUGUCAAGAAAGACCAGGAUAUGGAUGUGGAUAACUCUUCAAGAAAGAGAACAAAGCUUGAAGUUACAGAAUCACAUGUAAGCAGCGAGGGCAUGUCUGUUGGUCUUGAUAACAAGCCAUGCAGUGAUACUAUUGCAGCUCUUAAUCAGACAGAGGACAACGGUUGCGGUACAAUUACGCAGUGUGGUUCGGUCAAGAAAGACCAUGAUAUGGAUGUGGAUGACUCUUCAAGAAAAAGAACUAAGCUGGAAGUUACAGAAUCACAUGUAAGUAGCGAGGGCAUGUCUGUUGGUCUUGAUAACAAGCCAUGCAGUGAUACUAUUGCAGCUCUUAAUCAGACAGAGGACAACGGUUGCGGUACAAUUACGCAGUGUGGUUCGGUCAAGAAAGACCAUGAUAUGGAUGUGGAUAACUCUUCAAGAAAGAGAACAAAGCUUGAAGUUACAGAAUCACAUGUAAGUAGCGAGGGCAUGUCUGUUGGUCUUGAUAACAAGCCAUGCAGUGAUACUAUUGUAGCUCUUGAUCAGAAAGAGAACAGCUGUUGCGGUAAAAUUACACGGUGUAGUUCUGUCAAGGAAGACCAGGAUAUGGAUGUGGACAACUGUUCAACUUUUCCAUCUAAACUCAACGAAGAAUACCAGAAGCAUGUUGCCAAUACUUUACAAGUUAAUGAAGAUCAAAAGAUAGAAAAUUCAUCAGUGCAACAUCACUCAAAUGAAUGUACAAGACCUAGUGAGGUUUGAAGUUUAUUAUAUCUCAAAAUACUAUUGUAUAUGUUUUAGACUAUUUUUUGUAUUAAGUAAACUCUUACCAGGGGAGUCUAUAGAACUGCUAAAGUUUACAUAGACUCUAGACUCGAGUUUUUACCAUUUCCUUUGCUGUUGAGAUGGAUUUUUCUUAAAAAAUCAGUUUGGGGCUUUUGCAAUAUAUAUCAUCUCCCAUCUAACCACAUGCCUUUGGAUUGGCAGGCUGAGAAGGUUGUUUCAACAAGGAUGCACAUUAUUGAGGGUGGAAUCAAAGAUGAAUCUGCUUUUGAUAAGAUUUGUGUCGAUGCCACUGUUGAAAACGAAUCCAUAGAAAAAUGUACCCCGAUUGCAGAUAAUUUCAACGCAGAUUUUGAGAAAGUUCGAAGUUUCGUAGAUUCGAAGGGGAAGAUGGGUCGAUCUGAUGUGUGUCCUACUGCGGAUGCAGUUAGGGCAUUCGUUGAACACUUAGUUGAUCCAAUGCUGCCAGCAAAGGCUUCUAUCCGUGAUGCUCCUUCCAUAUCUCAACAGCAGAAAGUUGCAAAACAGGUUUCUUCAUUCAUCUUUCUUGACCCUUUUGUUAUAGCAAUCCAAAGAUUAACACCUAGGUCACUAUUUGGAAUUGGUUUGAUUUAGACCAUUUUUUUGUUCAAUAUUGUUAUUAUUCUCUGCUUGAAGUGUUAUGGAUUAAUAACAAUACUUGCAUCCAAUGAGAACAACCAAAACCAGAAAAUAAACCAGUAACCAACAGUAACAAAUAAGAGAGAAGGAAGAAGAUAGCAACCUAGAAUUUACGUGGUUCAGCCUUACAGAUCUACUCCAGGGGAGAGAGCACAAAACAAUUUCACCAUGAUGAGGAACAAUAUAACAUCAAUCCCAGGCCAUAGACUUUUCCCUUGGCCCCUUGCAAUACCCACUGUUGAGAACAGCUACAAGAAUCUCCAAGCCUUUCACGACUCUAUUUUCACUCAAUCGCUUGAUCUCUGAAUCUUUCUAAUCUUCUUUACACAAUGUAGAAAAUUUACAUGAAAUACUUCACACUUUGGUUAACCGUUAGUAUAGUUGCUUUCCCUAGCUAUACAAAAAUUUCAAAUCUUUCCUGAAUGUGCUUGAAUUCUCCACACCCAGCAACAUGCUUGCUUAAUUUAUAUGGAUGGUAAUAACAAUGAUAGCAAAGGGAAGAUGCAAUUUACUAGGGAGCAAUUAAGUUAGCACUACUUCCUUAGAUACACCGAAGUUGUUCUACUUGAUAUUUCGGAAAUGAAACAUUAAAGUGGUCUAGGAAGUAGGAACGUGAAACAUUAAUUGGUUUUUUGUUUCCAACAAGCCCUUUUAAUUAAAAUCUUGUCUUGAGAAAAUGUUUUGCCAUAUAUGGCAAUGUAAAUGAAAAGUGUUGUGAUAUUGAUCGUUUCUCUUCGCCGAGUCUUGUUUUGCACUUUUUAAUGAGGAUGUUUACAUGAUAUGAUAUCUCGUUAUUCAUUACUUGAUCACGGUGUUCUUCGUAUCAGGUGCAUUCUGUUGUGUUGCUGUACAACUAUUACCACAGGAAACGGCAUCCAGAGCUAGAAUUUGUGGCAUUUAAGGACUUUUGCAAGUUGAUUGUCGGUCUGAGACCAGCGUUGUUAAUAUAUAUGAAAUUCACGCAAAAGCCUGAUCAAACUGACCUCGUUGAUGUGGAGCAGCAGCUUUCAUUAACAGAAAAAGCGAUAGCGAGUUCGUGUGAUAUAUGUACAUGUUUAGAUGCAUCAAAAAAUGUUCCAAAUAUAGAGGGAUGGCCCGUUUCAAAAGUUGCCAUCCUUUUAGUCGACAGUAAGAUGGAGAACUGCUUGUUGCGUUUUUGUUCCACCACUGAUGGGGUAUGGUCCGUGAUCGAAAAAGAUGUGGGUUCUUCAGAUCAAAUUUCUGAAGAUAUGAAUGAACUCAAACAUACAUACCAAAAGAGAAGAGUCAUUCAGAAUCCUACAAAAAACGGAUUAAAUGUUGAUGAUGAUGAGUUUUUGCAAGUUGGUUAUUCUGCUGUAAAGGAAGCUACUGGUAAUCAUCCUUCUUCUACGGAAAGAUUGUCAUAGCUAUUGUUAGAAACUAUUUUAGUUUAAUUUACUUGUAGUUAGAAUCACAGGUCAGGGUACAUUCUUCCGUGUCAGUUUUAUUUUCUUUUCCUUUUAUGUUUUCCAAUUAUGCUGUUUACUUCUCUUAUGUUUUCCAUAUAUUUUGAGGUUAAUAUUCGAUACAUAAUUUGUUAUUAUUUAUUUUCUGCAUAACAAACCGCUUUUCUCUUUUAAAAUGUUACUGUAGUAUAUUGCAUUUCAAGUUAAUCUAUCAUUAUCUCGUAAUUUAUAUUUUAACUGGUGAUUCUUGUAUGCAAUACAGGUGUCAAUAGUAAUGAUAUUAUGCUUUUGGAAAGUUACACUGUGUAUUCCCAGCGCAAAGAGAAGACAGCUUCACGCUUUUAUAUAAUGAAGUGCUCACAGUCGACAGCUGAUGGGUCUAUUCAAGUUCCUAUCAAAGAUUUAAUUGAAAGGUUCGUUAUAAUUGGUAUGGUUUUGCAAUUGGCUGAUGACUCAUGUCUCGAGUGAAUUUGCAUAGUUGUGACAAGUUUUUCCAUUGAUAGGAUAAAAAAAUUGCCUUUUUUUUUUCAUCCAUUCAGUUUGAUUAAUUUUCCUUUGUUGCCGAAAAGUCAAGUAUACUUUGUUUGCAUACCAAGAAUUGUCUUCACUUCUAAAUCAAGUUAUGAACUUUUUAUGAAUCUGUGUAUGAAUUUGUUUGGAUGGCUACUUAUUAGCCAGAAUGUUACAUUCUGAUCAUAAGACUGUUUGUUCUGGGCUUUAGACUAUAGGUGAUUGUAUAAUGAUCUGCUCAGAAAGCUGACCUACACGAUCCUAUUUAUCAUGGAGUGGUACUUGUAAUUCAAUACUUUAAUAUUUGCCCGAUUGGAAAAUUGUAAUUUGAUGAUUCUAGAGAGCUUUCAGCUGCUCUGCAAUAACUGUUUUUUCUCAAUUCUGUUAGAAAGAGUUCAAUUCAGUUACAUGAAGGAGGUGGGUCUAUUUAUAGACUGAUCCUAACUACCUCUAGCUGACUGACACAUGUCAGUCAGCUUUCCCCAGAUGACUGGCAGUUGCCAGUUAAUUCAGUUAGGCAGUUACAGGUUGUUAGGGAAGUUACAAGGGAUAUAAUCUAGUGUGGUGUAAUCUAUCAUGAUCAUUAUGUUCAAUUGCUAUCUAUUCUAGAGUCAUUCCUUCAAUAUUAACAAACUCCGUGUUUGCUUCUCCAUAACAUUUUAUAUUCGUCUUUGGAUAGCUUCCGGGGUCCUUUACUCAAAAAGAGUUCUAGCAGUUGGACGAUCACCUCAGUUGUUGAGUACUUCCACGUGCUUCCUUAUUCCGAAAUAAUCUCAGACUGGAUUUCUAGGUUGGUGUAAUUCACCUUUCCCUUUUCUGAUGCCUGAUUUAGAUCGUUUUGCAAUAAUGAAUUCUGAACUAGUAAUUAGAAGUCUUAGAAACAUAACAUAUUUCAUCAAAUUAUUUCUCAUUUCCAUUUUAUGUUUUCUUUGGAACCUCUUUCUGUAAGAUAAGGAUGACUAUUUGUGUAAAAUUUUCUUUGUAGAGAAACAUUCUCAAAUAGUUUGCAAGAUUCAAAGCUGGCAGAGAAACAAUUCCCAAAGCAUGAAGUGACAGAAUCACAUGUAAGUAGUAAGGGCUUGUAUAUUGAUCUUGAUAACAAGCCAGGAAGUGAUACUAAAGUGGCUCUUAAUCAGAAAGAGAAAAAUGGUUGCGGUAUAACUAAACGGUGUGAUUCUGUCAAGGAAGACUGGGAUAUGGAUGUGGACAAGUCUUUAGUUUUACCAUCUAAAAAUAAAGAAUGCCAGAAGCAUACUGCCAAUACUUUACAUAUAAGUGAAGAUCAAAAGAUAGAAAAUCCAUCAGUGCAACACCACUCAAAUGAAUGUACAAGACCUAGCAAGGUUUGAAGUUCAUCCUUUCUCAGAUCAUUUUGUUUAUUACCUUCCUUCUUCUGACUUCAGUUGAUGUUUUACUGCUAGAGUUGAAAAGUUUUCAUGGAUAUGAUUUGACAAGUUAUAAUGUUGAAUAUGCACCCAGUACAUAGUAUUAAAUUAUGUUUAGAUUCUAUGGUUGAUGUUUUAAACAAUUUUUUUUUUUUUUGUAAUAAGCAAACUCCUACAAGUAGAGGUUUUGACUAUUUCCUUUGUUGUGGAGUUGUGAUGGCUCUUAGUUAGAGAAUAUAGUUUCAAUGCUUUUACAAUAUAUAUUUACAUAUAUAGAUUAUCUCUAAUCCAGCUACAUGGCAUUGGAUUGCCAGGCUGAGAAGGCUGUUUCAAAAAGAAAGCACAUCACUGAGGGUGGAAUCAAAGAUCAAUCUGCUUUUGAUAAAAUUUGUGCCGGUACCACUUUUGAAAAUGAUUCAGUAGAAAAAUGUAUCCUGAAUGCAAAUAGUUCCAACAAAAAUCUUGAGAAGAUCCAAACUUUCAUAGCUUCAAAGGGGACAAUACUGUCACAAACUGCCCUCAAUGCUCUUAUACGAAAGAGGAAUGCACUGGUAAAAGCCUCUUAUAGUCAAUAAUGUUGGAUUACCGUUCAAACUUAUAUGCUUCUUUGUGUUAUAUAUUUGUACUGCUAUUGUCAUCAAUUUGUAUUUUGACCUUUAAAUUUUAUUCGACCUGUUUCUUUAUGGACCUUUACAUUUAUCUAAGAUUAUGUUUCUUUGAGCAGGCUCUUCAGCAGCGCGCGAUAGAGGAUGAGAUGGCUGUGUGUAAUAUGAAAAUUCAUAGAUGGUUGGCCGGUAUGUUUUCUUUUACCAGUUGUUUAUCAUUGCUUUCAAUAUUGCUUCUCUGCUGCAUUCUUCUAUCAAUAAGGUUUUCCCCCUUAUGAUAGAUUUGUGGUCUAGCAUAAAUGGUACUGGUUUAUUUACGUGAUUAUUAACUUCUUAUAGGUAUUUUCUCCCAUCUCACUGUCACUCCAAAUUGUUAAUUUUUUUUUUGGGCAGUAUUUGGAUUUCAUAAAUUUAACUAGCACAUUUUAUCCUUGACCGAAUCUAAAGCUGCUUUGAGAAUCUUGAAUUUUCAAUAUGAAAAUGAUGUAUUUGACCACAAACUUCUUUUUCCUUUUCACCAGAAGAUUAUAUCUGCAUGGUACCAACUAAAUGCGUUAUUUUUCUGUUGUGCAAUAUGGAAUACCAAUAAUUUUUUAAAUUAAUUUACUUGUGUGAAUUGAUUUAUUCCUCUACACUUCCAUUUUCAUAUCGACUAUGUGAAGAUGAAAAUAAAUUAUUGUUUGUGUUUUCUUGUCAAACGUAGGUGAGGAAGAUGACUUUGAAUUAAAAUUGGAAUCCGUUAUAGAAGGCUGUAAUGGUACAUGGUUAAGAAAUCAAGGAAGGAUGUGCAGUCAAUAUCUUGAUGAUCAAUGCUUACCUCAAUCUGUUAAGAGUAAAAGAUUGACAGAGGCUGUGCUUACUUUGCAUAGUCCUUGCCAGGCAAGACAUGUUCUUAAUAAUACUUGCUUUAAUUUUUAACGUCCAUCUAUAGUUUGGAAAUUUAUUGUAAGUGAUACUUGUGGUUCAUUAGUAUGAUUACUUUACUAUUUUCAUAUAUUUGAGUAAAACAAGAGAAUAUGAUUACUUACUAAUUUUAUUUAGUUCUGUUAAUACAUAAUCCAGCGAAUGAUUACUUGUUGUUAGAAGAGGUCAGCAAUGUAAAAUAAAUAUUUUGUACAGGGAACAUAUAUAUGAGUCUAAUGAUCAAGAGGAUAUAUAAUAUUAAGAAGAAACAAUAGUUAUAAAUUUGUGGAAAAAAUAUAAAAUGUUUUAGAGGCCAUAAAUAACUUAUCAGGUGGAGUUGUGGUGCGGAAUGAUGCAAAAGGUAUAUCAAUCCUUGUGAUUUUAUGCGUUUUAAAGAAAUGUAGUUAGACACAUUAUUAAUUUCCCUUCAUCGUUUUACAAGUACUUGAAAAUUCUGUUUGAUCUUGCAGGAACUAGAUGGAAUAUGUCAUGAAAAUAAUUGGAUCCUUCCAACUUAUAGUGUAUCUCUAUCAGAUGGUAAGACUACCUAACCAAGGUUGCUUGUACAAUACACCAUUAGCAGUACGCAAUUCCGGCUCAGUUGUACAAUGACAUAUUUUAUUGAUCAUGCAUCUUACGAUUCAUUAUAUUGAUGAUUAACUUUUGAAGGUGAAUUUCAUGCUACUGUAAGAGUUAAAGGAGUGGACUUUGAGUAUUCGUGUGAGGGAAACACAUGCCCCUUUCCCCGCGAAGCAAGAGAUUCAGCUGCUGCUCAAAUGUUGACUAAAUUUAGAAGUAUGGCAUAAAAUCAGUCCUCUAAUUUUGGCUCUUGUGCUUGAAGCAUUUUAAUGGCUUCUUGACUAGUUAUAUGUACAUGAACUGAAUGCAAGUUUUGGAUCUUUGGCAGUAUCCGUGUGAAUGAGCACAAAUCAAUCUACAUAUAUUAAUGGCUUAAUUGCACUUUGGCCCUCCUAGUUUCUUAAUUGUACGAUUUUGAACCACAUAGUUUCAAUGAAGCGAUUUUGGCCCCUCUACUUUCUCAAUUAUGUGAUAUAAAUUACGUGUAUUACCAUAUUUUUUUAAUUUUUAAUUUAUGAUUUUAAUAAAAGUAUUUAAAUUCCUUUAAAAAAAAGUAUUUAAAUAAUUAACAUAUAUUUAUUCAAAAAAAAUAAAGUAUGGUAAUUAUUCAAAAUAAUCAACAUAUAAUAUAUAUGGGUAUUUAUAUGAAAUGUAUUUGUUAUAUGCUAUUUUGUUUGAGAGAUUCUUAUAAUAUUUUAAACAUGACUUCGAAAAAAAAUGGUGAUGAAAAACUUUUAGGGUGUGUUUGGAUGGAAGGUUUAGAAGGGGGAGUUUACUUUUCAUUUUUAAAUUGCAAACACUAUGAAAUGUUUUUUAAAAAGUUAACGUAUUAACAUGAUAAACGAUCAUAUAAUACUUCAAUCACACUUAACUUGAAUCCGAACACACUUUUAGAGACUAAAAGUAAAAUUAUUUUAACACUAUUUUUUUAAGGAAUAAAGUAGAUAGCAGAUAUUAAAGUAUCAUAUUUUAUACUUAUUAAAGACUGGAAACUGAUAUGACUCAUGAGUUCAAAUGAAAUCUUCAUUCACCUUGAUUUUUACAAAGUGAGUUGGUAGGCAUUUUAAAGGCAACUUAAUGCUUUUGUACAGAACACAAGCAAAUCAUUCAAAGAUGACAAUGCCUGUGAUAAUAAUGGGACAAGACCACUCAUUGUCCUUGCAAGACAAAAUAAUAAAGCUGCAAAACAUGAGAUUCGUAUCAUUUGAAUUGCAUUGAAAAAGCACAUGAUAUUAUACUAGCAGUACCUAUUGAACUGAGUAACAACAAUACUACAAUACCGCCAUAUCAAAUGGCGUGAUUGCAAACAAGUUAGCCUAUUUAAGACUCUGAAGUUUUCUUCAACUCAUUACAUCAAAAACUAUUGCCAAGAAAUAAUUUCAAUGGCACCAUCAUCAAAUGUAUUUUUCAUUGUGCACUACAAUGGAAAAUGCGAAAGAAAUAAUGUUUCUGGCGUAUAUUUUGAAAGCAAAGUAAGAAAGGGCUUCAAUGUAAGUCCUAAAUGCACUUUUGCUUACUUAAAGCAAAGAAUAGAAGAAAAAUUCAAGUUAGGAAACAAUAAGGUUGUAUCUGAGAUUAUUUGUAGAAUCCCUAUGUUUAUUGGAAAGAGCAAUAUUCUAUAUGAAUCCUAUAAAAUUACAGAUAACGACGAUGUUGAGUUUAUGUUUGACAUUUAUAAGAAGUAUGAUGUAAUUUUAUCGAUCGAGUUAUGUGUUACGAUUGAAGAUGGUAAUCCAUCAUCAAAUUUUUUUCAACCGUCAAGUUCAAGUCAAUAUUUUCACACACCAAAAACACAUUAUGGACCAUCAUCCUCCCAACCCAUGUCUAUUCCAACUCCUAGCCCUAAUGCAGCAGAACAACAAAAUGCUGCAACAAAUACUCAUCCUGCAGCAACUCAACCACCAAGGCCAAGGAGGUACAAGACCUGUGGAGCUGGCCCUAAUCCCAGAAAGAAGAAGCAAGUUCAGAAGUAAGUUGUUGCACACUGUUGCAGCAACACAAGGCAGUAUAUUAUUGAUUAACUUUGCCCUAUUUUUACAGUUUCAGCUAAGGUAUUAUCUUUUUGCAUUUUCUUUUGCUGUUUUGAGUUGCAAGAGCAGUGUUCACACUACUCAGACAACAAGUUUGGGGGAGAGAUUAAUGUGUUUGAGUCUUUUGAUUUUUAGGACUAAGAAGAGUUUGAGUUUUUUUCUUUCAAUAAUUUAGAAUGUUUUUAGGAUAUCAAGUGUAAUGGAUGAAAAUUCUGUUUUAUUAUAACAAAAUUAUCUCUCAUUGCACAAAGCUUACUGCACCAUGUAUGUACAAGCUCUCGAGAUUCCAAAGCACUUUAAUUCAUUCAUUCACCGGGGUUUGAAAUAUUCAAAAGAUCUUGUGCUACUCCAUGUUGAGUUUGGAAAAUGAAUCAUCCACAAGAAAACUGUGAAAUCUAUUAUGCAAGGAAUUUUUUAGUUCUCUUUUAUAAGCAAAAUUUGGGUGUCUUUAAAGCUUUAGCACAUAAAACUUUGUCAAUAUGAAUUAGUUCUGCAACAUUCUUGUAAAAAGAAAAUCAAUAGUCUAAGUUUACAUUUUCAUCCCUAAAAAAUAUAGCAAAUUUUAGUUUUAAUCUCUAAAAACGUGAUGUUUUCGUCUUCUCAAAAAUUUCUAUUUUGUUUUGUCAUAAAAUAUAAAAAUAAGAAAUUAUCAAAAUUAAAUACUUAAUAUUGUGAACAUAAUGAUUUCUUAAAAUUUUGAAAUAAAAUAUACAAAAGAGAUUUCACCCAUAAUUUGCUUUAUCACUGGUAAUUUGGAAGGCAGAGCAGGGCAAGAAUUCACUCAUUUAUGACUUAUGGGGAGCUUUUACUAUUUGAACCUCUGAGGGAACAGGAGGAAAAUUAUACAUUGACAAAAUUUAUCAACAAAACCCUUUUAUCCUCUAAAAAGACAAAAAUAACUAUAAAUAUUGACAAAUAUAACUAAUGUUUAUAGACAAUAUCAUACAUUUGCUGGACUGAAACAAAACACCUCCUUCAACAAAAGAAGCUGCGCAUUUCACGGAUUAUGGGCAUGAGUACAGAAACAUCUUAAUUUAUAAUCACCACAAAGAAUGAAAAAAUGGUGUAUAUUGCAAAGUAGCUUCAUUAGCAUCCUGCAGCUUUCAAGAAUUUAUCAUAGGGGCUCGAAGGUGGAAGUCUCAAAGAAUGUUGCUUCCUAGUGUCUUGUGAACGGAAGCGGAUUUGAUCCUGUGCUUGAAAUUGCUCUUGAGUUACCAACUUCAAAUCUCCUUUUGAAUAUUCUAGUGCCUGCACAAUGGCACAGCUCACAAAUAAUUAUCAUUCCAGAAAACGAAACAACUGAACUCUAAUCAUAGCCUAGUCUUUGUGCCUCAUUAUCAUGUAUCCCCAUCUCAUGAAGAAAAAAAAAUAUAUAAUGUACUUUGGGACUUGGGAUUAAUUUCAUUAGUCCACUAAUAACACAAAACAUGGCACAACACGUGAAGAAUACAUGCAAACUAUUGUAAGAAAAUGCUAACCUUAACAGGUUGACGGGAAACUUCUUCAUUUUCACUUGAAAGAACUAUGGCCUUGGUCUCCUGCUGGUUCUUAAAACUGCGAAUGGUUAACAUCUUCUGUUGUUUUCCUGUUUCAAGGGCCUCACACUGGUUCUUCAUUUGGUCAUAAGGUAAAGGAGUUGAGGAAGUGGAUAUGCUUGCAACUUGCCGAGCAGUUUCCAAAACCUACACAUGUGAUAAUCCCCAUAUAUCAUUAAAGAGAAGAAACACAUUCAUUCUCCAGCAGAAGCAUAAAAAUUUGAUUGAGAAUAUAAUCAAAAUGCCAACUAGCUAUGUUUUUUUAAGAAAGAAUAGCGUAUCAUUUUUACCGAUUCCAAGAGUUGAUUAACACCUAGAACAUCUGGGCGGUUGGUUGAAAGUGAUGUUCUACGAUCUGACUGGCUUCCACUUAGUUCGGUCCCACUCCCUUCAUCUAUCAAAUCAUCUGCAGCCAUUAUCUGGAAAACCAAUCACAGUAUUGGUCAAAAGUUUUUCCAGAAAAACUAAAUGAAGAUGUACUUUUAGAUAAUUUUACCUCAUCAACAUCAGGGAACUCUAUCUGAGCAAGUGGAGAACCUGGCCUUGGUGUCUCCAUAAACAAUGGAGGUCCUGAUGGAUAAGCAUCAUCAGGAGAAAAACCCUGUAGAAGCUGAUUUUUUAUGCUGGACAACUCAUCCUGGUAAAUAUGGAAAACAUCAUGUUAUUUCCACACAUACACAACUAAUAUAUUCCUAUCCAAGCCACUCCACUGCAAGUACUAUUUUACAUAAGAUAAUAUUAAUUUUUUAGACAAUUUCCAGGACAAAGGUGUGUGAGCGUGACACUGGAACAUAUAUACAGAACAAAUACAUAAUUAACUAUUGAACUAAAAGCAACCAUUUAUCUUCUUAUAUUCAAUCACUGUUAAGCGCUUACCAAACAACCAUUUGUUUUGUUAUAAACUUCCACACAUCCUUGCUACUCGAUAUUAGUCACUGGUAUAAUAUCAUUGGAGCAAACCAAAGUGUGUUACUACCCUCCUACAUUUAUUUUCUCCUUCUUGUUGCUACUAUCACUAUCCUUCUACUCACUCGAGCAUACCCACUACCAUUUUCUUUACUUCUUUUUCAUAUUGCACGUGGAGGGGUUUUAUGUGACUUUAUUAUAAUAGAAAAAUAACAAAGCCCUUCUUAAAAAAAAAAAAUAAUAAUAACAAAGCCACAUUUCUUUAGAAAAUCAUCUUUUUUUUACACACUUUAGAAAAUCAUCUUGCCUACAAAGUUUGACAAAAAAGUAUCAUCAUAACUUUUCAAAGCAUAAAAGAGUAUUCUUUGCCCGCCCAAGCAAAUUUAUAUUACCUCGGGUAAUUUUGAAAAUUUAGUCAUGAAGUAUGAUAUUACAGUCUCUUUCAAUUGUCUGUCAUCCAAUUGUACAGCUGAUAGUGACUUCAUAGCAGCAACUUCAUCUUCCACAGAUCCAAAAACUACUUUGUCUGAUUUUAUACAAACAGCCCGCAGCAGGUUAUCAUCCACCAAUUCAAGAAAAGGAUCUACCUGUGGGUUUAUGAUUUUGAUUAGUUAUAAGCAUAAUUAGAAAAGGAAAAAAACAAUGACUCUCAACUUUAAACCGAAGCAGAAGAACAAGGACGUGAAAUGGGAAAUCAAAUCAAGAGGUUAAGAGUGGAAACUAACCGGUGCUUCUGUCAGGGAUGCUUUGACUUUUGGAAUCAGAUCAGAGAAAUCGGCUGCUCUGGCAGAGAAUAUAAGCAUGUGCGAAGCCAAGGUUAAAAGGGACCUCCUGCGAGAUGGUGGUAAGCCUCCUUUAACAUGCACGUAAAGAAACAUGUCAGAAAAGAGUUGCCGUAGAAAAUAUAAAAUUCUCAGUUAUAGUAAGUUUUAGCUAUUGGACAUUUCAAAAAUUGUUAUUCCAUUUUUGCCACCAUUGAAUGGGGAAGAACAUUCUUUUUCCAGUAUGCAAAAAGUCGGGGAAUGAUGAAACCAUUCCCAACCUCCGAAGUAAAAAAUUACAUGUAUCCCAGUUACCUUCUUGGUCCAAAGAUAUGCUCCUGAGGGAAAAUGCCAGUUGGAAGCAUCUUACUAAAGCCAUGUAACUGGAUGUCUGUGGAAAGCAAUAAACAUCACCAUCAGCUUAGACAAAUUAAUCGUGCAGUAUAAUUUGGUUCUAAAUGCUAUCCAGAUUAAAUAUACACUAUUGUUUCUUAGUUUUAGAAAACAUGAAAACUCCUAUCUGAAUGUUCACCAUUGCCACUAAAUGCUGGUAACGGUAUCAAAGCCAAGUAGAAAUAGUCUUUCAUAAGUUGCUCUUAUAAUUAAUUGCACUUUUAUAAACAAUGGUUGUAAAAUCUACUUAGUAUAUGCUAUACUUAAUGAUAAAAAUCUUUAAAAGCAAUCAUGGCACUUGGUAUGCACCAACCUUACCUUAGAACGAGUAAAUAAUAAAGCAAUGCUAUAAGUGUGUGCCAUUGCCUCAUAAUUUGCAGGGCCAUUUUCAGCAGAUGUUGCCUGAACCCAGAUUGAAGAAAGCAAGAGACUCACUUGGUGACUGCUCAACCUAAGAGAUCUUAGAUCCUGAAAAUUUCAGAGAUCCAAUAUUUGGUUAGGAACUGCUUAUAGCAACAUUUGACUAACUGAUUACUGAAUGCCCACCAACAUAACAGUUCAACAAGAAUCAUUGAGAUUAAACUGUGAUGAAUAGGAACAAAAUACUCUCAACCCAUCCAACCAAUAAGAACACAUUUAAGUGCAUACAGUACAUAAUGAUAAAAAAAAAAUCACACAUCUUUUCCAUCAGCUAGAGCAUGAGUGAAAAAUUUCUUCCCACUCAGACCUGCUUUUACCUUUUCUUCUACAGGUUUCCCAUUCAAGGGAUCUUCUCCAGAAAGACUUUCAUGCUGAAUGGAGAGGCCGUCACUCUCUACCUUCUUGGAAAUCUUUUUUUGGUCUAACCAAGGAGAAACCACAGAUGGCAUGAGCACCAUAGACAAAAUACUGUGCGCUCCAAUUUGUGUUUCACGGUCAGGAUGAGCCAUGGCCAGGAGCAAUUGAUGAAACAACGCAUCAGGGAAAGCCUGGAAAAGACCAAAAAUAACUCAAAAAAUUAGACAAUUAAAUAGAGCCGGGCAUGCAGAAACACCAUUCUCAGUCUAAAGUAAGAAAUACGUGCCUUAUUGUGAUACAACACAUUAGGGACAGAAGUGAUUAACUUUGCAGUUUGAUAGACAGCAGAGAUUGUUGUUCUUGCUACGAUAGUAGAACUAGAAACAUUCUCUAGCACCACAGCCAUCAAAUCAAAAAUGGGUCCUGCAUCUCCAACCUGAUACAACAGAAGCAGUGUGACAAAACUGCUGCAACAUACUCAAUCCUUAUACUUCUAUAGCAAUUUAGUUGCUUAUAAAAUCAAGUCAAAUUCUAUUAAAAAAAAAGAGAGGAAAACAGUGUAGAAAUUUGGUUACUCUUCAGUAAAAGUCAGAAUUAAGAGAUUGAGAACCAAAGCCACAGGUCUCUAAAGAAAACCUCUUCAGUAGAGAGAACAGAUAAUAAAUUGAAUCUAUAGACAUAGAAUUGAAGAAACUUUACUCGGAGAAUACCCAUAAAGAAGUCAUGUGUCGUAUAAAAUACCAUAAAGUUUGAAAGACGAACCAAAAAUUUGAUACAUAAUGUUAACAUAUAUGUACCUUGUUUGAAAGUUGUAAUAUGCACAUUUCAAUGGAAGAUUGAAGUUUAGUAUUCAACAUACUCAAUCCUUAUACUUCUAUAGCAAUUUAGUUGCUUAUAAAAUCAAGUCAAAUUCUAUUAAAAAAAAGAGAGGAAAACAGUGUAGAAAUUUGGUUACUCUUCAGUAAAAGUCAGAAUUAAGAGAUUGAGAACCAAAGCCACGGGUCUCUAAAGAAAACCUCUUCAGUAGAGAGAACAGAUAAUAAAUUGAAUCUAUAGACAUAGAAUUGAAGAAACUUUACUCGGAGAAUACCCAUAAAGAAGUCAUGUGUCGUAUAAAAUACCAUAAAGUUUGAAAGACAGACCAAAAAUUUGAUACAUAAUGUUAACAUAUAUGUACCUUGUUUGAAAGUUGUAAUAUGCACAUUUCAAUGGAAGAUUGAAGUUUAGUAUUCAACGUAUGCGCAUCAUUUCCAAUGUCGGUUGCUUCAGCUGAAUUUUGUAGGCAUCUCCUUAAAUGUUUAAUGAGAUCGGAUAUUGCACCAAUGACUGCAACUGAGGCUUGCUGCUUCACAUUUUGUGCAACCUGUGUGGUGAUGUUAAUAAUAUCAAUCUGAAGGAUAGGUUGCUUGGCAACAUUCUUAUGAUCCAAGUGCUUGACCAAUAUGGACAACAUAAGAUGGGAGUUAUUUCCUGAUGUUCAAAAAGUGAUGAUCAGCUGUUGAGAAAAAUAGGGAGACUUUAAUAUCUAAGGAAAGAAAUGAAGGAUGUAACAAGAAUACCUGAUUCUGCUAAAAGGAAUUGCAAAUACAUCAAAACACAGUAAGCAACCCCCUUUUCAGAAGACCAGUGGUUCUCAGUAUCAAAAUAAUGAAAAAGUGGUUCCAAGACACGCCGCACAGUCGUUGCUUCCUUUGCCAAUUUGGCUAUAUUAUACAAGCAAACCUUUGACCAAUAAGCAGGAUUCUUAGCCGUAUCCCUGUGAAAGUGAUGAACACAGACUGUUGGGAUUACCGAUGUUGGAUUCAUACAUAAUAAAGGGAGCAGGAAGAAGAGUAAGAGAAGACAUACAAUUUGGACUCUAUCUCAAAUCCUGUCGCAACAUUCAACAUCGAAGAUACAUGGGCUUCUUCUUUAGGAAAUUCUUGAACCAACUGGUUCUGAGAUUGUGAAUUCAGUUUCUCUACCUUGGCAAGGUUGGAUUUAGAUUGGAGAUCCACAUAGUUCUCCAAAAUUGCUGAUAUAAUCUAUUCAAAAACCCGCCCACCCAACAAAUAAGAAAAGGGAAAAAAAAUUAGAUUGACAAGAAGACAUUUGGCUUCAGCCUUCAAGUGUAAACUAGCAUCGAAAUUCAAGACCCUAAACUAACUUUGAAUUCAAGACCCAAAUUAUGGUUCAGAAUUUGGAAUAAAUAAAUAAUAUAGAAACUAAGCUUCAAGUUCUAUACAACCCUUUGCUUGAAGUCACUACUGGUAUCAUCAGUCAACAGACUGAAGGAAUAAAAACAGGAAUACAAUACUCACUUUGUCAAAAUCCAUGGAUAGAUGUGAGUGCUCACCCAUGAACUUCACCUGGCCAAAAAAACAAAGGAGAAAAUCAAAAGGCAUCAAGGGAAGGCUCAAGUAACCUCAAAAGGGAACUGGCAUAAAGUAUUGUGGUAGGAACGUGUGGAAGUGAUUUAAUUGUAUCACUAUCAGUACAAAGAAGUUUAAUACUGAAGAAUUAUAAAUAAAAAAUAACUAAAACCGCUAAUGAUGAUCUUUGUCGUUCAGUUAUUUAAUAUUCUGUGCAGAUGGAACCUUUUCAUAAAAAUAAUCAAGGUGGGUUGAUUCUUGUUUGUAUUGAUCAAUAAAGAGAAGUUCUUACAUUUAUAAACUUACUACGAAAAUGCAAGAGCAAAUUCAGUAAGAAAGAAGUAACAAAGGAGCAUUACCAUAGAAGAUAGAGUUUGUAGUCCUGCUGAACGUAGAAGCAGAGCUCGUUCAUCAUCUCCCACUUCUUGAGCCAGUUGACAUAGUUUUGGGAUAAAACCCUCUAGGUUGAACAUGUAUGUACCAUCUGUCUACUUUUAGUUCAAAGGGUUAACAUCACUAAACUCGGGGUAUUGAAAAAAAUGUGACAACAAAAUAGAAACUAAACGAUCUAUAAAUUGCAGUGUAUCAAGCAGCAGAGCCUAUAAUGUGGACAAUAAAUUAAAACUGAAAUCACUAAUUCUACUUUCAGAGGGGUGCUAAACCACUCACAAACAGUAAUGCAAGUUUUUAACACUCAAAUCAGAAAGACCGAAUGACCAUAUACCUGGAAAAUAAUAAAAUCUACAAGAGUAUUGCAACCUAAGAUCCGCACUUCAUCUGCUCGUGUUUGCUCAAGAAGAGUCCGAAUGAUCCCUAGCAAACUACUGGCAAAUAGUGGUCUGCAGAUUAAGAAGCAUUUAUUUUGAAUAUCAUUACUCAUUACAAUGAAAUAUAGCAUGCAACAACUUGAAAUCAAAUGAACCAAAACAUUAUUGUAUAACGCUCAAGUAACUGGCAAAUAGGAGAGCUAGUUGAUAAUGCUUGACCCUGCCUUGGAAUGCAAAUACUAUAUUAAAAAUAAAGGUAUAUCCAUACAAAAUUGUGUUAUCAAAAAAGGCUUCUCGUUGUAUUAUACACUAAGAUUACUCGUCCAGAAUAAGUUUAUCAUAUAAUCAUCUAUGCAUAGUCCCAUAAACCCAGCAUGAAUGAUACCAGAAGGUCCUGGACGCAAAAUUCAUAAAUGCUGGUAAAUUUAAAAAAUGCUUCAGAUGAAAUACUCUUGUGAUUACAAUGACUGAAUCUUAAGAUUUGGAAGGUAAAUCCUUCCCUCAGCAUCCCUUUUUGUUUCAACAAACUCAGUUGGGAUCAAAUAACAACUCGGUACAAGGAAAAUGUCUGCACUUAACUUGCAAGGCAAAAAACUUACAUCUGCUCCCUACAUGAAGACAGCAAUUUUCUGUAUAUGCACAAGAUUACUUUCACUGAACCAAAGCUUUCAUUACGCAGAUCCUUAUAACAUCUUUGCUCCAAGUUCUCUGUAAUCUGACAAGGUAAAACACCACUUAAACUCAGCGUAUAUAAGAGAUUGAAUUCAAUACUUAAAAUGAAAAAAUUCAGAGUUAAAUUUAUCUCAUGGCGUUUGUUCAGAGUGAAAUUAGGUGAAGAAAUGCUGAAAGUAUUCAGCAAAUGAGAGUUCACUAAACAUAUAGUUGCAACUCUUUCACUAUUUAAAGUAUUACAGUAUAUGACAGUUAUUUCCUUUAGCAUAGCCUCGUUGAAAAUACUAAAUGACCAAGUUUUCCUUUAACAUAUAUAUUCAGCAAUUGAAUGAAAAUGUUGACAAAAAUUACAAAUCAGUACUUGAGAUUGCCACUAAAAAUCUCGGUGCUUAAUAUAUCAGUUCUAUCAAACAUGUGAUUAGAUGGAAGCCAGCCGAUUUUCUACAAUGAUUUAUUAGUUAAAGCCGCUAGUAAUUUAUUAUGAGAAUGAUUAUCUACUAUAUUUCCUCCCGCAUGUCAUAAAUUUGUUUAUUAAGUGAAACAAAUAGACUACAAGUGACAAGAAACAAAGAGUAGACUUGUACGAACAUUAUUACCUUGGGAAUUCUCAGUGGAUUCUUAGAAGCAUAUUCGCAUAGCUUUCCGAUUUUCCUAUCAUUGAGCUCAGCAACCUGCAAAACACAGUAAUCAUCAAGUGAAUCAAAAACUUUACUCUUUUUCAUAUUCAUCGGUUCAGCCAGGGGAGGGGAGACAGGGGAGGGCAAAAGGGUUAGAGGGCCUCCAGAGGUUCUAAAUCAUUGUUAAAUCCAAACAACUAGUGCAAUUUUGAUCAUAUAGCACCCUCUAGUACAAUUUCUAAACAAAAUAUAAAAGAUAAAUGUUUUUUCACACAAAUCUGGACACAAACACUAUAUAUCUAUACGGUUUAUCGGAAAUUGUGUAUCCAAAUAGCACAAUUGUAUAUAAAUAGAUCCAAAAACAGCGCCACGUGUAAGUUGUAGAGUCAAUUCCCCCUUUUCCUCCAAAAAGGGUCGUUAUUAUUAUAUUUAUUAUAUAUAGAGAAAGAAUCAAAUUACACCAAUAAGUUACACUAAUUUGCAACCGUUGAUAUUGAUCUUUUUUUUUUAAGAUGCUAAAUUAGCCCACCCAAAUUGGCACCGAAGAGAAUCGAACCUGAGACCUUGAGGAGGAGCACACUCCCAGGUCCCAAGCCAAUACCACUAGGCCAACCCAAGUGGGUUCCGUUGAUAUUGAUCUAAUCUAGGGUCAUGACAUUUUCACUUUAAUGAUCACGUGAUAAGAUACAAAUCCAAAGAAACACCCAUCGGAAAUUUCCUCUUUUGAAACCCAAUUAACUUGCACACUAAAUUCUCUACUUUCUACACUUAAACUCAUUGGCUAUGCUUUCUGCACUCAAAUUCAUUUGUUCCCAGCCAUAAACACAGAAUCAAUCUGUAACAAAUUGAAGAAGAAUGGAAUCUGCAUCAUCCAUGAGCUGCAAUUAAAUAUUUUCUAUGUACAAACAAUGAUGAUGAGUCGGUAAUAAUUACUUAGGGUCAUAAAUUAAUCAAUUAUCUUAUAAAGUCAUAUAUCAAGAUACAUUGUCAAUCAAAAGCUAUUGGAUGGCUUGGGAAGCAGACGGUGAUUUUUUUUCUCAUGGUGAGAAGAACAAUCACGGAUGCAACACGCCGACUAAUGGUAAUAAGGUUUUAAAAGAGGAAGUUUCACGAUGGGUUUCACUGCAUUUGUACAAUAUCACGUGAUCAUUAAAGUGAAAAUGGCAUGAGUCAUUAGAUUAGAUCAAUAUCAACGGCUGAAAAGAGUGUAAUAAUUAGUGUAACUUAUUGGUGUAAUUCCAUCCCUCCUCUUGUAUAUACGUAUAAACUAAACGCCAAAGCAUUGCAUUUUAUUAAAAGCAAAAAGCGAUAGUAUUUGAAAAUCCUAACAGACAAGCAGCGUAUGUGCGGUAACUUACAUCCUUCGCGCCAAACCACAAACAAGCAUUACCAAUAAGUGUUAGUAAAAUACUAAACCAACAUACCAUCCUUCAAUGCAUAUUGCAUACAUUGGCAAAUAAUUUCAAACUCAACUUAAUAUUCUAAGCUCUCUGACACUAGAAAAGUCGCAAACACAUGAUAGCGAAAUGAGCAUGAAAUUAUACCUUAUUACGGGGUAAGAUUUCAGCGAUCAACUUCUUGUAACGUUUAACGGGUUGUCUUGAUCUUGCACGCAAGGAAGGACAAAAAAUACAGAGGUUACCGCAGGCGGGAACAACCCGCCUGGACAUAACCCCCAUUUUCCUGUAAAUUCACAGACCCUCACCUGCAAAAACAACAAUAUCACUUCCUCAAAUUCACAUCACAGUAAUAAUAAUUAACAACUUGAGUUUCACACAAAUUCAUAAACAAAGUCAAAUUCAGCUCAAUUAAGAACACAGGGUUUAAUGAAUCAAUUAUACCAUAGAUUAAAUAAGUUAUGAAUAAUUAAUUUAUAGAGAUGAAUGUAUGAAACUUACGAAUUUGAAUAAUUGAAAUUGUUGAAAUAAUUGAAAUUGCACCACGCGUGUUCGAUCGGGAUCUAAACUAUAUAGUUGAAAAUGAAAAAUUGAUGAAAUAAUAAUGAGAAUUAAGAUAAGAUAAAGAGAAAAUGAAUUAAUUAAAAUGGUGAUUAAAUUGGAUAAGAAAUGAAAGUAUAUAAUAAAAUGAAAUGAAAAUGAAGAGGAAAAAAGAAAGAAUACCGUGAAAAAAUGGCGAUGGGGUCAGAGUUGGAAUGCGAAACUCUUCCCCAGCCAUGAUGACGUUUGUUAAUAUGAUGAAUGGGAAUACGGUUGAAAAAGGUAAGUUUUUGUUUCAUCAUCAAAUUACGUAGUUAGUUAAUUAAACCAUCAUGUAGUAUAUCAAUUGUCAUUUUUGUGAGAUAAUAAUGUAAUUAAUACCGAUUAAAUUACACAUGUGCUCGAUUAAAUCAUGUGUAAAAAAGUUUUACAACAUCAAUCUUAUGUUUAAUAUUAAUUAAAAUUAAAAAGGAAUAAAAAUUAUUUAUAAAUAUUUAUUAGGCAUGAUUUGAUUAUAUGCAUGAUUAAUUAAUCACUUUAUUUUUUUUCAAGUAGCCUAGUAGCUAGAACUCACACAAUUGUGGAGAAGUGGAAUGUUCGGGGUUUGAACCCGGCUCCUGCGAUAAAAUGUAAUAUCCCUCCCCACCAACUGAGCUAAGCUCACAGGGAUAAUUAAUCACUUUAUUAGUUACCUUGUUAUGGAAUGGUAAGUGUUUAAUUUUAUUUUAUUUUAACUUCUUAAAAAAAAUUAAUUAAAAAGAAAUCAAAGUAUCGUGCCCACGUCAAAAAUUGAAUAGGGGUGAAAUGUGUGAGCUCCGGUUACUAGACUAUUCGAUUAGAAAAAAAAGAAUAUUGUGGCAUUCUUAAAAUGAUUAUUUUUUUAUUUUAUUUUCAUCUAAGUAGUAUAUACUAAUGGCAAUACUAUAUAUAUUAGAUAAAAUUAUUUGAUACUCCAGUUGGAUGGGAUGAUAUCAAUGGCGUGAUGGUGGGAGAAACAACGAUGCGAAGAUCAAUGGUACCACGAAUUAUGGGUUGAUUGGAAUAAUGGGUGGAUUUAUCUAAGAAAAAGGGUAAGAAAGGUGAAUUGCAAAGGAAGGAAACUUUUUAUUAACAAAAAAAAAAGUAGGAAACUUCCUUCUUUCGACAAAAAUUAUACUUUGAAGAUUUAAAGUAAUUAACAAAUGUGGUUUCUUAGGAGAGAAGAAUCUAUCUUGUGUGUCUCAUAGAUUAUCCGAUAGAUUAGUCAUUAAAUGGAGUGCAUCUUUGCUCCAUUUAACCAUAUUCCUUUUGAAUAUAUAGAUGUUUGACAUGUGAAAAAAAUAAAUCUAAUGGUUGAGGAAGCUUUACUCCAUUUACUCCUUAUUCCAUUUGAUAAAAAAAUAAAAUAAGAGAAAAACUAUUUUUCUCUAUCAUACAACAGGCAGCGUUUCAUCUUCUUCCUCCAUCCAAAUUGUCAUUUACAAUCUAAAAGGUUAACGUAUUCUGUGUAACAAUGAUGAUAGAUUUGGAUUAUUAGGGAUAUCGAAAUAAUCCUAGUUCUAAUCAGGAACCCCAAUGGAUGAAUAAGAUUCGGUGAAAUAGAACUGAUAGACAUAAAAUUCAGAUUUGUAAGAGAAGAAAAUUGAUAAUAAUGCUUGCUUAAAUAUUCCACCAAGUCACAGGGACCAUAUAAGGAUCUAAGAUUACAACUUUAUCCUCAUAUAGAGAUGAAUAAUUUUAAUAGUACUAAAUUGAAGAUGAAUGAUAUAACCGGUAGUGUUUCAUCUUCUUCUUUCUCAUAACAAUCUAAAAUUGCAACAAAAAACAAAAAUUGAAGGUGAAUGAUACAAAAUUGAGCACAAAAUCGAAAGUUUGAAAAUUGAAAGUUGUUGUUUUAUCGGCAUCCGAGUAAUUUGCAGAUCAGUCGUCGGAAAACUCGUUUAUCUCUGAAUGAAUAUCGCUUAUUUAAAUAAUUAACUCGUUGUUGAGCAUGUGAUUCAUCUCUGAAUUGAACUUUUGUAAAUCAAUACAUAUUUCUCAUGAUUCGAUUUAGAUCUGCAAACAAUGAAAAUCAAGGGGGAGAAGAAGUUGAGUGCGUGUGGAGCAGAAGGGGAAGAACAUGAUGAGAGGGAUAAGAUGGAUAGGUGUCUAUGUUAAUCUUUUAAUCUCAACCUUUGGAUUUAUUUUUGUCAAGUGUCACACAUCUAUGCAUUGAAAAGAAAUAAAUUGAGCAAGAGUAAAUGGAGCAAAGAUGAACUCCAUUAAAUGACGGUGGAAACUUUGUACCAAUAUCAUGUUAACCGAAAAAUAAUAUGGCUUCUUAGAUGAGUGUUCUAGCUUCUAUGAAGGGUCGUCAAUUUUUUUAUGGUAUUCUUAUUACAAGUAAAGUUUUGGAUGAUACCAAUAGAUUGAAGAAAGAACUUAUUCUCUUUAAGGUUGAUUUUGAAAAGACUUAUGAUUUUGUAGAUUAAGUUACAAUUAGAAAGCGGUUUCAGUUAGAUGGAGGAAGUGGAAUACGGAAUGUAUCAAUUCAGUCUUUAUCCCCGCUCUCAUUAAUGGUAAGCAUGUAGAUGUAUUCAAAUCAAGCAGAUGUUUGAGGCAAUGUGAUACUUUCUAACCUUUUUUUAUAUAUUUUUUUAUUGUAGCAGAAAAUCAUAAUUUCAUGCUAAGGGCUUCAAUGAACAAUGCCUUGGGUCAAAUCAUUAGUUUAGGAUUUCUCAUGUGCAAUUUUGCAAACGACACUUUGUGGUGAGCCAAAAAAAUUGGAAAAAUAUAAGAACAGUAUAAGACUAUUUGAGUUGAUUUCGCGUCUCAAAAUCAAAUUUCACAAAAUUGUGUUGGUGGAUGAGAAUGUCUCACUUUUUUGGUUGGAAGAAACACUAAAAGUUCCUAAUUGUAAAAUUGGAUUCACCCCUUUACUCACACACUGAUCUUUUGAUGGGUGACAAUCCUCCAAAAUCUUGUUUUUGGCAUCCUUUGUUAGAAAGAAUCAUAAAAAGACUACGGGGUUGGAAAAGUCAUCAGUUAUUCAUGAGGUCGACAUUUUAUACUUAAAUUUGUCUCAUCUUCUCUUUUGGUUUACUUUCUUUCAUUUUUUAUGACUUGUAUGUAUCAUUCUUAAAAUAUAAUCUUUUUUUAAUUCUUUCCCAUGGGAAGAGGAGGAAGCAAGAUCGGCUCAUUAGAGCAACUCCAAUGGCAUAUACUCUCCAUAUACUUUGUAAUGGUCCGCCAACUGGAGGUGCAAAAGGUGGGUUAUUUUGCCAAAAUUAUAGUUGGAGGUGGCCAGCAUGUAAUUAUGGUCGCUUUAUGAAGUGAGGAAUAAAAUAUUAAUGCGUGAGGUAAAUUUGUGGGACCUAAUAUGAAUAUCGUAUAGAUUGGAGUAAUAAAUAGAGGAAUUGCUUCAAGAUGAUAUGGUACAAUGAAACCACAAAAUAACAAUGGAUAGAGUUCAUCCAAGGUGCUCCUAGAUUUACUAGGCUAUACUUUGUCUUGAUCAUAAGGGUGUUUCAAGGUGAGGAAGAUUAGGAAAUUUAAUUUUGAUCUUUAUAGGUAAAUGGUGGUGGAGGUUUAGUUAAUUAGUCAUGACCAUGACGACUUAUGGCAUAGGGGUGUUGUUGCACAAGUAUGGAUCUAAAGGUGGAGUGUGUUAGAAUCACACGCAGGUUUAACAGACAAUAUCUAUGUAUUAUAACAAGACUAAUAACAAAGAAACAAUUUGUCUACAAUCAUAAGACAAGUGACAUAAUAUAGUAGUCAAUUUCAAUGUAGACAUAUUGUCGUAAAGCUACGGCAGAAUUUUACAGUUCCUACACCCUAUGAAUUAAUCGGCACAUUGUUAAUUCUUUGAUAAAUAAAGAAAACAAAUAACAACUAUAGUAAGAAGAAGUGUUUGUGUUCCAUAAUUUCCUUUAUUCAGUGUGAAUAAUUGACAUAAACAAAAACAAAAAAUGAUAAAUCAAAUGGAAGGUAAAUUAUCAGCACCGAAAACAUGAACACAAACACGUUGAACAGAACGGAACAAAGGAGAAACCAUCGUACGAUAAUGUAACGGAUGAGAUAACUCUUCAUUAGCAUCGAUUUGAACGCCGGUGAUACCGAUAUCUUUGAGACGGAAAGCGAGUUUCUCACCAACACGAGAAGCGAUUUUGGCGUCCCAGAAACGGUGUGAUCUAGGGAAGCGAUUGAGGACGGAGCGGUUGUGAGAGAGAAACUCUUGUUCGGAAGAGGAAGCCAUGGCGAUGAUGGAUGAGGUUGUGGGGUUUGUUACUUGGGCGGUGAUUUUGCGGCAGGAGAGGAUUAGUUGGAGUACGUGGUGGUUGGUUUUGGUUGUUGCCAUUUUGUUGAUGCAUAGAACUAUGUUUGUUUUGUUGUUUAGGAGGACAUUGUGAAGAUGUUUGAUUGAUGGUGCUAGUUGCUUUGUAAAACGUUGCGUUUUGGGGGAAAUACUGGAAAUUUAGUUGCCAAACAAAGUAGAUAAAUCAUAAUUUAUUUGUUUAUUUACGGUUGAAAACAAUAAUACUACAAAAUUAAUCCAAAAACGCUUAAUUGAAAAUGUUGAUAUUGAUAAGUUAGAUGCUUUUAUCCGAGUUCGAAUCUUGGACAUCUUAAAUGUGUGUGAAUUUUAGAUGAUAUUAGUCAUUCUGUUAUGAACAAAAAAUUACAACAGUGAAUACUCAUUGUGAUUUAUGUAAAUAAAUAAAAAAAGAUGGGAUGCAAAUAUUUGUCUAAAUAUCAAUGACUUUUUCUCGUCACUUCAAGAUCGCACAUGUAUUGGUAUUUGCUUGCAUGAUGAGGAUGGUGCUUUUGUUUUGACCAAGACCAUGGUUCUCUAUGAGUAUGAAAUCUAUUGUAGUUGGGGGAAGCACUUGGUUUAUUUUAUGUGUUGCAAUGGAUGCAAGAUAUGCAAUUUGACAAAUUGAUUUUGUGGUGGAUUCCAAAACAACAACAUAUGCAUUUUCACACUAGACGGAUAAAUGUUAUAGAAAUCGAUCAUGUUAUCACAACUUGUAAGGAUAUCUUUUCAGCUCAUUUUACAAAACUCUGAGAUAGAGUUCAAUUAAUGAUAAGCAAAGAUGGUUGCUCAUGAUUGCUCAUCGUAUUGAAACUCUUGUUAUUAAUGAUAUGUUAUAAGCUCAUUUCUUUAAAAUAAAAUAAAAAUGAAAGUCCCUAAAUUAUAAAAUUUAAGGACAUUGGGGACCAAAAUUGAAAGAGAUUAAAAAUGAAAUUAGAGAUAUUUAUAAGAAAAAAAAUUAUUUAACGUCAUAUGCCUUAUCUCAUUAAUAUCUCUCAAUAACAUUAGUAACAUAGCAGUGUUUGCUGGGUUUCUCUACUUGCUAUGGUUAGUGUACUGAUUCUGAGGAACCCUUCACCUUUGUUGUAAUCGGUCACCGGAGCUUCUACACUUGAUCGUAUUCGUCAGUAAUAACAAACAAAGGGUCCAUCCAUCAACUUUCUCUUUCCCCUCCCAUUUUUCAAUUCAACAUAUCUGAUAUUCCAACUUUCUGAACUCAAUUGAAACGAUGAAUAGAAAGGGAAAAAAAUAAUAGUGUCACUAAAUUUUAACAUGCUUGCAGGUUCUUCUAUUCGCUUUGUCAAAUGGAAAGUGUUUAAAUCUGGUUCAUAAUCUUCUAGUAGUUUUUUUCAACCUGGAUAGGUAAACCAUUUUCUUCAUCUUCUUUCAUCUUUUUCAAAUUGGAGAUGAUAUUUUUGUGUUACCAUCUUGGACUAAAGCUAGCAGCAGCUGCACUAAUUAUCUAUAUGCUGAAAAUUAGGGACCAUAUCAUAGCUUAAGUCAUACAUACAUACAUACAUACAUACAUACAGUUCAAGUAUCUUGGUUCUGUUACACUACAACUUAGAUUUCCGGUUUAGAGGGAAGAGGAGGCUUAUGACUGAUAUUUUCCUAGUUUUGGUAGUAUUACAUAAUGAGGUGAGGUGGAGGAUUUGGAAAAUCUUUCAAAACUCUAUAACACCGCCAAUUAGGUGAGUUUCCCUUUUCCCCUUCACUCUCCAAAACAAUCCUUUUUUCUUUAACGCCAAAUGUUAGUCAUUCUUUACUCUUUUGUCCAGAUUUCAGCUGAGGACCUCCAACUCCUUAUCCCGUAGCUCAAACCAACCUACAUAACAUGGAAAAGAGGCAGAAGUGGACUAUAGGAUUUGAGUGGGUGGAUAAAGUGGACUAGUUUUUCAUCUGUUACUUCUGAUAGAAAAAUAACACUCCUGACUCCAUAGUUAAAAAGACUUGUGAUGUUGUAUGGAAGUGAGUAUUAGGCUGCAAAGAGUUGAUAUGGAAGUAAAUUUGUUGUUGCAAAAUUGAGAAUAUUACAAUGAGUGAUCGAAAGCGCAGAUAGGAUAGAAUAGGAUUAGGAACUGAUGCAUUAGCGAGAAAAUUAGGAUAGUAUUCAUUGCGGAAAAUAUGAUAGAAUUUUGCCUUAAGUAAUUUGGACAUGUGUCGAGAUUGGAGAAUAUAUGUAGAAGCUUCGAUAGAUCAAACCAAGAAUCUCACAAUUGAUAGAGGUACAAUUAGUCCAAUAAACUGUGGUAGUGCUGGCUUUGGUUCAUUCUCUAUCCACACGUGACAUGUUGAACCAAUUAGGGGUCCAUGCUAUCUUACUCAACUUUAUAUUGAGCUUUGGGUGAUUCUCCUACACCUCAAAGCCUCUGAUUUGGAGAUCCAACACCUGGGUGAGUGCCAUCAAAACUCGUCAGCUCAACCUGCUCCACCGCCAGCGGAAUCGGAUAGUAAUUCCAUUGUCAAAACCAUAUUCCAAACCUUUCCGUCUAUUUUGAUCAUUCUUUGACUCCCCUUUGACUCCUUCUGACCACGCGAAUGGGCUGGACUGUGGAGUAUGUGGUCCCACCUGUGAUAGACAGGACUCUAUAAGCAUUUGCUGAAAGUAAUUAUGCAUCUAUGUUCGUAUUCUUGCCUAUCGGUCAAUUAACUCCUUCACCACAGCUUCUAGAUAAGACACGCGAACAGCCAUGGCGGUGUUUCUGACAGCUCCGCACUUAGGCAGACACUCUCCAACAAUAGUAUUCGGCACGUUGAACCAAUAUCAUAGACUUAAGGUGGAAAAGCAUGCUAGUGAUUGUAUUUGUAUUUGUAAUUGAAUAGGAAAUAAUUUUUGUUGGGAUGCACUAGUCGAUCAUCCUAAACAUUUGGUGCUGUUGGUUCUGUAUUAUCUUGGAACCAAAAAAUUCUGAAAAUGGCCUAUUAAGGGUGUUUUCCGGAAAAUAAAAAUUUUAUGAGGGUGCAAAUCAAACCGAAAAUUUUAUAGGGGUGAAAACUGGAAAUGACAUAUAUUACAGGGGUAAAAAACACUAUUAACCCUUAAUUAUUUAUUCUUUUUUGGUUCAACAUUACUUAUUAAUGUUUAUGAUUAUUAUGGGAACCAUUAAGAAUAUGUGAAUAUCUUUUUGCUAAUAGCUUAUGGAUAGGAUGAUUGGACUUUUGACAUCCAUUUAUUGCUAUUCAUAAUGUGAGGCACCAUUGAUCAUAAAUAUUUAUAUUUCCAAACAAGGAGAUUAACAAAAGAAAUAGGAAAACAAAAAAGAGGAACGAAAAAAAAACUGUUUAAAUUCGAAACAUGAAACUUUUUCAAUGAUCAAAUUUUCUUUACGUUUUCUGAUGAACUGUGAAGGAUAAUCUGCUUAUUUGCAUUGUGUACUUAUGCUAUAAUAGGAUGAUGGAUCACCAAUCUGGCCAGGGAUUUGAUUCGGAUGGCAGUGACUUUGAUGUGUUAGCAGAAAUCAGUGAGAAACAUGAGAAAGUAGAAGACGAAUUUACAAACAGUUUAGAAUUAUGUACAGGUGAAGAUAAAGAGUUUGUCGAACAACCUGUAGCAGAUUCGGACACAUUAGAACCAUUCAUAGGCAUGCAGUUUAACUCAAGGGAGGAAGCCAGAGGAUUCUACGAUGGCUAUGGUAGGAGGAUAGGAUUUACAGUACGGAUACACCAUAACCGCCGUUCGCGAGUAAAUAACGAGCUUAUUGGUCAAGAUUUUGUUUGCUCAAAAGAAGGUUUUCGUGCAAAAAAGUAUGUGCACAGAAAAGAUAGAGUGCUCCCUCCUCCACCGGCCACCCGAGAAGGUUGUCAAGCCAUGAUAAGGUUGGCUUUACGGGAUGAAGGGAAGUGGGUUGUCACCAAAUUUGUGAAGGAACAUACACAUAAACUGAUGAGUCCUGGUGAAGUUCCGUGGCGAGGAUCCGGGAAGCACUUGGUUAGUGAGGUAUGUUUCUCUAGUAGUGCACUUUAUAGUUUAAACUAACAGUUUAAGUAUACCUGAUCAAACUGGGCCAGAUUAUAAAAGUGAGACUGACUAAUACGUUAUACCUCUUCUCCUGCUGCUGAUAUUAGAUUGACAUCAGUAUCAGCAGGAUUGAACUACACUGAACAUGAUGAACUGGAAUAGCAGAAUACAGAUUCUCAUGGAGCUUUUAGAAUACCUUAUCUAUGGGUGCCAAACCUUCACUCACACUUUUCCCACCUUUACAUGAUGAACUCGAAUAUCAAAAUACAGAUUCUCAUGGAGCUUUUAGAACACCUUGUCUCUGGGUUCCAAACCUUCACUCACCCUUUUCCAGCCUCACUUUCCACACACCCUUUUCUAAGUCCGUCACUGAUCCAACAAAAUCCCUUUACCUUCCAUUUGCAUCACAUCAUUAGGAAGUUAGUUAUCUAAAGUCACAAUGUGUCUCUUGCUAUUUUCCACCUAAGAUAGAAUGAAGGCCUAUCAAUAUUACACCAAGAAUAUACAUAAUAUAGUCAAUUAUAGCCUGAAAAGUUACCUCUAGUCCUCCACCCCCAAAACAAAUCUCAAAGAGGAAUGUAUUAACUCUUUUAGGGCAUUAAAAGUCCCAUCUCAAUCGAUUACAUACAGAUGUUGGAUUAGGAUAUUUUGAUUCGUGUAUUGUUAAGUUCAUUGUUAGGAUAGAAUGUCCAUGUUCUGUUUGUUCCUUUUUUCUACCUCAAACUUGUCUUGUUGAUUUGUGUCACAGGAUGAGAAAGAUAGGAGAAUCCGUGAGCUAUCACUUGAGUUGCACAACGAAAGGCAAAAGUACAAAAGACGUUGUGCAGCGUAUGAAGAACAGUUAAAUACGAUUCUGAACGAUUUGGAAAAGCACACAGAACACAUCUCUAAAAAGGUUGCUGAUGUAGUCCAAAAUAUAAGAGAGAUUGAGGAAGAAAAAUCAGAUUCAGAUGGCAGGUAAUUGAUGCCAGUAUAUUCCAUUCUGCCAGACAUUCUGGUGAGAUACUUGGUCCUAUUCGCAAUUUGAAGUUUUCAAACGUAAUUCUAUCAACAUUUGGCUUGAAGUUGUGUAGUGGUAAUAUUAAAUCUUCAGGCAUCAUAUAGGUUAAUGGGAAAUUCAUUUUCCGGUGUGUAUCAUGUCCGGGAUUAGGUGCUUAAAUUUUUAACUUUAACAUGUUGAAAAGUGUUUCCCUUGUGAGUACCAUAGCCAUUGUAUCCUUGCAUUAAUUGUAAUCAAAUGUUUCCAGCUGCACAUUUUGAUUUAUCACCAAUACAGCAAGUGAAUGAGCAUUUACCUUUUCCAAGUUGAUUGGAAUGAGAUUAUGGUUGAUAACUUAAUACCUGGUACCACAAGGACUAAAGUCUCUGCUUACAUUUUGAAUGAUUACUAUACUAGUUUAGCAGUCAAUUCAUAUACCCUUUUACUAUAGUGGAAGAAACAGUUGCCUUCUAGAUAAUUACUGUACCAUUUUUCAAUUUCAACUAUAGGCCAAAUUUAUCUCUCUAAAAUUUUAUCAUAAACAUUGGGAAAAACAACCCAGGCCUAAGAUUUCAACAUUUAUAAUUUAUACUUUUGCAACUAGCUGUCCACGAGAUUCCAAAUUGACGUCAUUAUUACCUUAUUUUAUGGUAUGAUAUACUUAAGACGGACAAUGAAUGAACAUGAAGGUUUAGCCAUUAUUGUUUAUAUCAAAAUAUCAAAAUUGAGUUGACAAUAUUGAGCCAAGAUUCUCAGGAUUUCUCAGAUCUCUUUAGGGGAGAGAUAGACACUAUGAAAGUUUGGUGUUUCGAAUCUAUUUCUCAAUUUCUUACUGAUUAAAGUACUCUUUUUGUUCCCUCUUUUUAUCAUCUCUCUUUUGUAAGUUUCUUACUAUAAGGAUCCUCUUUGUUCUAAUUGAUAAAUUAAAGUCAUGUCAAUUUCAAGUGAAUUUGUCAAGGGAGAAUUUAUUAACAUGAUACUGUUACAAAUUAAGUUCAAUAAAAGGGAAGGUAAAUCUUGAAGAAAAAAAAUCUUAAAACAGAAGUUUACAUUACAUAUUAAAACAGAAUCAAACCUAGACCCAAAACCUAGGGAAAAAGAAAGAAAACACACUUUUUUCUCACAAUGGUUGUGUGUCCUCCAUUGCAAUUACCUUCCUCCCCCUUCAAAACAUCCAUUAGUAGUACCUGGGCAGAACUAAGUCUUGUCAAGCCAGUUAACCUACUCAGAUUCAUUGCACUGAGCCAAUCUUAGAUGUUGGAUAGAGAUUCCACGGCUUCACAACUUCGACAAAUCAAUAACUUGAAAUCUCAAAACGUCUGAGAUCAUUGACUGUAAUAACAGCUAGCCAUGCAUUUCCAUACUAACCACCCAAACAACUUGGGAUUGGGAAAAAAAUAAGAACAAAAAGAAAGCAAAAAAUAAAGUAAAAUGCCUAGUACAAAACACAUAGAUGAAGACAUUCCAUCUGAAUCCUAAUACACUUAUUAUUUACAACGUGGGAAUAGAAAUCAACGUUGAAACCCCGACACAGAGGCAAAGAACAAGAGUUAACUAACUGAGAGCAGUGAAUCCACCACCCUUCAUCAUUUGCUUAAACUCCUUAUAAUCAACCAAACCAUUUCCAUCAACAUCAACAGUUCCUAUCAUCUUCUUACAAUCUUCAACUGUUCUUCCUUGUUUCAAUCCCAACGAAACCAAAACCGAUCUCAACUCAUCAACGCUAAUGAAUCCAUCACCAUUCUGAUCAAACACGUUGAAUGCUUCCCUCAUAUCUUCUUCCUCCUCUUCAUCACGUUCACUCAUAAUUGACUCAUACAACUCUCUAAAUUCCUCUAUGUCCACACACCCAUCUCGGUUCACAUCAAUCUUCUCGAUCAUUUGACUCAGCUCUUUGUCAGGGAUGAAGAUUCCUAAAUUCUCCAAGGAAUCAUUCAACUCUUUCUUUGUUAUACGGCCAUCGUCGUUGCGGUCAAACAUUUGGAAAACACGUUUGAGCUCAUUUGGAUCCAUUGUUAUUGUCUUGGUAAAAACAAGACCUCUUUUUGAUGUGGAAGAAGGUGUGGUUAAGGUUUGAUGAGUGAACCAAGAAUGAGGGAAGAAGGUUAUAAGUUUCUUAGGAACAAGACUAAUGAGAAAUGAAUUGACAACGUUGUAUAAAAGGAAAAUUCUAAGCAAAAUAGUUGGCAUUUCUAACAAGGAAGCGAGUAAUUUGUAGUAUUGUUUAUGACUUAUGUUGCUGUUGGUGUUGGUUUUUUCUUUAUUAUAAAGGCAAAGACAUUAAAGUUGUAACGACUAGAAGUAGUAGUAACAAGAAAGUAUUGGUUUUUAAGAUUGAAGUGAUGCUCUUUAUUGUCUUUGAUUUAAGGUGGUGGGGUUCAUCAAUUUUUCACGCGUAUUUGAGUUGAGGUGGUUAACCUUUUUAAAACUAAUUUAGUAAGACUAUGAUUGAUCAUUAGACUUGGUUGUACAAUAACGCGUUUACAUUAAUUAUUGGGUCGCAGGUACUUGUUUCCCUUUGUUUAAUGUGCCCGUGUGUCUCACUUCUAUAGGGUUGGUUGGUUGCAUGUGUUUCUCUACAUGUUACUGGUACUGAUUGUUUAUUUGAGUAGAGAAAGAUAUCUCAACUAUGGAAACUAAUCAUUUAAUAAGAGUUGUGUUAUUUGAACAUCUAUUUAUAGGACAACUUUUGAAACAAUAAAAAAUAAAGUAUCGACACAAAAACCAAAGCAAUAAAGAGAGAUAAAGUUGAAAGAAAAAUUGUUGUUCAAAUAUCAUUUCUCCUUUAAGAAUAGUUGAUUUCUUUCGAUAUAUAUAUUUUUUAUAUAUAUAUCGACAUAUCGUUAGAGAUCGAACUCAUGACCGAACAGUAAAAAAAUUGAAAGAUCGGUGUCUGAUCUAAAAACCGACUAACUUAGAGGAUCAAUCUUGUCAUCUACCGGUAGACUCUAAUUAAAGUUAGAGAAAAAGAUUUUGGUGUAGAUUUGUUGAACUAACUAGUGAUGUAGCAGUACUUAAGUCCAUGAUGAGUAGUAGUCUAUUGUACCGUGGAGUAGAAGAUAAUUAAAAGAAUUACUCUCUCCCAACCAAUUUCUGCCUUGACCUUCCCAAGUCUGAAGGUUUAGGGCCUGUUUGAAUGUGUUUUGAUUUUUAGUUUUUGAAAUCUAUUUUACAAAACAAUUUUAAAAAUUGUUUUUAAGAAGAAAAUAAAAAAUAAAAGUUGUUUGACAAACAUAGAGCAAAAUCAGCAUUUUUAUCUUAUAUUUUUAGGUUGUACAAUAUUAUAGAAAUACCAUUAAUGAAAAUUGCAUUCUUCUCCGUGUUUUUACUUUUCAAAAACUGAAAAAUUGAGAACCAAAACACCUUUAACCUGUUUUGCUUUUUCGUUUUAAAAACCAACAAAUAAAAAACAGUUUUCAAAAUCACUCUUAUAAAAUUGGAUUGUCAAACAAGUUUUAAAAUUUUUAAUUUUAAAAAACUAAAAUUAAAAUAAGGGAAUCAAAACAGGCCCUUACUCCCUUUUUUCUUUUUUCUUUUUUGAUGUAAGAAGUGGUCUACUCUUAAUUUUUAGUAUUUUUAUUUUGAGUAAUUAUUCCACGCAAAUUAUUUUGACUAAUUCUUGUUGUUUGCUAUACUCCCUCUGGUCCUAGAGACAAUUUACUUUUUAAAUACAUUAAAUAAUUUAUGUAUUUGGUUUAGAUUCUUGAUUAGAUACAUACAUUAUUCAAUGUAUUUAAAAAAUCAAUUUUCUCUUGUAAAUAGGACCGGAUGAAGUAUUUCUCUUCUUUUAUGAGGGGUUUAUUAAAACAGUUGGUAUACUUUUUUAACCCAAUUUAUUGUGUGUUGAGGUUGACCUGAAUAAUACUAUGGUUUUUUAAUAUCAGAUGAAUGAUAAUGAUAUGAUUAUACCAAUGGUAGAGAAAUGAGUAUUAUUACGAGUAUAAAAAAACAUUAGUGGCUUUUUGUGUGACCGUAUUUUUAGGUGAACAUUUUUUUGACCGUUGAUGACGGAUCUAAACGUUGGAGAGUGGAACCCGCAACUGAAAAAGGAAAGGCAGAGGCCGGCAAUUAUAAUAUGCACUGUUCAUUGACUCUAGACACUUUAGAGAGUUUAGAUUUCCUCAACGGUUCUUUUAGUUUGCGCGUCUUACCUUCUCCAGCUGACACGUGGCAUCUUUUUGCGCAUGACUUCUACUUGGUGACAUUGUCGUUGCUGACAUUGAUGUCAUUGAUCAACCACAAUAUCAUAAGUGAUUUUCUUCUACCUUUUCACAAGAUUUGUUUUUUGUUUUUUUAUACAUUUUGUAACAUUGUGGUUGGAGAAUGUCACAACUAUCACCAACCAUAUGUUAUCCCUUCUUUCUUCCCUUGAUGGAAUUGGAUUGGGCCGUCAAAAUUUGUAGCAUUUAUCGUGAAGCCAUAUGCGGUAGAUGGUUUAGUAGCUUUGAAGUGUGAUAAAUUAAGGGAAAUGUUAACUAGUGCUUCCGGAGCAUUGGUUAAGGAUAUUAAAUGGUAACUUUUUAUGAAAAUUUGUUUAAUCAGUGUAUUAAAAUUGAAAAUUUUGACAUUUUUAAAGAAUAAUUAUUUAAUACUGUGUUGUUUUUUCUUUGUUUCUAGACUUCGACCUUCUUUGUUUUCAAAAAAAGUGUACUCUUAAUUUCACAAUGAGUACCAUUUAACAACUAAAAAUACUUUUGCAUGUUUGAUUCCAUUUUUUUAGAAAAUAAAAUUGAUUUUAGAUUUGUAAAAUUACUUUUUUUUUUUACAAACUGUAAAAUUACUUUUGAGAUGUUCGAAUACUCUCAAAUAUAAUUAAUUUUGCUAUGACAAUUUUUUUGGGUACAAUAGAAUUGAUCUUUUCUUCAAGCUGAAAAUCCAAAAUUCAGUUUUUAUUGUUUAACUCUCUUUUAAUGCGUUCAAAUAUAAAUCAGUUUAUUGUGUGCAUUUAGUUAUAAGGUGAUAAAAAAUAAUUUUAAGAGUUUUUCUACUUGCACCCUAGUUAAUCAUGGUUGCACCCCAAAAUGAUAAGAUUAUCCUUUCAUAAAAUUUGAUUUUCAAAAAGCCUAUUCCUUCUUUUUUGGUUACACCCCAAAACCCUUCUUUCAAAACCAUAAUUCUCCAAUCGAUCGAUUGUGUUCUGCGAAGAUUUUCAAAACCAUACUUUCUCACGUCCAUUCAUGAUUUCAAAGAAAAUUCGAAGCAAAUCAGGUUAGCAAGUGUUGUUCUUCAAUCGAUUGUGUUUUCUUGUUAUGGGUUCUCAGUUCUGAUUUUGUGUUUUCCUUGUUCUGCGAUUUUGUAAAAUCAGUUUAAGUAGGUUCAUGUAAACUCAGUUUAAGUAGGUUCAUGUAAACUCAGUUUAAGUAGGUUCAUGUAAACUCAGUUUAAGUAGGUUCAUGUAAACUUAGUUUAUUAAGUUUACAUGAACCUACUUAAACUGAAUUUAAGUUAACCUUGUCAAUGUAAAUUAAAACCGUAAUCGUACAGUGCAUCAUUGCAGUUGAAGGAAAAAAAUUGAAACUAGCAAAUAGAAGAAGAAAUUCACUUACUUAUAUCCAAUUGAGUAUGGAUGAAAAAUAUUUUGAUUCACUCUUUAAUUUUCAUGGAGAUUGAUAUUGAACAUCAAAUUGUUUGAUCGAUCGCUUUGUGGGGUGAAAGAGGGUGAAACUCACUGACAAUGAAUAAAAUUAGGGUUUUAAGAAAAAUGAUAUAAAAGGGCAAUUUUGGUAUUAUAAAAAAAUUAAGAAAAUUUGGGUGUAACCAGAAAAACAUAAGGUGUAAAUAGAAAAACUCUAAUUUUAAAUGAAUUGAUUUUGACUAAAAGUGAGUUGAAGGUAAAAUAAUUGAUUUUUAUUAAUUUUAAAAAAUUAUUACUAUUUUUCUUUAAUUUAAAACUUUUAUUUUAUUUUUUAUACGGCAUAAAUAACUGUAUCACCUAGCCUAAACACAAUUAUCAUCACCCAUGAGACGGAAAACAUUUAUUCGUGUCAAGUCCCACACUAUAGUACUACCUCAUUAGGUGGCUUCAAAUUUCAGUUCAUUAUGUUUCUCCAACUCCACAAAAUUUUGUCUUUUCUUCUUCUUCUUCUUCUGGCAUACUUAUUCCAUCAAUGCCAAACUGGCAAACUUAGUAAGUAAAUUGCUUUUAUCUCACCCAAAGUUUCACAAGAUUGUGUUUGAUUUUUGUUAAAAGAAAAUUGCACUUAUAACCGAUAAAUUAUUGUGCGAUGGUGGGAGUAUUUUAUAAAACAUUAGAGAUCUUGAGCUUGAGUCCAGCUCUAAAAAUGCAAUAAUGUUAAAUCUUUUCGAGAGAUUUGUCACUUAUUAUAGACUCGAUUCAAGAGAUUAAUAUAUCCGGUUACAUGCAAAAUAUACUUGAUUUACACUAAACAAAAAAUUGUACUAUGCUUAACUGUAAUUUAAUUACCUCAUCUUGAGCAUUUCAAAUUUUGUUUUCAUUUGUGCAUACUAGUUUCCAUGCAUACAGGGUCAACCAAACAUGGAAAUCUAAUUAUUUUUCUUAUUAUAGAUAGAUGCCUAAAGAAUAUCCCCCACCUUGCUAUAGUAGACAGCAAUGUGGAUAUUCAUAUGUGCUAUAGUAUAAAAAUACACUGCGCGUUUUGAGUUUUUCUUUGCCACUAGGUUGCUCCCAGACAAGAAACAACUUUGGUCAUAACAAUGAGAUAUAUUUAAAUUAAAUUAUUAUACCAGACUGUAUUAGGGAACAUGUCCUGUCUCUAUUUCCACCAUCCACUUAUUAAUGACACUAUCUAUCAUGGUGAACUGGACUUAAUAGGGUGUUAAUGUGCUCAAUCUAUUAUAAAUUCUAAUUGGAACGGAUGGAAUAUUAUUAUUUUUGUUAUUAAAAAUAAAAUGAUAUUUUCUGUUGUCUUAUUUUCCUACACCCAUAGAAGACUUAACACUUGACUUUGUUUGAAAAACAUAUGGGAAGGGAAAAUAAAAGUAUACUAUAAAAGGGAUUUUUAGUUGUUUGCUAAGAUGUACAUUGUGGUUGAAAUUCGAAACUCGGUUCUUUCAUUUAUGUUUAUGAGUUUCCGAUGAUUAUUAUCUAUUGACAACAAAAAUAUGCGAAAAGAAAGUUAAAAUUCCACCUCUUAUUUGAAUUCGUAUAUAAUGUAAAAAGAAUAAAAGAAAUUGAUGGCAUUUAGCUAGAAUUCUCAUGACCAGAGCGCACAACGGAAUAAUCAAGCUACUUUUAAUAAAAAGAGCCUUGUUUUAUUAAGCGAAGGAUAUCUUCACGAAUAUGAUGUGAACGCUUAUGUGUUGCUUUUACAAGAAAAAUUCAAACUUUUAACUCUAACUUAACGGAAAACAGGGAAGGUAAUUGUGCAGUUGGAGCAAAUAAUAGAGUGUCGUGAAAAAUCAUGAAGUUGCAAUUCGCAAAACUAGUUGAAUUCCCAUUUUUUUAAUGCAACAUAGAUAGGAUACAUCAAAAUUUAAGUUAAAUGUUAUAAGGCCACACAACCACAAGUCACAACUAUAACGUGCAUAGUUUUGAAACUCGGACCGGUCAUUAACUCGGUGAGAUUAUUAGGUCACUGAGUCAUUGGUUGAACCAUUGAGUCACCGAUUAAACCGCAUGACGAAACCGGGUUAAAUCGGAUGAUUCGGUCAUUAAAAAAAAAUAUAUGUAUGUUAAACUAGAUCAAAUUGAAUGACUUGGUCUGUACAAAUUUAUAAAAAAAAAAAAAAAAAAAAAAAAAAAAAAAAAAAAGUCUUUUAAGCAAAAUUGAAACAUGGCAUUAUGAAUUAAUAAAAGCAUAGUUCAAAGAAAAAAAAUAGGUAAGUAAUAGUAGUACAAAGAUAGUUAGUUCCUAGAUAUUUACUUUACAAUUAAAAAUAAUAAAGAAAAAUAAAAUUUUGCUAGGUUUUAAAUGGGACUCUUAAAUGUCAAAUUAAAGUUGAAAACAUAACCCUAUUUUUUUUUUAUGUUGCAGACUUGUAGUCUUCCUCCCUUACUCAAGCUGCAGGUUCCAUUCCGAGCCUCCUUUAAACACUUUGCCUUAGCUUGGCACCCAUAAUAGCAACCUCCAACUGUUCUACAAAAAAAGCCUUCUAUUAUCUCUAAAUCAAAAUCUACAUUCAUCCAAAUAAGUAGAUCUCAAAUUAAAAAGCACAUAUUAGAUCUAAAAUUUCCAUCAUGUUCUUGGCUUCUUCAUCUUCUUCCCUUCCGUGCCAGAUCUGUCUGUUCAAUGAUUUUUUUCCUUCAGUUUUUCUGAUUUUUUCAUUGACCCGGUCCGGUUCACCAAACCGGCCGAGUCACCGGUUUUUAGCGAGUCAUACCGGUUUUCACCGGUUCAACUGCAUGACCGAUCCAAUAAGCAGACCGAACCGGUCACGUCCCCGGCUCACGGUUCAACCGAUCGGUCCGAGUUUUAAAACUAUGAUGACGUACGUGUGUCGUAGGGAGUGCGAUGGGAACCCAUUAGACAGGGUACUAUAAUGCACAUUCCCUUACUCACGUUUGUAAAAAAAAAAGUUUGUACUUGAAGUCAUAGUCUCGCGCGCAACGAGUUAGUUGCUUGUCUUUGUACCUUUUGGGUACCUAAACGCCGGUACCCACACUUUAACAACAACCAAAAGACAAUAAUUAAAAGAAAAAAAAACUUCACAAUAUAAUAAAAAUAUGAUCCAACCCAUGUGAUUGCUUUAUAGGCCCCUCAUAUUGCUCAACCUUUGAAAUAUUUAAAAAACAAUGAUAGAGUUGUAACUCUCGAUAGAUUUUAUACGAUUGAAAGUUACGGUUUAACAAAUCUGAUGAACUUUUGAUCAAUGCGAAAGACCUACAAAGCAAUCACCAUUGUAACAUGCCUACUUGCUUGGUCUAAAGAAAUGAGUACCGUAUAUAUGGUUGUUUUUUUUGUUGCCACUUUAUUUUGCAACCCUAUUAUCUACUUGUGCUCCAUUUAGAUUAUAAAAUCUGAAAUGUUUAAACGUAUUUUGGAGGGUUUUAUAGCGUAUUUAUGUUGUUGGGAUUAUAAAAUCCGAAAUUUAUAGAGCAUGUGACAAAUGAAUAGCAUGAAAAAAGAAGGUACCAUUUUUGUUUUUUGAAUGGGCUGAUUUUUAAGGCCUUUUUUAUACACUAUGUAAGUAGAACAUUGCACUUCAGACUUCAAAGUCUGCUAUCACGCAUCUGAAAAUGACCUUCAAUACCUUCAACUGUAGUUAACUGCAGUUUGCUGUUUAAUUUUUCUCUUUGAACUUUGAAGCGAACGGUAAUUAACUACUGUUGAAGUUAUUUUGAUUAUUUCCAGGAGUGUGAUAGCAAAUCUUUUAGUGUAAACAACAAUUUCCAUAUAAGUUUGGCUGUUUGGGCCCAUUUUGUGAGAUGGUAUGUUGUAUGGAGAUUUUUUUUCCUUUGAAUUUUGCUAUCUACGCGUCCAUUGUUUGCAAUCAGCACCCUAAAUUGGCGAAAAUAUCAUACUAGUAGUUAAUAUCAAAUAGUAAUUAGACCAAUCUAAAAAGUUUUGAACAAUACUUAACUGCUGUUUUGUGGGCAAACAGUUAUUAAUUGUCACUCAACCAACGAUAAUUUGAUUUUUGAGCAAUUAGAGGCUCAAGAACAACCUUCUUUUUCUUUUACUUUUGUUUUAUGUUAAAAAGAGGAUAUUUCUAGCAUUUCUUUUGUCAUGUAAGUCUAUUUUGUAAUCGCGUCCUCGUGCGCUUAGUUCAGCUGGUUGGGACAAUGCAUAAAAUAUGCAAGGUCCAGUGUUCAAACUCCGACCACUACCAAAAAAAGUCUAUUUUAUAAUCGUCUUUUAAAAAUAAGUACCACAUAACUUAUACCUAUCGGAAGCUGAUGUAAAAUUAGUUUACACUUACGUUACAUAUUCUUUUUACUCACACAACCAAACAUUGAAAAUAAAACUCUUAUUUUUCUCUCACUUUAUCUCCUUUUCAAAUCUCUCGUCUCACUUCCUUAGGUACCGAACAAACUAAAAAUUUGCUGAGGAUAAACGAAAAUGCAAAGAAAGAAAAGAGGUAAAAUAUAAGUAUCAAAACAUUUGGCCUGUGUUUUUAUGGCUUAGCUUUAUUAUCACAGUGCGUGAAAAGAAAAAAAUGAAAAAAAAAAAUUAUCAUCACAAGAGACAAAAAUAAAAAAUGAGAAAAGGAAAAAAAUUCGACGCCUGAGAGAUUCGAACUCUCGCGGGGAAACCCCAUGUACUUAGCAGGCACACGCCUUAACCACUCGGCCAAAGCGUCGAUUUGUUAUUUGGUGCUCGCAAACACAUAUAUAUACCAAUGUAUUAAUCGAGUCCAGUGUAAUUACAAUUGGAUUUUAUUUCUCUUGUAUCCAUGUUUAUUUAUACACAAAACUACUAGUUGAAUCUACAAUAAAAACAAUUAUCAUAUCUCUGGCACAUUUUCUUCUUUGUAGUUGAAUUUAAUCUUAUGGAUUUUUAGUUUUUUUUUUUUUUUAAUAAUAUUGUUAUUGACAAAAUUUAGAGUUUGUCAAUGAGAAAGUCUAUAUAGACAACAAUCACAAGUUUGAUGAAGUAAAUGGGUUAACUGAAACAAAACUACCUAUAAACAAAUAUGUAAGUUUUCUUUUUUGAAAAGUAAUUAACAACAAAUUUAUUCGAAAGUAAUGAGAAAAGUACAAAUGAUACUCAACCAUCGACUCGUUAAAAGAAAAAAAACUAUCUCUUAAUAAAGAACACAUAUGAGACUUCGAAAAUCAUAUCCGAGAAGUGAAUUUAAUAUAUCAUUUACUAAACCUUCUCUUAAAACUUCUUUAUUUACAAAAAAAAAUAAAAAAAAUCUACCGUUUUUAGCCUCCAAAAUCUUCUACACUAUAGUGUGCCAUAUCAAUAUUAAACCAUGAUGAUGUUUUUUGCUGAGAGAGAGAAUAAGAAGAGAAAUAAUUACAAAGGGUGGUGAUAGAGCCAGAAAGCACCACACAUGUUCCCACCCAUUUGAAAAUUUGGUACCAAAUCAAACUCGAGAACUUUGAAUGUACAAAACAAAUGGUCCUUCACUUACAAGGUACCUAGACAUCAAACACAAACCACUACCAAACCAUCAUUAAGGAUUCUCCUUUUUUAAAUAUUUCCUCUUGUCAUAAGUCUUCCAAGAAAUAGUUGUCAAGCGAUAGUUUAAACUAUAGGUGAAUCAAAACUCUUUCAAUUAGCUUUCAAACCCUUUUAAGUUGUCGAAGUUAAAAUAUACUUUUGUAAGAACUUUUUAUCAAGAUACAUAUAUACCAAAUUAAUCGGAAAAACUCUGAAAUAGUCAAGCACCCAAACCCAAUGGGUCAUCUUCAGGGUCAAUUAAAAACCCCGUCAAUGCAGCCCCAUAACUCUUGGAAUAAAUAUUUUUUUCUCAUUUAAAGAAAUUCUUCCACCACUUGAAAUCCCAACUCGAUGACCUUUCCCCCACGGAUCACAUCUCACUAAUGCUACAAGAUUUUCGGACAGACAAGGAAAAUAAUAUUGGAAAGACUUUUCUAAGCGCCUUGUUCAUCAACCAAACAUCAUCCCAAAAUUUGGUAUGAUCGUCAUUGCCUAUUUUUUUCUUUACAAACUCGAACCGAUUUUGAUCUUCCCUCUCUUCCCAAGUUCACACAAGUCUUUCCACCAAAUAGUAGCAUUUUUGUGAAGAGUUUGAGAGGAAGGGUUAUGGAGUUGGGAUAUGAUACUUUUUCUAUAAGAUAUAAUAUAACAAAAAAAAUGAGAUGCAAGACAACUUAUAAUUCAUGCAAAUCUGUCACCAGGCAAGCAAAAAAGGCAAAACAAAUUCACGCAGUAUAGUAUAAUAUAUAGUAUGGCCACAUCUCCUUUAUUGCAUAUAACUUUAGUUGGGCUCUAAAAAAAACUUAGUUGUAUUAGUAUAGCGUAUAGCACAACACAUGCUAUGUAGGAAGUGUUUGCCAAAUGUAAAGAAGAUCUUAACAUUAGACCCUACGACACACCGUAACAUCAAAAUUCAAAGCCUGAUGGUGAAAUUUAAAUUGCAUUGCAUAAGACUAGGGGUAAGAUAGCUAACUAAUGAGCGGAAAUGGUGAGACCAAAAAUAAAAUAAUAAAAUUUAUGUCUUUCUUUUAUCCAAUAAAAUGGAGUAGACACAUCAUACCUCCAUCAACAUGAAGGAAAAAAAAACAGCCAAUUUCCUGGCUGAAAGAAGAGGGAAACGUCCGUGGAUGGGUCUGCAUUCAUGGGCUUUUGAAGAUAGGUUUGACUAGGGCUAUUCAAAGUUGAACAAACCCAAUAAAAAAUCGCAUAACCGAACCAACUUAAAUCGAAACCAUAAAAAAUUGUGUUUGGUUCAGAUGAAUUCAUGCAAUUUUUUAACUCGAUUGUGCGGUUUCAUUUGUGAUUUUUAUUUUAACAACCAAAAAGAACCGCAACAUAAAAGAUCCAUUCCGACCCAAUCUCAACAUGACAUGUUUCUUAUUUUGAUGUAAUGCAACAUGUUAAUGGUAAAAUUAGCAAUUUGUACAUGAUAUGUACUCUUAUUUUGAUGUAAUGCAACAUGCUAAUGGUAACCAAAACAUGAUAUAUUUUUUAAUAUGUUUGUUUUUCUAUCAAUUUAUAGAAUGACAAAAUUACAAGUUUGAAUGUAAUUUAUUUUUUAGUAAGUUCAUUAAAUAUUAAAAGUGGAAAAGAAUCAGUGACAUUUUACAAUAUGAAAAAAUUAAUCGUAUCAAUGUAAAACUAGUAUCAAAUCACUACAAUUCUCACAUAAGAAAUUGUAUGUAACUUGUCAUGUUCCCUGGGUGGAACAUGAAAUAUAAACAUUAGGAGUACUUUUAGUUGCGUAUUUCUCGUAAAUAUCUAAACCAACUGAACUAAUCCAAACUGCAUUGGUUUGGUUUGGUUGAUUAUGUUUUGUUUUAAAAGCCAACCAAACUGAAUCACAUAUUUUUUCUCUUGUGGUUCAGAUGACCUUUAACUUCAAAACUAAACCAAACUGCAUCGUAAACACCCCUAGGUAUGACAACAAGCAAUCACCUCACUCCAUCAUCUAACGACUUAAGGGACAAUUGUUCUGGACUUGGUCAAGCUCAAUCCACUCACAGACCGAGUCAAUAGCUCCACCAAUGGAUUACAAUAUGAACUUGCCUUAUAGUCAUACUAUAGUGAAGUCGUUGAUUGAAUUAAGGUCAUCAAAUCCAGACGAAAUCAUGAUUUGUGACAUUUGUCUUCUAAGACAACUAUCUAAUUAAGGCUUUGGGUCCUAAAACCCUAACCCUCCUACUAUAAACCCUAACUCACGGUUUAGGCUCAUGUACAUUAUUCCUAACCCUAAAUCUUCCUUCUCAUGUGCUUACUUACUAGAUCGUCGCAAUGUUUUCAUGUACACCGCCUCCAUUGUGGAGCUAUCAGUCAAUCACCAUCGUUUUCAUGUACACCACCUCCGUUGUGGAGCUAUCAACUCUCAAAGCGUAUUUCUUAGGCUCGGUAAGGACCAAUAACGUUAAAAGAAACUUGAACAACUAACUUAAUAUACACCACUUUGGUUCAUUGUUUCAAAGUUGCUCGGUAGACUCUAAGAAUGUUUAAAUGAGCUUAUUUAUGUUUUUGUUUAAUUUAAUAUGAGGUCUUGAGUUUAAAUUCAGUCAUAAAACAUAACAAUGAUAAAUGUGGAUAUCUAUCCCUUGAAAUUUUAUUUUUGGUUCCCCGUUAGAAUUUAUUUUUUAAUAAAUAGAUAAAUACUACACAAGAACCUUUAUAUACCAAUCAUUUAACAUAAUCUAAAUAGAGUAAAGAAAAGUAAAGGAAACGUCAAAUGUUUGAUAAAGACCAAAGAUCUACUUAUAAGUUGUUGUUUUUUUAAUUUGGUAAGAAGAUCUACUUAUAAGUUAUAGCCCAUGCUUAAUUCGACUAUACUGUAUAAUUCAGAAGAAAAAACUACUAAAAUGAGUUGUUAUUUCCAUAAUGUAAUCUUUCAUGGCUAAUGAGAGUGACAGUUUUUGUGGUAGCACAAUCUUAAAUAAGGUAGUAACUACUAACUACUGUGCCAAUAGCUUGAUUAAGUUUUUCCCCCUAAAAAGAUCACUUUAUUAAGUUGGAAGUAAGGAAAAUGAUAGAUUAAUUGUGCUUCAUAAUGCAUCGACUAUUAUAGACAACAUUUAAUUAGUUGAUGCAACAUAUAUGCACUUCAUUUGUAAGCUUCUAUUUUACCAACAUUUGAUCAUAUGCCCAAAUGGAGCGACUCUUUUAUGGGCACAAUCUUAAGUAAAAAAUAUUUGGGCACACUCACAUCAAAUCAAAUGAAAACAUUAAAAAGAAUACAAAUAUGAAAUGUUGUUGAUUGAUGUGAUUACAUUAUUUUUGUUUUAAUUUUUUUUAUUUGGUGUUCUCAAAUGUUUUUGAUUUGGAAUUAUGACUAUAUAAAACUUGUUCGUACAAAUGAAGAUUUACCUUACAUCAAUUAGGAUUGAGAUUCCCUUGCCUUAGGGGAGUUAUGUAGUUACAUGUGAUAGACGAUCUCGACUGUUAAAGGACAGUUCAAAUCAUACAUAUACAAAUUGAGAUCAGACGAUAAAAAAUAUUAAUCGCGUUACACAAUUAGCAAUUAGUUAUUUUAGAUAAAAAAAAUUAUUAACUAAAGUUAUACUAAAAAUCAUUUUAACAAUGAUGUAUAUCAACCUACUUGGGUUGAUCUUGCGAUGUUGGCUUGAAACUUUGGAAUGUGCUCCUCUUUAAGGUAUCAAAUUCGAUUCUUUUCUAUGUAAAUUUGAGUGAACCAAUUUAACUUAUGAAAAAAACAAUGAUGUAUACGUGUUAAGAUAUGAAAUGGUAGAAACUUCGACAAGUUACAUAUGACCACAAAUACGAUUUGUUUAGUUAGCUCAAUUUGAAUUAUUAAGUUCUUAUUAAAUAAGGUCCCAUCCACACUACUCAAAGUCAUCGUCAAUGUUCGUUAUUUCUAUCAUGAGUUGUGUGAUAAAGAGUGAAUUUUCCUACAAUUAGCGUUUCAACGUGAGUUAAGAAACUGUAGCCUUUUCACUAAUAAGGCAAAAGUGUUUCUAUCACUCUUUCUAGAGAGAGACACAAUACGAAAACCAUAUUGUAAAUAUAAAGAGUAAACUAUCUUUAUAUGCAAGAGUAAUUGUCAAUAUGUUUUUUGGCAUGUAAAGCCUUAAUUAAUUAUGAUGAUUGCUACUUGUUAAUUUCUUCUACCCCUUUUCAGUAAUUAAGGUGUCUUCAGUUAAUUAAAUUUUCUAACUCAUUAUCAAUCAUACAUCAAAGAGCUUUUGCUUAAUAAGAGUGCAUUGAUUUUUUUCCAUAUAUACUUUUAUAAAUAUUAUUUGGGAGAGGUGUUGUUAUUUUCACAAAACUUCAUUUCUUGCAAGCAAGUUGUAGUAAUAUGAGAAUUCAAAUUAUACUAAAAAUUGUAAAACAAAAUAGUAUAAUAGGAAGAAGAAAAAAAAACUAUCAAAGGUAUAAUCGAAAAUUACUAAAAAUUUCAUUUUAAAAAAUAAAACAAUAUUUUUUGACUUUAUUGAGUGGGUUAGAGACUUAGAGAAACAUUAAAAAAAAUAGGGAACAGAAAGAGUAAAUAAAUCAUGCAUUACCGUUACAAAAAUAAUAUAUUUUCAUGCAUUGAUUAUGAUCAAGUAAAAUUAAAUGUUUGUCCAAAGUAUAAUAAAAACAAUUAAAUGUAAAAUUGACAUAUGACAGAUGAAGAGAGGCUGUCAACUUAAUCAAACUUGAAUAGUCUCUGUGUAUUUUAUAAAUAAUGAUGAAUAUUAAAUUCAAUAAUUUGCCAUAAAUAUUUUUAAAACAUAGUUCUAGUACCAUUUUUUUUGUUUUAAAGAAACUAACGACAAAACUCAGACACAUUAAAAUACUCAGAAGUGAAUAAUUGUAGAUUCAAACAUGCGCGUCGGCAUAUCAAAUAAGUAUCUAUGAACUAGCAGCACUAACUAUAGUUCUAGUAAAAGUUGUAAGUAAAAAGAGUGAUAAAGUUGAUGUAAAUCAGUGAAAAGUAUAUAGUGAAAAAACCAACUCCAUUAACUACAAACCAACCAGAAAAAUAAAGGAUUCAAAUAUUUUUGUGUGUAAAGAUUGUAUUUGUUCUCAUAUCAAAGUUGGUUGUAAAUAAUAAUAUACAAAAUUCAUUCACACCUCUCUUUUCUUCUUUUUUGAUGAAAGUAAAAUUGUGUGGUAAGUAACAGUAAUCCAGGCAUGAAAACAUGAACAAGCAUUAACUUUGACAUUUAAUGCUUCCAACUACACUUACCCCAUUUUCAUAAGUAGCAGUUUUAACUCAUUUAUUGCACCCUCUCUUUCUAUGUCCUUGCCGGUCACCACCCUCUGAACCACCCUUCAACAAUCCAUUUUCUGUUUGUUUUCUCCUUCUACCAAUUCUUAUAUCUCUUAUAGUCUUUUGCUACAAAAAAAGAAAAUGGUGCAACAAGAGUUUCUACCAACUUUUACAAAAUGUGUGUUUCAUUACAAGUUUAAGGACAAUAGCUUCACUUGAUAAAGAAUUGGAACUUGAAGCUAGCUUUUUCAUCUUGGUAAGUUCAACGACCUUUCUCUUUUCACCUUCCAAAAUGUACACAAGAUCCACUAAAAAGCCUUUGUUUUUGCCUGCAAAUAAGUCCUAGAAACCCACCAUGAAGAUUCUGAUUUUGCUAACUAUUUUACACACCCCACCAUUUUUUUUUUAAGUCUCUAUCUUCUACAUUACAAGUUUUUCAUGAAAACUUGUGAAAAAAACCAUAUCUUUGUGGAUGAAGUUUUUUAGUCUUUUUCUGAACUCUUUAAACAACAAUAUUUGUCAUGUUUCUUGCUGAGUUAUCAAUAGGUAUAUUUUAUUCAUCAAAUGAAAGGUGGAAGUCAACAAGAGUAUGUGAUGUCUCAAGUCCAACCAACAUUAUUAGUAAAAAUUCAACCUUUUUGGUUAUAAAAUAAAGUUUUUGAGUCUCUAGGUAUCAUGGGGUUCUCAAGAAAACAAUUCUCAACCUACCUUUUGAAUACUAUUUUAUUUGAGGUUGUUGUUUUUUCAUGGUUAUGGUCAAAAGUAACUGGUCUUGGUUCCAUGUCAUCAAUUGCUGUUUCUUAUGGAGAUAAAGGUUCUGCUUUCUGUGGCUUGAAAUCAGAUGGAUCUCACACUGUGACAUGUUAUGGAAUGAACUCAGCCAUAGUUUAUGGAACACCAUCUCAGUUUCCAUUCCUUGGUCUAACUUCUGGUGAUGGUUUUGUUUGUGGACUUUUAAUGAGUUCAAAUCAACCAUAUUGUUGGGGAAGUAGUAGCCAUAUAGAAAUGGGUGUGCCACAACCUAUGUUUAAGGAUGCUCAGUACUUAGAAAUCAGUGCCGGCGAUUAUCAUGUUUGUGGAUUGAGGAAACCAUUGACAGGAAGACACAGGAACUUUUCUUUUGUUGAUUGUUGGGGAUACAAUAUGACAAAGAACUAUGUGUUUGAUGGACAGAUUCAAUCGAUUUCGGCAGGUUCUGAGUUCAACUGUGGACUUUUUUCGCAGAAUCGGACGGUAUUUUGUUGGGGUAAUGAGGUUAGUACUCAAGUUAUUAGGUUGAUUCCACAACGAAUGAGGUUCCAGAAGGUGUCUUGUGGAGGGUAUCAUGUAUGUGGAAUCUUGGAAGGUGUGAAUUCUAGAACUGUUUGUUGGGGGAGAAGUUUGGGUUUGGAGCAAGAAAUUUCAUUGAUACCUAAUCAAGGACAAGGUGGUAAUGUUGAGUUGGCUCCAAAUGAUCCUAUGCUUUCUGUUGUUGGAGGAAAGUUUCAUGCUUGUGGCAUUAAGAGCUAUGAUCAUGUAGUGAUUUGUUGGGGGUUAAAUUUGAAAACAAGCACAAAAGUUCCUAAAGGGAUUAAAGUGUUUGACAUUGCAGCUGGUGAUUAUUUUACCUGUGGAAUUCUUGCCGCAAAAUCUCUUGAAUCUAUUUGUUGGGGUGUUGGAUUUCCAACUUCUCUACCUUUGGCUGUUUCACCAAGAACAAGAAAGUGUUUGUCUGCACCUUGUCCUCCAAGUUACUAUGAAAUUGAAAAGGAUCAACAAAAUGGUCUAAUUUGUCAAGAUCCAAAUUCUCACCUUUGUGUUCCAUGCAGUGGUGUUUGUCCUGAUGAAAUGUAUCAGAAAAGUGGUUGCAAUUUGAAAUCUGAUAUACUAUGUGAAUAUAAUUGUUCUGUUUGUUCUUCACCUGAAUGCUUCUCAAACUGUUCCUCCUCUUCUUCCAAUGCUGCUAAUGGUGGGAAGAAAAAUGAAAGAUUUUGGUCUAUGCAGUUGAUAGUUAUUGUUGGUGAGAUAGUAUUUGCUGUUUUUAUAGUCAGUGCUGUCUCUAUUACCGCGGUUAUGUAUGUUCGCUACAAGCUAAGAGAUUGUGAGUGUUCAACAAGACCGUUAAACUCGAUGAAGAGACUCAAUGUUAGUUCUUCGGUUCAAAAGGAUAACGGUAAGGUUCGACCGGACGCAGAGGAGAUCAAGAUAAGAAGGGCUCAGAAGUUUUCCUAUGAGGAACUUGAAAAUGCAACCUGUGGAUUCAAAGAAGAAUCAAUUGUUGGGAAAGGAAGUUUUUCAUGUGUGUUCAAAGGUGUUCUCAAAGAUGGAACAGUAGUUGCUGUUAAAAGGGCUAUUAUGUCUCCAAACAUGCAGAAAAAUUCCAAAGAGUUUCACACAGAACUUGACUUGUUAUCUAGGUUGAACCAUGCUCAUUUGCUCAACCUAUUAGGCUAUUGUGAAGAAGGAGGUGAAAGACUACUUGUAUAUGAGUACAUGGCACAUGGAUCAUUGCAUCAACACCUUCAUGGCAAAAACAAAGAGUUGAAAGAGCAAUUGGAUUGGAUCAGAAGGGUAACAAUUGCGGUCCAAGCAGCUCGAGGAAUUGAAUAUCUCCACGGCUAUGCGUGCCCACCGGUGAUUCAUAGAGACAUCAAAUCUUCAAACAUACUCAUUGAUGAAGAACACAAUGCAAGAGUUUCGGAUUUCGGUUUGUCAUUACUAGGUCCAACAGAUAGUAGCUCCCCACUGGCCGAGUUACCGGCCGGAACACUUGGUUAUCUUGAUCCUGAAUACUAUAGACUUCACUACCUCACAACAAAGUCAGAUGUUUAUAGCUUUGGUGUUCUACUAUUAGAAAUUCUAAGUGGUAGAAAAGCUAUUGAUAUGCAAUAUGAAGAAGGUAACAUUGUUCAAUGGUCGGUUCCAUUAAUAAAAUCGGGCGAUAUAGCUUCGAUUUUAGACCCUUGUUUGAAACCACCUUCUGAUAUAGAAGCAUUGAGAAGGAUAGCAAAUGUUGCUUGUAAAUGUGUGAGAAUGAGAGGUAAAGAUAGGCCUUCAAUGGACAAAGUAACAACAAGUUUGGAAAGAGCUUUAGCAAUGUUAAUGGGAAGUCCUUGUAUUGAUCAACCAAUUUUGCCAACUGAGGUUGUUCUAGGAAGUAAUAGAAUGCAUAAGAAAACAUCUCAAAGGUCUUCAAAUCGGUCGGCUUCAGAAAUCGAUGUAGUCGAAGGUGAAGAUCAAAGGUUUGAGUUUAGAGCACCUUCUUGGAUAACUUUUCCAAGUGUUACUUCUUCUCAAAGAAGAAAGUCUUCAGGGUCAGAAGGUGAAGUUGAAGUGAAGAUUGUUGAAGGAAGAAACUAUGGUAAUGUUGUUGGUGGUGGAGGUGAUGUUUUGAGAAGUCUUGAGGAAGAAAUUGGUCCUGCUUCUCCUCAAGAGAGACUCUUCUUGCAACACAACUUCUAAUUUUGGAGGAAGCAAUGAUUAUGUUGCAAAGAAUAUGAUAUUAUUAGUGGCUACGUUAAUUAGUGUUGAAUGUAAUUUUUUGUUUAACUUUUUCUGCAUUUGAGUUUGAUUAUGAAUGCAAAUGUGACAUUAUUUAGUUUUGUAAUUGUAUUGUAUCUUCUGAGAGCUAUGGUUUAGAAUUAGUGGAGCUUUCAUUCUUUGAUGCAACUUUGAUGUAAUGUUAAUGUAACUAUCAUCUCAUUUUAUUGACUGUAAAGCUUAUUAGCUGUGUCAAAAUCUAUAACAACAUUUGUUUUUGCUUCAUUUUUCCAACUAGAAAGAUUGUGAAAUGGUUAUUUUAUAACCUCUGAAGAAAUGAUAAUUUUGGUUUAUGCUGUAAUGGAAUAAUUGAGACCCAAAAUUAUGCAAAAAAAAAAAAAAAAAAAAAAAAAAAACAAGAUAUAAUACAAAAAAGAAAUUUGCCCUCACGCAGGAUCGAACUACGGACCUCCAGUUUACAAGACUGGCGCUCUACCACUGAGCUAUAAGGGCUUAUUGUUGAAAGAAAUCAUCCUCUUAUGUAUAUAACGUAAUAUACAAUGUAAUAAAUGACUUAUAAAGUUCAUUUAUGAGACAAUUUUGAUUCUCGGUGCUUCAGGGCCAAGUAAUACGGAGUUGAAUUUACAUUCCUUUCCUUGAGUAGAUGUAUAAUUUUAUCUUUUCGUGAAGGUGUUUUCUCUAGUAAGAUAAGGAAUGGACAAGAUACAAGAGUGCUCUUAAGUUGUUUGAUAAGAAAAACACAUUGAAAGUGCAUUUCCUUAUUCUUAUUUCAGUAUCCUCUCUGCUUAUCCACUUAUGGACUAUGGGUUUAUGAGACCUACUAUAGUUAAAAUUGUGCUUGUAAAAGUCAAAGAAAUUAUCCAUAAUAAUUGAGCAACAGUGAAGACUAUACAUUCUUGCCUCUCGUGUACCAUUGAUGAUGAGAUACAAGGUUGUUAGGAUUUCGAAAUUGGCUUCAUUCCCUUUUGUAUUAUGCACAAUUUGUGCAUAAUUUCAAGGUUAAAAUAUGGUUUUAGUCCCUGCAAAUAUGCCUCGUUUUGGUUUUAGUCCCUGUAAAAAGAAAAUUUUGAUUUUGGUCCCUGCAAAAUUUUUUGUUUUUGAAAAAAAAAAUUUGCAGGGACCGUUUUUAAAAACAAAAUAUUUUGCAGGGACUAAAACCAUAUUUUAGCCUAAUUUCAAUUACGACUUGGUAAGCUUCAUACUAUUUGUCUAUUCAGAGUUGAUGGGGGCAUGCCCAUACAUUAUUUGAACACUGAACAAACUGUUUCGUAAUGCAAUCUAUCUAAAAAUGAAGAUGUUUUAAGUAACGUUAAAAAGAAUAAAAGAAGUCUCAGAAGUGCAACUCAUGGUGAAAGAAAAAAAAAAAAAAAACCAGUGGAACUUUUCAUGUUUAGAGGCGCCGGUUUGAACUUCCAAUUCUCCACUCGAGCACAUAGUAUGUAUGAUUAUGAGCUUUGCCGUUAGACUCUUUAAAAAAAAACAGCCAUGAAUCAAAUUUACAAAAUGAACAAUGGAAUAAGAAAAUUCUAUCAAGGGAAUGCCAUGCUUGUUAAGAGUCGUCAUAUUGUUAGCAUUAAUUCACAAGAAUGGACUUAAAUGACCUGUACAUUGACUGAGCUAGUCUCUUCUAACAACUGAAGUAUCAAAGCAAAUAAAGCAAUCCAAUGAAUAUUGAAUUCCAUUGAACUUAACAAACUGAACUACAGAACUCACUUGACACCUAAAGUAAGCUGGACUGAGUUACAAGUUCAAUGGUCAGCAACUAUAUUAUUGCACAAUUUAUCUACCACAAUUCAUCCAGUGAUAAAAGAAUUACAAGUCUAGAUAACAGCCAAUUGAAACUGACUCUCUUGUUCUUUAGCUUCCAUCUCCUUCACACUCUCUACUAUGUGCUGUAUCUUCUUUGAGACGGCUUCAUUAUGCUCCUCGAUGCACUCAUAUAACAGGUCAAGGUUCCUUUUAUAGGUUUCAGCUCGCUUUUUCUCUAUAGCCAACUGUUGAGUUAGUUCUCGAACUCUGUCGUGUCCACUCUGGAAAUUGCAUGAAAACAAAUAUGUAAGAUGUGGGAGGGAAACUGAAAAGGGGUCCCAACGACAUGUAACACGAAUUGCUCAAGUUACUCGUACAUAAAUGUCUCAGAGAGACAAAUACAUUCAGAUGCACCCAAAGUAUCAAUUUGCUGUUGCCAAAAUAUUUACCUCGCAAAAUUACUCCAGAAACUCAAAGUAUCGAUUUGGGAAGAGAGAAAACAGAGUUAAAGAACUAAUCCAAAACUCUAAAUUAAGUGCAUAGACCCCCGGGAGUAAUUUUACUGAUUUUUCAUGUGUAUGGAUUGAUACAGAACCUCGAAGAUCAAUUAAAAUGGAAAUCAAUAAGCAUAGAUAUAAAACAUUGAAGUCUUUGGUUAGUUUCUCUUCUUGCAUAAACAAGUGUAAGUUAUUAACAGUAUUACAAAUAUGAUUGAUGAACAUCUUCAUAAAAAUCAGUGACGAGAUCCUUUAAAUUCUAUUAGUUGCAGAAGUAGCUCAAUGAUUUUUCAUUGUAAAAAAUAAAAAACUAAAGCCAUUUAAGGGCCUUUUGGUUUUUUAUUUCCAUCUCUACUUUCAUUUAAUCUUUUCACUUUUAAUAAAAUGCCACACUGUUUUACUAUGUUUCAUGUUUUUAAAUAAAGAUUUGUACACGAAAGAGUGAAAACAGAGAAAGGGGACAUAAACCAAACAGACCAAAAACUUUUCUAGAACUGCAAAUAACUGGGAGAACAUGAACUAACCGGAUAUUGCUCAUAAACGAAGUCCCUUCUGCCUCUUCCAGGUGUCAGAGGAUGUGUGUGCUCUUUUACAAACUUUGUUAUAGACCAUAGACCAGAAUUUAAUUUCCUCACCAUAAUCAUUGCCCUGCAACCAACCCUUGUUUCUGCCCUUUGCCUUACAAUCUUUUCACGCUUGUCAGGCAUUCUGAAACCUUCUUUGUUGCAAACUAGAGCCCGUCCAAUAACAGAUCCAUCGCGCCUUGAUCUCGAGAGCUUACUUACACGUAUGACGAAUCCAACACGUGUAGCAUAUGAAUUAUAAAAUGCAUGUGCUUCUGCUUCGGAUACAAACUCCUGACCGAUAUAGGGUUCAUCAAUUGUUCUCAUAACCGAUGUUACAGGAACUGCUGAGGCGAUUUGGUCCACUCCAGAAGAAUCUUGAGUCAUAGUAUCAUCUUGAUCCUGCUCAUCAGUUGGAUCAAAAGAACUGCAUUCAACUAUUUCUUUGUUAGCUAUGCUACUACCGACCUCUCCAAUAGUAGCAUUUCCUAGCGCCUCACCAUUACCAGAGUCAUAGAUCUCAAUCUCCACUGCACCAAAAAAAUAUUUGAUAUAAGAUUUUCAUUGCCAAGUGAUACUCUACAGAACAGUGUAUAAAAUAGAUGAAAUGCUGCUUCAGUGAUGAUAAAAAUUAUGAAAGAACUGAAGAAGAAACAUAUCGUAUUAAUUCCAAAAUUAUCCUUUUCGGAAACCCUAUGGUUUAAACUAAAUACUAUAAUGAAUCAAAGAGAGGAAACCAUACAAGUCAAAGUUGCUAAUACAGGAAACCCUAUGAAUGACACUAAAUAUUUGUCAAAUACCCUUCACUUCAACAAAUAAAAUCGAUUAUUAAUAAUAAUUUCCCCUUCCCUAGUUUCUUAAAAGAAAAAAAAAGACAAAUAAAACCGAUUACUAGUUAAGUUAGCAUGCUGAAUCCAAAAAGACUUUGCAAAAAAUCAAAGUGAAGGAAGAAUUCACAUAUUUCUGAAGUACAACAACAAACAUGCCAUAAAGAUCAGUCAAUUUAAAACAAAUAUAACAAAGCCCAAAAACCUAAAUGAAAAAAUAAUAAUUUACAAUCUUUAGAUAAAGCUUAAUGGCAUCCAGAUGGUUAUUUUCAUAUUUUUGAAAAAAACUUAAUCUUAAUAGAUUAAUAAAUUUUGGAUUUUGAUAAAACUUAACGGCAUCCAGAUGGUUAUUACUGAGUUAUAAGGUCUCACAAAUAUGUUUUAUUUGUAAUUUCUCCCAGCUCAAACAUAUAAGAAAGUUGGCGCAACAACUAAAAACAUUAUGACUCAAAAUACCUAUCUAUUACUAAAAGAAGCAAGCAAAUUUUAUUCAGCUUAUUGUAAAUCAAAUAUAAAUAAUGCUACACAGGCAAACGAAAAAUGCUAGAGUUUUGCAAAAAUUGGACCACAUUUUUGAGAAUGGUUAUGAAACCACUAAGCCAUCUGUUGUAAUUUGCCUUCAAAUUAGUGUUGCUGAAAACUCAUAAUCGUGACACGAUUUUGAGUGGCGCGUCACGAUUUUGGUGGCAGAAUGGAUGGUUUCUGCUGAAGGCAAAACAUGACGAGAUUGGUGCAGGCGUGACGCGAUUUGUGGAUAACGUUGUCGUACCUUGGGUCGUACUCAUCAAUCGUGACACGAUUUUGGGUAGCGCGGCGCGAUUUUGUCUGUCACUGUGUACUAUUUAAGUGUUUCAGCUCAUUUUUGAAGGAAGAUGAGAGAGAACUUCAAGAGAGGAAAACUUGGGAAAUCAAAGGAGGUAACUUUAGGGUUGAGGGUCUUUGAUUAGAGUUCUCUUGGGUUGGGAAACAUUGUAAACACCUUGGGUGAGUGAAAAUCAUUGAGUGUCUUGUUCAUUUGUGAGAUUGGGAAAAUGGGUAGAAAUUAGGUUUGUUCUUUGUGAGCUUGUUUAAGCUAAUUUCUUGUAACCCAUUUGUAUCCCUUUGUAAGAACUCAUUGAUAGUGGAUUGGAGAGAUCUAUCUCUCCCCCAGAUUAGGUCAAGUUGGACCUGGGUCAACAAUCUUUGGUGUGUUUGUUUCUCUCUUCUCUCUUUAUCUUUUGCUUGUGGUUUUGAGUUUUUCACUUUGAUUACUAGAUUAGAUCUAGGUGUUGUUAUUAUUGUUGUUGCUUGAGUUCACUUUGAUUUUGGUUACUACUUUCCUUUGCUCCACACAUCAUAGUUUGUAUUGGUGUGAUUUUGAGUCCGAAUUCACAACACCAUCAAUAGUUAACAAGCAAGCCAAUUGUUAAAAUUCUUAAAUUUGAUAAGCAUUUUUAACAACCUAUCAUAUCAUAGUGAACCUUUACCCACAAAAUUAAACUGCAAUAUUAUCAACAAACAAUAGGGUACAUCUCCAAAAGGUGCAUAAUGCAGUAUAUCUCUAUAUAAUCCAAGCAUAAUUGAAUUAAUGGGUUUAAUUAACCUAUGUUAAAACCUCAUUCUAUGUUAGCUACUUAGCUCAUUCACAAAAAAAAAAAGUCAGAUUAACAAAAUUAACAAAAAAAAAUAAAAAAAUUGAGCUACUUAGCUCAUUCUAUUUGAAAUUCUAUAGACAAAUUGAAAGAAAAGAGAUUCAAUAUAAGGCACGUAACGCAGUAAUUGAAAAGAAACUAAAAACCCUAAAAUUGAAAAUCGAAAUUGAAUUGAGAACCGAAAAUGAGAAAGAAAGAAAAAAAGAGAAGCUUACUGAGAAAUUAGUGUGACGCGGAUUGAAUUGAGAUGGUGAAUUUGAAAAAUAAAUUGAAUUUAUUAAUUUUUCGUUCUUUUUUGUGUUUGGUUCAGAGAAGAUUCACUCAGAACAUAGAUGAAGGAUUCGAUCAGGUAUGGAAAGAUGUAUGUAGCUUUCUGUGUACCGUAUAACAUGGGCCUGGGCCUAUUUUUUCGAAAAUUGCUCAAUAGGCCCCCUUAAAGUUUGUUUGAUAAAUUGAUUGAUUAAAGCAUUUUUUUUUCCUAUGUGUUAACCCUAACCAAAAUUGGAUUCUUCAAUACAAUUCGUCAUAUGAAAAGUUCAUUAGUUAUUUGAGUUCAAUCACUUGGUUGUUGAUUAAAUGGUGUACAUGUAGAGUGAAAUGUGUGUAUCACUAUUUGACAAUCAAUGAAAAUUAAAGUCCUCGGCACGAUCGAACAUAAACUUAGCAAAACGAUGUUUAAAAAUUGUUUGCGAUUUGUGCUCCUUUCAUGUUGAUACUAUGUACUCCCUCCAUCCUAAAUUAGAUGUCCUUUUGAGUUUUACACAGUAAUUAAGGAAAUGAUUAGUAGUAUUGAUUUUAAUCGUAAAAUGUGUUUAAUUUACUAUAACACCCUUAUUAAUUAAAGUUAUUACAGUAGUUAGAUAAUUGAAAUGCAAUAAAUAAGGGUAUGUUAGUGAAAAGGAAUAAUAAAUGUUUAUUUUCAAAAUGGACAAAUAAUUUGAGACAAAGAAAGUAGUUAAGAUGACACCUAUUAUAAGACGAAGGGAGUAUUUAAUUAACUAUGAAACAAUUUUCUUCAAUCGUCCAAUCCCAAAAAAAACUGUUUAUCAAAAAUCUCUAAAAAAAAUUAAAAACAAAAUCAUUUUAUUUUUAAAAAUCAAAACAAAGCACCCUUUGUAAGUAAAAAAAACAUGCAUAGUUUUAUUUAUAUGGGAUUAUCAUAAUAUAUCUUGACUUAUCUUUUAAAUUACAUAUAAACCUUGACUUAAAGGAGAUAGUCUUAGAGACAUUCGCUAUCAGUAUAAAUUGUCACUUCACUAACUAUAGCAACCGUCCCUUUAAAUUAAGGUUUAUAUGUAACAUGUAAAAGAUCAGUCAACAUAUACAGAAGCAGGUAGAGUUUUACCUCUACCGGCUGACGCAAACCAUCGGCUAAAGCCAUUAGCAUCAUUAAAAUGAAGACAACUCUCCUGUUUAAUUUUUUGUUGUUGUUUUGAUGCUUUUGUGCGGUGAAUGAUAGGAUGAUGAAGUUAGCGAGUGUAAGUUUAAAUUUAUAGAGUUUUUUUCCUAUGGUCAGCCGGGUGCGGUUAUGGUGCAUAAGAAAAUCCUUAUGCACCCUGCAUAAAUUCAGAAAUGGUUUUGGAGUACAACUCACAGAAACCAUUUUCACAGCAAAAUGGUUUUGGCAUAAUUUUAUGCAGGGUGUAGGAAAUCUUUAUGCAGGGUGCUGGAAACCAUUAAGUACAUCUAAUGGUUUUGGAGUACAACUAACAGAAACCAUUUCUGGAUUUAUGCAGGGUGCAUAAGGAUUUCCUUUUGCACCAUAACCGCGCCCUGGUCAGCCACCCCACCUUCCCCAUGCUAUCGAUACAUUACUUGGAAUUUCCUUAUGCACCAUAACCGUGUCCUGGUCAGCCACCCCACCUUCCCCAUGCUAUCGAUACAUUACUUGAUAUCAUCAAUAUUAUUACUGUUUACACAAUACAUUAUGUGUUUUGAAAAGGUAGUAAGAAAUGAAUGUCACCUUAGAGGAGGUUGGUAUGAAUUUGCAAAGAGUCUGUCUAAUAUAUAUAAUAUUUGCAUAUGUUAAACCAACCACAAGUGGAAACUUUUUAUUGAAAAACAAUAAUUAUUUAUUAAACAAUACAUAUUUAAUGUUAAAUGCAUAAAUUCAAAUGCAAACUUACUUUUUUGCAUAUACAAAUUUUCACACGAUAGAAAAAACUCAUUUGCAAAAAGCCAAAACUUCAAGUUUGAUGAUAAGUUGGUUUUUUCAAAAUUAUGCAUUGUCCAUACCAACUAAAUUAAAUUUACAAGGAGGAAUUGAAAAUUAACGUGGAAGUGAAAGUCUGGGUUGUAUGCUGUUUUUUUUAAUGAUGUGGAAGUUACGAGUAUGUCUUAAUCUAUGUAAUAUGAACAACUACGUGGUGUGUUAACAAUUAUGUUGUGUGUUUAAUUGAGGAUAUCCUAACUUGUAAAGUUAAGUUAUCACAAGUGUGAAUACACUCUUUUUAAGCUUAGAUGGAACAAAUAAUUAGAAUUGUGGGUUUGGUUUGCAAAACAGUAAGUAUUGGAAAAAACAACAUAAGAUAGAACAGUACAACACAAGGCAGAACAACACAAGAUAAAUUUUUUAUGGCAUUGAGUAAUUUUUUGUUUUAUAUGAUUUUUAGGGGACAAAAUGUUAUUUUGGUAUUUUAGACAACUUGUCCGUGAUAUAAAAAGUUGUGUUGUGGUUUGAUGAAGGACAAAAAUAUGAGUUUUUGUCUUGUCCCUUGCCUCCAGUUUGUCAUGUACCUGAAACGGUUUUACAAAUCAAACACUAGACAACUAGAGUUGUUAUGUCAUGUCCUUCAUUUUUUAGCAAAUCAAACACACCCUAAAUAUUGAUAUAUUAUAAAUGUUAAUUAUUUUAAUUAAUAAAUACAAAUAAUUUGUAUUAAAAUGUUAACCUCUCUAAAUUCCUCCAAAAACCAACUAACAUACAUACCCCAAGAUUCAAAUAUUUCGUAUAUCUUAACAGGUGCGUAAACAUUUAAGUCAUCCAACUUAUCAAAUUAAAAAGAAAAAUCAAGUCAUAUCCAACGAGAUACUUGACCUAUUUUCUUAACAAAUGAAUGGUUGUUUGUCUCUAUCAAUCACCAAAUUGAGAGCCUAACCAAACCAAAAAGAGAUUAUAACUCAUCCAAAUUCAACAACGUGCGGAAAUGAAAUGCAAUCGACGAUCCUUUUUCGUUGAGAUAUGUUGUGUGCCUAAAAACACAAAGAACACCAUAAUAUUUCAUCACGUUUUCCUCUUAGUUUUGGUCACUUCACUUUCAGAAUCUGGGGAUUGUUAAUUUUUUUCCCAAAAUUUGUGUGACAUUGCGUUCAAUGCUUUGCCUUUCCCUUUCCACUCUUUCUAACCUCUUCAGGCUUCAGCAUUACAUAUUUAUUCUUUUUUUUUUUUAAAGAGAAUUUUCAAGGUACUUAGAAAAAUUAGCUAUUAUUGGCACUUGGUAAGCCUAACUUCCUUUCUUUUUUAUCAUCACGUGGAACGUAACGUCUUUUAAAAAAACUAUAAUAACUAAAUAAAUUAUUACACCAUGUACAAUGAGAAAAAUAUAUAUAAGAAUAAAAUAUAAUUAUUAGGUUACUUGUGCAUGCACGUUAUAUUUUUUAUAAGGAUAUAUAGAAAGUUUACAGUUGCCAAAAUGCAAAAAAAAGUUAUGCUGGUAAAGAAAAUUUUCAAAAGUCAAAAUCCUAUCUUCUUUUUUUUUUUAAUCGAAGAUCAUAUCUUCUUAAUUUCACAAGAAAGUAUUACCUAAUAAAAACCUUUAAAAAUAAUAUUGAAUUCUAAAUUAAAAAAAAUAGAAAAUUAGUACAUUUCUUACAUGAUGCUUCUUAAAAGAGCAAGAGUUUAUAAAUAGAUAACUAGUUUUAGAGAAAUGUCAUUCACUUGUUGGUCAAAAAUAAUGACUUAAUUGAUCAGUUGGUCCCUUAACUUAAUUCUUUAUUUUAAAGUGGUCCCCCAACUAAAAAAAAUGUCUCAAAUUGGUCCCUUAUAUUUGCUUCCGUUAGCCAAUCUAGUCCAAUUCCGUUAAUUCUAACCCCUAAUGUGUAAGAUGGACCAUCAUUGAAGGUGGUCUACGAUAGACCUUAUUAAUCUUAUUAAUUUUAGCCCUUUAGUUUUUGUCUAUAAAUGAGAACCGUUGGAUCUCGCAUGCUUAUCGUAUCUUAUAGUAAACCACCAACAACUGAUUUCUUUUCCUUUUCUUCAUCUUCUUCCUUUCAUUUCUUCAUCAUCUUCAACAACAUCUUCAAAUACGUUCAUCAAUCUUCAAACAAUUAAAUCCAGAAAUAAUAAAAAAUUUAAAAAUUUGUUUAUCAUUUUCAAAACAAUACAAUUAAAUUUUUCAUCUUCUUCAAAACAACAUAGUUUAAUUCAAUUGAAUAACUCAAUUCGUUAAAACAACAUCAAUAACUUCUCAUAAAACCCAAAAAAAAUGCGUUGAAGUUACUGGUCACUACUUCACUCAAAGGUACUAAAUCAUUCUUCCUCAUUGUAGGAGGAACCUUCCAACCACUUCCCUUGGCUUCCUUCUUUGACCACAUUAUCCUAAACCCUUCACCUUACAAUAACAUUCACACCCUGUUAUUUUUCAUCGAUUUUUUCUCUCAAUUUUGGUUUUUUUUGUUCCCACAACCGAAUCCUGAAUCCUCGUACCCAAGGUUCUAUCCUAUUAUUUUGUUGUGGGUUUUAUGUUAAAUCGCUUAUUUAUUCAAAAGCUUUUUUUUUUGUUUGUUAUCUCUUCCUGAGUGAGAAAUUUGAUUUUUUAAUUAAGGUUUCUAUUUUUUAUUCUACAAUUUGAUUGUCAAUUCCAAUUAUCUAAAGCCUGAAUCACUCAAUAUAGUUUCGAGGUAUUUUUUUGCUAUGGUUGUUGAUGUGGGCUACUUUGAUGGGAUUGGUGAUUCAAUCCGAAUUGGGCGAGAUAUGUGCUUUGGUUUAUGACGGAACUUGCUUUGAUUGGUUCUGUCAUGGUUGAACUUGCUUUGUUUAUGGCUGAACUUGCUUUUCAAUGGAGGAAGAAAUUGAUGAAUUGGUGUGUUUCAAUUCUAGAUUUUUUUAACAAUUGGAUCCAAUUAAAUUUAGAUUUUUUUUUUAGGGAAAUUAAAUUUAGAUUUUAGUGAUCGGUAAAGGAUUCAAUCAAUUUUUUUAUUUUUAUUGGUUUGUUUGUUCAAUUUUUUUUGGGUUUAUAUGAACAUAAUGUUUAAGAUGAUGAAGAUCAAGAGGAAGAAUAUUGAAGGAGAAGAAGAAAAGGAAAAAAAAAAAAUUAGAUACAGGUGGUUCACUGUUAUAUACAGUGGACUUACAAUCAAACGGUUAAAAUCAUAUUAAAAAUGUUAGGCUAUAAAAAACUAACAAAAAUGACCACUUGGGUAAACGGAGAUAUACUUAUGGGACCAAAUCGAGACACUUUAUAGUUAGGGGACCAAAAUGAAAUCCAAAAAUAAGUUAAGGACCAAAUCAUGUAUUAAGCCAAAAAUAAUUAUAUAAAACCUUCAAUUUGUUGAAGUAUGAUAGAUAUUUUUAGCAAGUGUACUAAAUACUAUCGAAGUAAUAAAAAUAUCGUUCCCACAAAAACUGUGUUAAUCUCAAUUUAGAAAUAAAGUAAAUAUUUAGGAUGUAUAAAUUAUUUUGUUUAGAUUUUGUUUGAUUGCAUAAAAUUAAAUAACAUAAAAUAAAGAUUGAUUUAAAAAAAAAAUAGAUUUGGUUAGAAAAUAUGAAGAGAGAUAAGAUCAGGUCUUUCAAAUCAUUUAUGUUCCCCUAAUUGGUAUACUGCACCUAUUCUUAUGAAUGAUUUUCUAGUUCCACGAUAGUUAACAAAAUAGUCCUAAUCAAUCCCUUGAGUUAGGACCCUCUUCUCAAACUACAACCCCUAAUUCCUUAGGUGGUCUAAUAAUCUUUGAAGGUUUAAGCACGUUAACCUAAUAUCACUAACAAACGAUUAUCCAUUCCUAGACUAACCCUGUUUAUUAGAACAAUUCAAUUCUGUCUAAGUAGAAAGCUAUGGUCAGUAGUCAUUCAUUCUCACUAAAUCAUGUUUAUAUUUGAUCAGGAUAUAAAAAGCAUUAAGAACAAUUGAAUUGAAUAAAAACUAGAUUGUCAUUCACAAUAAAUAGAGUUUCACAACAACAUGGUUCAAUUAGGGUUACAAAGAAUCAUCUCAGACCUAAUCUCUAAGAGAUUUAGCUACUCAUAAUGGUGUUUACAAAUAGCAUAAUCAAUAGUGGAAUUAAAACAUACAUAAAUUGAUAGAAGGUUGAAGAAAUCGCCCUCCUAGCCGUCUUUAGGUCUCAAAAUUGCACUUUGCUCUCUCCAAAUCGUAACCCUUGUUUUCAGAAUAGUCUUCAGCUUAAAUAGGCACAGAAUUUCGCCUAAAAUCGUGGCACGAUUCUCCUUGAAUCGCAAAUUACUGAAUUAGGAUUUCCUCAGAUCGUGCCACGAUUAUGCCAUCGUGACAUGAUUUCUUCAAUGUCGAAGCUUGAUUUUGGUUUUCUAAAAUCGUGUCACGUUUUUACCAAAUCGUGGCACGAUUCUCUUCUUUGUAUUUUCUUCAGUUUUCUUCAGUUUUCUACUCUUUUGCUGCAUAAGUUGCCUUGUGAACUCCAAUUUGUGAUCAAAAUACAUAUAAAAAAGACUCUAGAAAUAGCGAAUGACGGACUGUCAUCAAAGUACGUCAAUAUAAUUUGAUGGUGGGGUUUAGUAUGGAAAAGGAAAGUUGUUUCAAUCCAUGGGAAAGUAAAUAUUAGCCAUUAGAUAAAGUAGAGAACAUAAUUUUAUCAUAGACACUCAACACCAAAUUGUUUACCCCACAUCCACUCACCAUUUGACGGAUCUCCUUCUUCCUCUCCUUCAAUCCUUGGCAGUGACAGAAAAAUAGAUUUUUCAAAAACCAUUCCCUAUAUUUCAAUGGCAAAACUUCCAUGGGCAUGGGCAUGUGAUUCUCUCUCAGUGACAAAAAAUUACACAUAAAUAAAUUAAAACAUGAUAGAAGAAAUUUCAAUUAGAACUUAUGAAAAGUGACAAGUUUUGCGAAUGGGGUUUGAAGUUUGUAAUUGAUCCCCACCAAGAACACGAUAAAAAACUAUUAUGGCAAAAAUUCCAUUGGGUCUGUGGUUCUCUCUAACCCCCGAAAGAAAUUCCUCCAAUCUAAAAUCCAAACCCAAAUUCAAUCCAAGGAUUUUGUUCUUUAUUUUGUGAUUGGUUCUUGAAAUUUUGAGUCUUUAUGUUAUAGUUUCAUUAUUUGAUUUCUCUGGAUCUAUGACUUUUUUAUUAAUUGAAAUUUGAAAGAUGGGUUUAAGUAAGUAUAAGAGGUUGUGGAUCAGUUCCAAUCUGUUUAAUCUAGAAAGAGACUCCUCUUUCUUCCACCUUCACUAUUUCAAGCUAAAAUCAUACUCAGAACAGAGAUGUUUGGCCAAACAACACCAUACAUAAAAUAUUUCAUUUGAUCCUCUUCAUUUUUUUCUCCACUUUUCUUGCUUGUUAGCAUUUAAUUUUCGUCAGUUUAUAAUGGUAAUAUUACUGGAAUCGUAAGUGAGAGAAGUGGUGAAAUCAAAAUUGAAGAUAAACUCUGUCAUAGUCAAAACCAAAGAUGGAUGCUUUCUUGAAGGGAUUUCCACACCUUUUUAGGUUGCAAGUGAAAAGAUGAUGAUGAUGGGAAGUGGUGGUUCCAUGGGAGUUGUUGAGGGUGGAGCCCAAUUACCAUGGCACCGUGUGGGUAGAGUUACAUGCAAUGAUUCUUCUUUUGUUUAGAGGUAACCGCUUGGAACUGCUACUCUUUCAAUGCGUUGCCGCCACUGUCUUGGAAUUUUUUCUCUAUCAUUGAAAUUUUUUCCGGAAUAUACACAGACACGAGAAGGAGAGGAAGAAGCAAGCAAAGUUGGGACAGCUAAUGGUUGGUGUGAGUGGGGCACGGAGAAGAUAGUUUAUGGAAAAAAAUUUGGUGUCGAGUGUCUAUGAUAAAACUAUAUUCUCCACUUUAUCUAAUGGCCAAUAUUUACUUUCCCAUGGUGGGAAACAACUUUCCAUUCCCAUACUAAAGUACGAAACAAUCGUGUUUUAUUUGGUACAAGUACAAAACAAACAUUUAGCAAUCAUCUUUUAACUUCCUGUAUUUUAUUUCACAAGUAGUGUGUCCGAAUAAAAUUGUUUUUGAACUGCACUGUAGGAUCUGUUUUAGACUUACAUUCUUAUGGUACUACCGCUCUAAUAUGACACUAUGUUCACUCUAGUAUGAUGAGAUUAUGAAAAUUCUAAUAUGAUAUUUUGACUACUCGAACUUCUAAAGGGACAACCUGAAAAGGGCAAAUUAUUUUGAAGGGAUUAAAAAAAAGUGACUCAAACUUGCGUCAUGCAAAGAGAUAAAAUAUGUAGCUUAAAAAGAAUCAAAGCUAACGUUAACACUUUGUGUAUAUAGUGCUAGAAACUAUACCCAAUGUAUGUAUCAAUAUGAAAUUUUUGUGUUUUUUCCCAUUUGAGUAUACUCUAAUAUUCAAUGUCGGAUUUUAUUGUUUUUUUUUAGUUGACACACACUAAUAUUCUUGAUCUUCCAACGAUAACUAAUUAUCAAUAGUUUUUUUUAAAGUCUCUCUUAUAGUUAUAUGUAGUAAACAAAAAAAACAAAAAAAUACUCAAAGAGUAUUCGUUAAUAUCAAUUAUCAUUGCUUGUUAAAAGUCAAUUGUUAAUCUUUCAUUUUCUUCGGAGGGUGCAGUCCUUUUCAACUUUGAAAAGGCACCUCUCCAGUCUCCACCAAUCGGGACAAUGAAUUUCUUAAAACAAUUUACUGCAUGAUUGCUGGUAGGUUUUAAUCGUUGGAUCAUACUCUUAUUUUUAUUUUAUGAAAUGAAUUUUGGAUCAUUUUUAAAGAUAACAAUUGACUUUAGAAAAUAUGAAAUAUGUAAGUCAAGUCAUAGAUAACUCAAUAAUUAAUAGUAAGUUUUUGCUAACAAGUGCCCUAAGAACAUUGUUUAAGGAACCCGAAAAAAAAGUUUAUAUUGAAAAUAUAAGUUAAACAUAUGUAGAUGUUAUAACUACACAAUUUUUAAUAUAAAAAUUACAAUUUUUGAAUGCUUAAACAAUGUCUUAAAGACCUUUGUUGGCAUUUUCCUUGAUGGUAUAUACACAUGUAAAAUAAAUUACGAGUUUUUGAAAUAGUUAAUUUUCUCACUUUACAAAAUAUUCACUUUUUUUAUGUGUCCGGAGAUCAAACCCCAAACCUUGUAUAUAUUAUGCAUUAUUCUUACCGACUGAGUUAAGAUCACGGGGCACAAUAUUUGGUAAGAAUAAUGCAUAAUAUUUAGAAGAUUAAUACCACCAACGUUUCUUUGUCCUCAAACUAAAUUGGGACGGGUAACCCGAUGGGUAACACGAACCCCGUGCUUAUUUCAGUUGUGUUCAUGUAUUGUCCCUUAUUUUUGUCCAUGUUUAUCUUACUGAUCAAGUCAAACCAGUGCCCUUGCGUUUGGGACAGGAUGUGUUACAAGAUCUGACCGAGUUUUAUACACCCCUAGGUAAAACCCAUUAUAGGUACAGUGACUAACUUAAAUGAUAUUUGAACAUCUAUUUAGUGACAACUUUCUCUCUCAUACUCACAUUAUUUUUUUACUUUAUCUCUCUAUUCCUUUGAUUUCCGUGCAAAUACCUACCUUUUCUCUGUAAAUUAUGGCUGUCAGAGAGUUGUUAACCAAAUUGAUUGUUCAAAUAACACUUCUCUUAACAUAUACAUUUUUUUUUAGAGGAAGCUUAACCUAUGCAUGUGAUGAGAGUAAAAUAAAAAUAUUUUUUUUUGUACCAGUUAACUAAUGGAGGCGAUAACAUUAUUGCAUUGAUUGCAUUUAGUUUUUAUGUUUAAAUGUAAUUUUGAUCUCUCUAUUUUUUAAUUCAGGUGUCAUAUACUCAGUCAAAGAAGCUUAUGAGUUGAUCUUUAAGUUUUAUUUAAUAUCAGAUUCUCCAUAGACAUCUUAGAAUAGUUUGGUUGCGUUAAAGUAACACUCUUUAUUUAGAGAUUGAUAAAUGACCGCCUUCAACUAUUGAUAAUUUGAUUUGUAGGGGUGUUUGUGAAUAUAAUAUCUCUUUUACACGCGGAAGGAUGUGUAAUAAAUGAAACAUCUAAUCCUUUGUUUUUUGACUCUCAUGUAUCACGUAAGUUAUAAUCGGACGAUUUGUCUUGAUUACAUUAGUUCUACUUUGUCAAACAAUACUCUAGUCAUGUUACUCAAUUUAUAAAUUUGGUUCCUCUUGAGAAAAAAAGUGAAGGAGUGUCUUCACUCAAUAUGGAUGGUUAGCUUGUGGAUUAUUUGGAAGCAACAUAAGAUAAACUUAAAGAUAUUCUUCUUAAUUUGAUGAAGCUUUUGAUGUGGUCUUGGAUUAAAAAUAAAGUUAUGGGAUUCUCCUACAAUUUCUAUCAAUUGAGUACUCAACCUCAGGUGUUUAGGUGUAACUACUCUUGGAUUCUUACUGUUUCUUUUGUUGGGUUAAUAGCGUCGUUAUGUUCCUGCCGUUUUCAGAGGAAAGGGUCUAAAUAAUUGGAAUUCGACAAUGAUGUAACUAUAGUGUGACCUAGAAUUAUUUCAUGCAAUAAUUAAACUCAUAUUCUUUCAAACAAUUCAUCAUUUGAGCGGUGCUCAUUAACCACUCGCGUUUAAUCAUUUCGUUAGAAAUAAACUUUUUGCUUAUUCAAAAAAAAAAUAAUUUAAAAACAAGAAUGAAAUAAACAAAUUAUAAUUUCUAAUUUCACUACGGUGAGUAACUUAAAUAGAAAUAAAUUAUUAUUUUAAAAUAAAUGAUGCCUGAUAGAUAUUUAUUUAAAAAUAAAAAUAAAAUGCUAUUUUAUGUUAUUUAGAUUUCUCAAAAAAAAAAAAAUGUUCUUUUAGAUUCACCAAUUCUCUAACAAAAAGAGAAUUCUACCAAAAAAAAAUUCACCAAUUAUUAGUAAUUUUACUAAAAUAUAUUUUAAUUUCAGUCAUGAAACUUAUCCAACCUAUUCCAAAAAGAAAACAAACUUAACAAACUUUUGCCAAAAAGAAAACAAACUUAUCCAACAUAUUGUCUUUUGACACAAGAAACUUAUGAUUGAGUUUUGAAAUUUAUUUCAAAAUCAAAUCCAGUAAAAUUAGACUCUAUCUCCAAUUUAAUUUGAGUUUUACCUGCUAAAUUUAAGGAAAAAAGGGAUAUACAUAUACACCACACAUACUAGUAUAUCGUAUUAUUUUUUUCAUUCUUUCUAAAUCAUGCCUAGUCAGCAAACACGCUAGUGGACAAUAGAAUUAUAUUUUUAGUUCAAAUCCAAAUGAUAACAGUGACUUUCGGCCUAAAAAAAAUAGAUAAAGGUAAGUUUAAAAUAUUAAAACAGUCCAAAUCCACUGUCCAUGCCCCCAACAAAACCGACGGCAAAUAACAAAAUUCUCAUAUUUCAACUUCUUAUUAUAUUUUCAAUUUGACUCUUCAAUCAUAAAUAAAAUCUGCAUCCACCUCAAACAAUAUUUUUUUUCUUUUGUUUUUAAAGGUUAAUUUUUUUGUGACAAAUAAUAUUAUUUGAUUAAUUAAAUUAUAAGCAACAACUAAGAUCUACCAAUCAAACGAAACAACUAUUUUUUUUAAAAUUUUUUGUACCAUUUUUAAUAUCUUUUUAUCUUUAUCAUUUUUUAGGAAUUAUCUAUAUCAAUUUUGUUUUUAUAGUUUUUUUCUUCACAAUUUUAAAUCAUAAGAACUCCUUUACCAAAUCAAAAACAAAGAACAUUAACACCUUUAUCAAGUCAUCAAAAUAAGAAACUCCUUAUUAUCCGAAAUCCAAAAUACAUUCCUUUAAAUGAUUUACUUCUUUUUCAAGAAUCAAAUCAAUCUUAUUAUAUUUUUCGAAUUAAUGGAUAAAUCCCUUAACUUUAGUAAUUUUAUUCUUAUCCCCUUUUUUUAUGAUUUUUAUGAAUUUGUUUUUUUAUUCUUAUCCAUCUCUCUACCAACUCCUUCUAUAAAUAUUUACCACCAAACCCCAUUCUUGUAUCACCUCUGUCACUCCCAAAACCCAAAACACUUUUUUUUCUCUCUCAAAAUUCACUCACUUUUCAAUGGCUUCAAGCAAUGGCAUCCCAACCACAGGCACUGGUCUCAUCGUCAGCUUCGGUGAGAUGCUGAUCGACUUUGUCCCAACAGUCUCCGGGGUCUCCCUCGCAGAAGCCCCCGGUUUCCUCAAAGCUCCCGGCGGUGCACCAGCGAACGUCGCCAUCGCUGUUUCCCGAUUAGGCGGUAAAGCUGCCUUUGUCGGGAAACUAGGCGAUGACGAGUUCGGUCACAUGCUUGCCGGGAUCUUAAAGGAAAACGGUGUGGUUGCCGAAGGUAUAACCUUUGACCAAGGUGCACGUACUGCUUUGGCGUUUGUUACUCUACGCGCCGAUGGAGAGCGUGAGUUUAUGUUUUAUAGAAAUCCAAGUGCUGACAUGCUUCUUAAACCUGAAGAACUCAAUCUCGAACUCAUCAGAUCUGUACGUAACAUAACAACUUUAUCUAUCUGUUAUGUUUUGUUUUUGUAUAGUACUUUGUUGUUUCGAUGUUAUUUUUGUUUGUUGUUGUUAUUUUCGUAUCUGUGUCUUGUUUGUAACGACUUCAAAUUCGUGUGUUGAGGUAAACGACAUUGACAUGUCAGCGUUUGUGUGUUCAUGUGGUGGGGUCCAUCAUUAGAUCUAGGACUAAUAUUACGUUAUGUAGCAGAGCUACCGAUACACGCUUUCAAAAUUUGUCUAAAUCCUAUGAUAUGGUUUUGAUUUUGUUUUGGUAGGUGGGGUUGUUGUUUGGUGUUAUUGUUACUAUGUGUAGAGUAAAUUACGGAUUCACCCUCUAAUCUUUUAGGAGUCACCCUAAAGUUGAUGAAGAUAAAGAGGCUUUUGAAUGAUGUUGACCAAUUUUGUCCUCAUGCUAAAUUAAUCUUUAAACCAUGUUUCUAUAUGGUAAAUUGGUCCUCAAAUUAUGCAGCUUAUUAGCAAAUUUAUUAGUAAGAUUGGUUGAACUCUUGAUCGAAUAGUAAGACUUAUUGGUCCAAUGAUAGAAACAAGUUUAUGCACUACCUAAUUGACCCUUUUACAUAUCUGCAAAAUUUAGAGAUGUUGGUCCCUAUAAUUUUAUGGACGAAUUGAUAAUUUACUCUUACUAUAAUUACUAUGUAGUAAUUUUUUACUCUCUCUUACACGUGCCAUUUGAUAGUUACCAUUACGUUGCAAAAAAAAAAAAAAAAACAGGAUUAGGAUGACGGAUCAUUUUUCGAUCCAGUUGAUUUUCUUUAAUGUUUCCUCAGAAUCCAACAAUAAUAGCAUACGACGAAAGCGUUGGUAGGUUUUAUCAGGAGCAAUUAUAUUUCAUAGGUGGUGUCCAAUUCUUUUUAUUCUUCUAGAAUUUAAAUAAUGCAACUUGUGGUUAUUCAAACAUUUAUAAAUAUAAAUUCGCAUGGUGUUUCACGCCGUGUUACAUCAUUGACUAGGUACAUUAUUUGGCAGCCUAUUCAUGCCAUGUGUAAUAAUCAAAUUCAAAUUUGCCUAGUGAACUAAAAAUUUGUUAAAAAAAUUCAUCAUUGUUAACGUUACUGCCUUGGUUGAAUUGUGUGAUUUACCAUUCGAGUAAUUAUGAAUGGGUUAGGUGACUAACUGAAACUUAAUUUUAAUUUGACAGGCUAAAGUUUUCCACUAUGGAUCCAUAAGCUUGAUUGUGGAGCCAUGUAGAUCAGCACACUUGAAGGCAUUGGAAGUUGCCAAAGAGGCUGGCUGCCUUCUCUCCUAUGAUCCUAACCUUCGCCUACCCUUGUGGCCCUCGGCCGAUGAAGCUCGCAAGCAAAUACUGAGUAUUUGGGAAAAGGCUGAUCUAAUUAAGGUUAGUGAUAAUGAGCUGGAGUUCCUCACUGGAAGUGACAAAAUUGAUGAUGCUACUGCUUUGACAUUGUGGCACCCAAAUUUGAAGUUGCUCCUUGUCACUCUUGGUGAACAUGGCGCAAGAUACUACACCAAGGUAAAAUCUAUAUCCCUACUCUUUAUUUACCUAUCACUUUUUGUACACUAUUGAUUGUUAAACUUUGUCUAAAAAUUGUAAACCAAAGAAUAUAUUUGUCUAGAAACACUAAUGAGUUUUUUUCCUGCCUCUUUUGCCAGAAUUUCCAUGGACAAGUAGAUGGAUUCAAAGUUAACACAGUUGAUACAACUGGUGCUGGUGAUUCUUUUGUUGGUGCUCUAUUGGCCAAGAUUGUUGAUGAUCAGGCCAUACUAGAAGUAAGUAUUUAGGGCUACCAGACCCCUUAAUAAACCUUCACAUUAGCUACUCAAAUUGAAAAACAUGUUUGAAUGAUUUUGUAUGUAAUUUUUUUCUAAUGUUCUCUAAAUGUCUGAGAAACACACUAUAAUGCUCCGUUUGAUUUUUUAUAACUGGUGAUUGAUUGAUUUUCACAAACUAAUUGCAGGAUGAAUCAAGGCUAAGAGAAGUACUCAAGUUUGCAAAUGCAUGUGGAGCAAUCACAACUACUAAAAAGGGAGCAAUUCCUGCUCUUCCCAAGGAGGAGGAUGUACUCAACCUGAUCAAAGCAUAGAUUCCUGCAUAUUUACUUUUCUUUCCAUUUUUUUUUUCCACCUUUUCAUUGUUGUUGCUCUUAAUCAAUUUAAGAGAGAAUUUGUCUCUAAUUUUCUUUGUUAUUUCUUUAUUUUCUGAAUCAGACAUCAAAAUUAUUGCCGAGUUUGGCCAAAUAAUGUUUAGGGAGUUUUGAUGAGUUAUUGAAUGAAAAUUUGAUUCAAGAGUAUUGCUGCUUCUUAAUCCAUAUUAUAUCUGUUAAAUUUUGCCUGUGUCCGAUUGUUUGACUGAGUGAUAUAUUAUUUGUUUUUCUUAGUGAAAAAGAAAAGAGAUUAGGUUCCCAACCAGUCGAUCUUACCUAUUUCAAAAUCAUUAGCACAAGAAAGGAGUGAUCUCUAAGCAAUGAUACACCAUUUGCAAUGAAUUAGUUGAUGUGAAUCAUCUUGAAUGUAGUGACUUGGCUGAACGUCUUGAUCUUAUUGGGUACCAAUUAUCAAUAUAACUGCACUUUCUCAAUCAACAUACCAUACAAGACAAUUUUUUUUUGUUCAAGAUUUUUGUUCAACAUAUAGAAUUACAUUCCAACAAAUAAAAGUUAUUUUCAGAUAAAUAUUUCCGCUUAUUUAAGUACAUACUGCUUUUUGAAGCAUGUUAGGUACUUUUGGGGACACCCUUUUGUUCUGCCUAGAUGCGGGACUCAAAUUUUGUUCUGUCUAGACGCGGGUACAACUAUAACACGAUAGCUUGAGGAUGACAUUCACUGACCUCCAUCUUUAAAGACUUCCAAACUUUUGGACAUCUUUCCCAUUUUGCCUGCAUGUGAGCUAGAAAAGCUUCUGCCCAUUGUUCUUUACUCCCUCUAGUGCUUAAAUCAUAAGGCACUGAAAAACUGUUCAAACAUGAUUAGAAUAUCAGCAAUAUGCUUAUUGACUGAACAAAGAACUCAGGAUGUGGAUUACUGUGUAUAGACGGAUACACUACAAGUCUACAACUAAAGUCCACCCAUAUGGAACUCGAAUAUCAACUAAGCCACAUCUCGUGAUUCAAUUGUCAAACAUUCUGAUGAACAAAAUGAUAUGUACAAAAAUCCACAAGUAGUAUUCACCUUAGCAGUUCUUCAGUUUGACUUCCUUUGUUGAGAUUACUAUUCCUGCAAGUGCUCAAAUUUUAAUAUAGUCAAUUUGUGUUGAAAUGCUUGAUAAGAAAAAAAAAAAAUGAAACAAUGAUGUGAUCUCAAUUCCCGAGUAUGGUUGAAUAGUUAUCAAGCAUGACCACAACCACAACUCUUUGAUUGGUAAAAUAAUCACAUACACACUAAAAGCGGAUAUCAUAGUAUCUUGUUAUGUCCUUUUAACUCCUUUCUUGGCCUUAUUUACCAUUUUUCUUACUUUAGGCUUCAGAGAAUGCCUUUUUUAUGGAACACACCACAUGCUGGAGAAUUUAAUACAACAAUUUCUACAUCACACCAAUAGCAGCAUUUUCAUAAAACAAACCUGCAGACAAACACUUGGAAAAUAUGAAGAUAUUUGGUUGAAAGGUUAUAAACUGCAUCAGAAAUAUGAUCUUUGCCGAACAGAUACACCACUGGAUAGCCUAGAAGCCAUCUGAAACAAAUAAAUACACUAAAAUGAGAUAGGCGACCGCAAAUUAGAUGUUUAAUAAGGAACAAAAAACAAUGUGCUAUUCUAUGGAACAACCAUAAAGGAGUUCUACGUUGAUAUGGAUCCCGGUACGAGAUUUAAAUUUUAAAGGAAAAAAUUCCAAUUCCUCCGUGCUAACAAGUCUAUAUGAUUAGACUGUGACAUACCUACAUCCACAACAGGGGACAGUACUAACAUAAACACACAGUGGCUUUCAGGGUAAAUAUAACAGCAUGGCCAGCCAUUUUUAUUCUAAACAUCCCACUCCUGGAAAGAACCAAGUAUGAUAUGGUUGAUAUGAACAGGAUUGAAAUCACCAAGUUCCCAUUCCCCAAAGAGUUAGGAAUUUGGCAUAGAUGAACUAGCCACCCAGCAGGAAAAAAUGUAUAAGCUUUAUAAUAGUACUAGAUGUGAUCUAAGUAACAUUACUUGUUAAUUCCCACAGACUCUUAACAUCAUUGAACAUUUAUAAAGACAUGGAAAAUGGAGUUUUAGUGCAGCUAUGUAUGUAACAACCAACAAGAAUUCAAGUGUGAGUGUCUUCCUUCCACAGAAAAUGGGGACAAAGCUAAUAACCUCGUUCACUGUAUAAAUCUGCAGCUACAUCAUUUAGUGAAACCAAUAUAACUAAUAUAGUAAAGUAAAAAAAAAGGUAAGGUGAUAUGUAUCUAGCUCCUCUAAAGUUAACAAUUGAAUUAAUAUAGUAAAGUAAACAAUCUUAGUCGUUGACCAAUUUUUUCUUUGUUCCACUAUCCGAACAUGCAUAACAAAUCAUCAAUUGUAUAGUGAGAGAUGUCUCUCAUUUAUAUAAACAUGUUUUUAGGCCAUAUCUCAUUUAAUGUGGGACUCUCAACACCUCCUUCACACCCAAGAUAGAACAUCUGAAGCGUGACCUGAAUGACUCGAUAGCGGAUAUCCCAACGGAUCUUGAACAAACUCUGAUACCAUCUUAGGAAUCAGAGGUUUAGGAAAAUGAGAGAAAGUUUAAGCCUUAGAGGCUAAGGAAUUAUAUUAACAAAGAUGGUGAAAUUGAUAGAAUGAGCUCUUACUGUAUAUAGAGCAACUAACUAUCUAGAGAUCCGGGACUGUGGAAGGCAGUCUGGAAAAUAAAUGUUCCCAGUUGUGUCUAUCUCUCUCCAAAUUGCAACAAAUGGAAAAAGUUAUAAAUGGAGAGGAUCUUAACCCGCUCAAGACAUGUCCAAACAGUUAGAGCUGCUCCUGACAGAUGAGAAUGUCCUGAACAUGGCUGCAAAAGUGAACAUUGACGUUCGGUGCUUCAUAAAUGGAACUACAGGAUGGAGAAUGACUGUUAGAACUUAGAACACAUAGUGGGACUGUUGAGUUUGCUGCAACUCACUUGGAAAAGAUCAAAGUUUCCCCAAACUUAGCUGAGGCUAUGGCAUUGAGUAGGUGCCUACAGUGGAUCCAAACAACAACUUAAAAUGAGCACAUAAUCAUUGAGUCUGACUGAGGAGUGAUUGUCAAAUGUUUACAUGGAAGAUUAAAUGAUGCUUCUGUUGCAAAAGUAAUCACAGACAGUUUGAAUUUCUGUCUAGUUUGGCAAAUGGAAAAGUAGUUUUUGUUAGCAAAAGUAGAAACGCUGCUGUUCUUGAACUAGUAUCUAUUGCUAGGCAACAUGUUUCCAAAUCGUGGGUGGGCUGUGCCCCUAAACCUGUAGCAAAUAUUGCUGGUAAUGAUUCUCUUGUUUGUCUUUGAAUGAAAGUUUUUUGCUGUAGAAAAACAAACUAAAUACCUAACUGAAGCAUUACUAAAUGUAAUCAACUAAUAUAUUUCAUAUUCUAUAGCGAAAGAAGUGAAAUACAGAAAAGGAGAAAAACACAUUGACAUAAGCAUAUAUAUUACCGGAGAGGAAUUACCCAUUCAAUGUUGGCACUAAGAUGUCAGUGUUUUCCAUACAAUAACUAAGAUCAAUGCACUCAGUAGAAGAACAGUGGGAACAAUGAGCAGAAGAGUUAGCAUCAUCCUUUAAUUUUUCCUCCCCAUUAGAGGAAAAAACCGUUGAAAACAGCUUCUGAAUUGACACCAUCUGCAUAGCUAAUUGGCUUUUCUCUAUUUCCGUUAUCAACUAAACACAAAAUUAACCAAACAUUCCAUUAGGAAUAAACACAUGAAAUUGAGUAAGAUUCUGUUCGGUAAAAAAUUGUGGAUAAAAGCAGCGGUUGAAUUAGGUUAUAAAUAUGAGAUGACAAAAGAAGUAUGCUUAAUUAAUAUUUAAUUUUUUUCAAUUAAGAUAACAAGGGCAAAAUUGAGAGAAAAAUGUGAGUUAUAAGCUUUAAGUUACUUGGAUUAGCUUAUCAAAAAACAUCAGCUAACAAAAAUAAGCUAUAAGCUAGUGAAAAAAAUGACAGUUAUCAAACCGGUCAUUUUAGUAGUAUGAGCUUAUAAGCUAUAAGCUAUCAACUAUAAGCUAGUUUGUUGUGCUUGCCGAACAUACUAGUAUAAGCUACUGUAUCAUAUACGUGCUUAUGUAUCAGCUAUUUCCAUUACAUAGAUAAAAUAAAGUCAGAAUAUUUUUAUCUAAGCAAGUUAUUUCUAUAAGCUAUCCUGAAAAGCUUAUGAAAUAAGCUAAAAACAGCUUAAGAACAUGUCAUAAUUAAUUUCUAUAAGCUAAUUCCAAAAAAGUCUUCAAAUAUUUAUGGCAGUAAAUAAACAAAAAUAUGUUAAUCUACCUGUGGGGAUUCAUGUUCAAGAUCAACAAAGAGCAAUUUCGAAUCCAAAGACGAAUUAACAAAAUGAGUUAACUCAGUUACAUGAAUGAAGUAAAUCAUUUCUUGUAUAACCAUUAAUCUUAAUUGUUGAAAAAUUUGGGAUUGAUUUUGAGCAAGUUGAAGAAGUGAAGAGAGUUGGUGUUGAAGUUGAGGCAUGAUUCCACCGUAAUCGAUCAUAACUACGGGUCUCAUUCUUGUGAUUAAGGCAAUGAUAUCUGUGAUGCGUGAAAUUGAAUUGAAUGUAAAAAAUAGAAUUGAUUGAAGAAAAUUGAAAGAGAUGAAGUGUGAGGUACCUAAUUGUAAACGACGUUUUGAAGAAGAUUUGAGGCUCCAAUUCAUUUGAGAUAAACAUGAAUCUAUUGUUUUCAUGGCUUCAUCCAACUCUAUCGCUUCCAUUUUCUUCUUCUACUUCUGAUUCAAUGUCAGUGCCGCGUUCUUCUUCUUCAACUUUUUUUGGGGGGUCAAAAUGGAACAUAGCAUAUGUUUGGUUCAAGGUAGAGAAUAAUUGAUUUGGAAUAAAUUGAUUCUUCACUAAAAAUAAGUUAUGUUUGGAUAAAUUUAUGGAAAAGUGAGGUGAAUUAUAAAUUUUUCUUUAAAUAUCAAUUUUAAAUAAAAAAUUAUGAAUUUUAGCUUCAAGUAGAAUUAAUUUUAAAUACAAAAUUAAUUGUAUUAGAAAGGAACCAAACAUAUUAGAAUCAACUAUAUGUCUUCAAAAUAAAAUUUGAACCUUCUAGAAGUUAGAAGUGGAACCAAAACGAGUUUAAGCAAAUAAAUAAGUUUGUACGUAUUAUUCAUAAGUUUGUCAAGGUAGUUUUUAUUAUUAUAAUAAAACAGCUUAUGAAGAUGCAAAUUUCGUUAGUGAGAACUAAUGAAUUGACAUAAAAACUUAUUGAUUUACAUAAACUGCUUUUCAUAAGCUUAAAAAUAAGUCAAUCCAAACGAGUCCUUAGUAUUUGAGUUUGAGAUAGACCAUAGGUCAAGGUCUAAUGGUUAUUCUUACUCCCUCAUUUUCUAUAACACACCAAGUCACAAACCACUUCGAGAUUUUAUAAUCAUAACUUUUUUUGUUCCCUUUUGUUUUCUUUUACACACUCACUGUAAUGAUCUCAAGGAGGUGCUCCAAAGUAUUCUCACAAUUUAAUAUUUUGAAUUUACUAUAAGACUAAUCCUCAACUCACCAGCAAUUUUUUUCCUUUUGUUUCAAAAGCGAUUCUAAGAAUCAAACUCUUUUUUUUUUUCCUUUAUGGAAGAGAGUCGUACUACCAACUAUUCUAACAUGAUUUUGAUAUCAAAAAGUAGAUUUUUAUAAGUUCUUACAAUGAACCGUCAUGGAACAAUGCUCCAGGAUCAUUUAAAACUUCAAUUGUGACUCGUGUAGGCCCAGAAGUAGAGUUCACAAUCAUCCUAGUUGUAAUUGUUUUUUUUUUGGUAACAAAGCUAAUAACAAAGAAAAAGCUGAAAGUAAAAAUACAGAAACAGAAACUAUGCUCUAGGAAACAGAGUUCCUAUGGCAUCAAAGCGAAUCAAAUCCAAAAGCUCAUGAGGUGGUGUGGCGUGGAAUAAGCACUCUUCAUUAGAUGAAGCUCCUAACUUGGCCAAAUAGUCCGCGCAUUGGUUUCCCUCACGGAGACUGUCAUACCCCAAUUUUGGACCGUUUAAAAUCUCUUGUCCGUAUUUUAAAAUGGUUCACGUUCCCUUUUUAUUCGUUUUUUUUACCAUUUAAAAUUCGGGUUUCUUGUCUUUAGUCAUUCAAAAAGUUUUUAUUUUUACAUUUUAAUCAACGUUCGCAUUUCACAACAAUUAAAAACCGUCUCACUUUCGUUUUUACGACGCAUAGUUUUUUUUACCGUAACGAUCACGUCAAAAAAGAGAAGGCCUAAUCGCUUUUUUUUAAAAAAAAGGCGUCUUUUCUUAUUAAUCAUUUCAAUCGAAAUUUCGGCAGGGAGGAUACUUUGAAGUACCUCAUGUCAGAUUCCGAAGGGACUUUUUAUUUUUUUAUUAUUUUUUUUAUUUUUAUUUUAUUAUUAUUUUUUUAUUUGUCUUUUUUAGUUUGUUUAUUAUUGUUUUAUUUUAUUAUUUUUAUUUUUUUAUAAAAAAAAAACACAACAAAGAAAAGAAGAAGACAUACGUCUUCCCUUUCUUCUUUUUCUUUUGCUUUUCUUUUUCUUUUUCUUUUUAUUCAUUCUUUUUAUUUUUAUUUAUUUAUUUAUUUGUUAAGCCUUUGUCCCCAAGUCUCAGCUGCAGGGGCAUUUUGGUUUUUGUUUUGUACCAGAGCCAACCCUAGUUUGUCACUAUAAAAACCCUGUCAAUCAUUGGGAAAUGGGCCAGAAGUCACUGUUCACGUCAAAAAAUCAGCAGCAAUUCACAAACACUCAUUUUCUACUUUUCCAACCCUUUUUCAGAUCAAACACUAAAAAUUACAAAGAAAUAACAUGAACACAUGAAGAACAUUCAUAUAUUCAUCAAAAUCCAGCAAUACCAAAACUUUACUAAAACCUCAAAACUAUUCAUAUAACCACACAAAUCACAAACAAGCAACCACAACACAACCGGACCGGAGCAACAACAACACAACCGGACCGGAGCAACAACAACACAACCGAACCAGAACAGCAAGCAGGCCGAACCGGAGCAGAAAGCGGAACCGGACCGUAAGGGAGCAGAAACGAACCGGAAGGAAAGAAGGGGACCGGAAAAAGAGGUAAAAAUUUCACAUUUUCAUUUGUAGAUCUAGGAUUUUUGGUGUAUGGUUUCGAAAUUUUGAGCUUGGAUUCGAGUAGAGGAGGGGAAGAGGAGUAUUUUGAUGUAAAAUUUUUUCGAGAAAAGCAAAAAAAAACUCCGGCGCGGCGGCGCUCCGGCCGGCCACCACGCCGGAGUUGCUCCGGCCGCCCCUCCCCCACCUUCUUCUCCGGCGAGAUUCCUAGAGAGAAGUGGGAGCUUCUCUCUCUAGGUUUUUAGAAAGAGGUUUUUUUUGUGAUUUGUGUUAUGUUUUUUUGUUAAAACUCUUUUAUAGUGUUUCUUUUUUUGGUUUGAUCUUGUGCACAUGCGCAUACUGCAAUUCAGUGCUCCAUCGCGUUACACCCCUUGGAUCUGGAUCAUUCCUUGAUCUGAGGGCUCCUGUGUAUCUUGAUUUUGGAUCAAGUGGAUUUUCUUUCUGCGUGAGUAUGGUGUGGUUUCUGUUUGGACCAUCAGAUCGUUGAUCUGACGGUCACUGUGUUUUCAGUAUAAUCCCUUUGUUUCUAUGUUGUUUUUGUGACCGUUGGAUCUUAGAUCCUAUGGCUAUGAUGAAUCCAGGGGUUUGAACUUGGACCAUUGAUUUAAUCCAAUGAUCCAGAAUUAAUCCUGCUGAGCCAUUUGUUUAUUAUUUUUAUUUGUUAUUGUUUUUACUUUUUAAAUGCUGUUUUUUAUUCUCUUUGACAUUUUUACGUUUAGAAAAAAUUCCAAAAAAUGUUUUUCUCACUAUUUUUAAUUUUCUAUCAUUGUUAAAAAUCCAUCCUUUUUUUUCCCUUUUAAUUUGUUUUUUUUUUUUUUUUUUAUUAUUAUUUCUUAUAUGAUGAUCUUAAAUUUUUUAUUAUCUUAAUUCUUGCUUAUUAUUUCUUAUGUCUCAUUCAUCAUAAUAUUCCUUGUGAUUACUAACCAUUUAAUUUUUGUCUUAAAUCAUAGCAUGCAUAUUCAAUUUUCUCAUCAUUUUAUUUUGUCAUUGACUUAGUAUGUAUAAAUAGGGAAUUGAUGUAAUUUUAUUUCUUGCAUUUUAUUUUGGCAUAAAGGCCUUAGGGUUGUAUUUAGGAAUUGAUGUAAUAAUGUAGGUAACACAAGCACCGACACAUGCACCGACACUACCACAUUUUAUUUACCGCUUUCCGUUAGUUUUUUACGACGUUACGUUAGUUUUCACCGUUAGUUUAGAAAAAUCAUUUUUCACAAAAAAAAUCAAAUAUGUCAAAUUCAAAAAAUAUUUUUUCUUAGCAACAUUUUCCCUUUAUUUUCUUAAUCAAAUUUUUAAUCAAUUUUAAUUCAACUUCAAUCAUUUUCAAAAUUUAAAAUCAAUCAACCUCACUCAUUUCUUUUAUCUCAUGCCUUGAGGCCUCUUUCUCUUCUUAAAACCAUUUUCAAAAAUCUUAAAAUCAACCUAACCCACCAAAGAAAUUUUUGAGUGGAACUACGUCGGUUUUGAUCCCUUUCCCAAAAAGGGUACGUAGGCAGAGGACUCGUCCUUCCAAAUCAAAUAAAAAUAACCAAAAACAUACUUCUUCUCCCUCCAUUCUUUCACUUAGACAUUAGGCAAUAAUUUUUCAAAUAAACAAGUAGUUUAGCACAAGAUAAUCUAGGUAAGAGGUUCCUAUGGAAUACCAUAGUCGUUUAGGGUGCUUAACACCUUCCCUAUUCGAAACCAACCCCCGAAUCCAAAGUCUCGAUAAGGGUUUUUACUCAUUUUUUCCCUUCCCAAGAAUAAAAAUCGAGAGUUCAAAGAUUGACGAUUCAAAUCAAUUAAUGGUUUGAUAUCCGAAAAUCGCGAGCACAGAAAUGGCGACUUCACUGGGGAUCUUAGAUCCUACGCGGGUUAAACCCACCUUACUUUCUUUAUUUUAUGCUUUAUUACUUGUUUAUACUUUGUAAAUAUUUGCUUACAUGUUUACCUUAUUACGUGAGGGGUGAGAAAAUAAGCUCUACACCCGAGCUUGAGGGAAAUAUAAGAUAGGAGUGGUAGACUCAUAGUGGCAUACCGAGAGUAUACUCGUGUCUUGUCACACGUGAGAUAACCACACUUAGCAAAGGAGCUUGAAGUAAUGUAUGUCGACGUGUGUUUUCACGUUUUAGACUUUAUUACUCUUAAGUUUCCAAUGAAGCUAAGAACCUUUUAGUAACCCUUAACCCAUCUUGGCCUUUUAGGAUGUAGUGCGGUGGCUAACCGAGUGUUUUUUCGGAAUUAGUCGACACGCGAUACUACACUCAAAUGAGACUUUCCUACGAACGUUGUUGGACCGGGUGUUUUCUCGGUAUCCGAUAAUAUUCGGAAGUGGUCAAUGACUUUGGGAACCUCGGUAGAACCCUUGUUACAAGUGCAAUUUAAACCAUAGUCCUUACCAAAUGGCGUUGUUACGUGGAACUUACCCUCACCUUGUAUUCUAUGUACUUGAGCAUUAUCAUACAUACAUGCAUUCAUUCAUAAACAUAUUUUCUCAUCCAUUAAAAUAUUGAAGGACUUAUAUAGGUUUUUUAUAAACAUCAUAGGUUAUGGAGGUUGUUGGAAGGAGGACCCACGGGUAUAAAUUCAAGGCACCGGAUACAGAGAGUUUAGAGGGUUUGAGGGGUUUGACGAAGAUGUUGAAAAAUCCGGGUCAUUUUCAGGAGCGGUACGGUAAUUUACUCGAUAUUCUCAAGACAAAAGUGGAUGUAAUGCUUCUCAAUACUUUGGUCCAGUUCUAUGAUCCGAUUUACCAUGGCUUCACAUUCCCAGACUUUCAGCUCUUCCCAACUCUAGAGGAGUAUUCCCAUUGGGUUGGUUUACCGGUGCUCGAUGAAGUACCCUUUCAUGCCUUUGGGCCCAUUCCUAAAAUCCCUACCAUCGCAAAAGCCCUUCACCUUGAAGUAGCCGACAUAAAAGACAAGUUCACAACCAAAGACGGUCUCCCAUGCUUACCUUACAACUUCCUUCACCAAAAGGCCACCACUUGUUUCGAGAAAUCCAAAACCGAUGAUUUUGAGUCUAUCCUUGCCCUGCUUAUCUAUGGCAUAGUCCUCUUCCCGAAAGUUGACAAGUUUGUUGACAUGAAUGCCAUACGGAUCUUCUUAACCCAAAACCCGGUUCCUGUUUUACUCGCUGACACGUAUGUCGCUAUUCAUGAUCGCACUAGUCAUGGAAAGGGGACCAUCGUCUGUUGUACACCUUUACUCCACCGCUGGAUUACUUCACACUUACCCCGUCCCAGUAUUAGACCAGAACCCAUCCCUUGGUCCCAAAAGCUCAUGACUUGGACCCCAAAGGACAUAAUCUGGUUCAACCCAUCUUGUGGCCCAGAGUUUAUUAUUGACAGUUGUGGUGACUUCAACAAUGUACCUCUUCUUGGUACGCAGGGAGGAAUUAGCUACAGCCCAAUUCUUGCGAGACGACAGUUUGGGUAUUAUAUGGAGAUGAAGCCUGUGUACCUCAUCCUAGAUAGGGAUUUCUUCCUCUACAAAAAAGAUGAUGCAAAUCAAAGAGUGCAGUUCGAGAAAGCUUGGCAUUCCAUCGUCAAGAAAGAUAAGAAUCAGUUAGGAAAGAGAUCGGUUAUCGCCCAUGAAGUUUAUGUCCAAUGGGUUAUUGAUCGAGCCAAUAAAUUGAAGAUGCCAUACCCACGACAAAGGAUCGCAACAUCAACCGUCCCAGCUAUACCUUUACCUUUACCUCCCGAGUCCUUAGAAGGGUAUCAAAAGCAGUUGGAUAUCGAAAGGCGUGAGAAGUCCAUGUGGGAAAUGAAGUACCGCAAGAAGGAUCAGGAGUAUGAGACUGUGAUGGCCUUACUAGAGCAAGAAGCCUAUGAUAGCCACAAGAAAGAUGUGAUAAUCGCCCAGCUGAAAAAGAGUAUCAAGGAGAAAGAUGCCGCGCUGGAUCAAAUUCCCGGGCGGAAGAAGAAACGCAUGGAUCUCUUUGAUGGGCCGCAUUCUGAUUUUGAGGAGUAGCUUGGUUCAGAGGCUUGAGAGUCUUUCAGUUUGUUUUUGAUGUUUUUGUGUAGUUACGGAGUCUAUCCCUUGGCUCAUUUUGUUGAAAGGGAAUUAUCUUGUUUUAUUUUGAAAGUUUAUCCCUUGGCUUUGUUGUUAGAAAGGGAAUUAUCUUGUUUUACUUUGAAAGUUUAUCCCUUGGCUUUGUUGUUAGAAAGGGAAUUAUCUUGUAAUCAACUUUGUUUUUUAUGAUUUGUUUAGGUUGGUAUGUUUACAAAACUGCUUCUAUAGGUCCUUCAAUAAAAAAAUAUAUAUAUAUAAAAAUUGCAUAUUUUUGGCAUAUAGCAUAUCAUGCAUCAUAUUGCAUUCAUAAAAAGUAUCAAAAACCAAGUCUCAUGCUCUCCUCAUUUCUGCCUCAGAAAAGAAAAGUGGCCCGGCGUAUUCAGUACAAACCCGCUCGCAUUCACAACACUCAAGCUCAUAUCAAGAAAAGGAUGUUAGCGGCAGAACAGGAAAACGCUCAGCUCAGAGAGGAACUGGUUAACCUCAAGGGGGAGAUGGAAAGAAUGGCACUUAUGAUGGAAACUAUGAUGGCUGAGAGAGAGCAAGCAGCAAUCUCCAAUUCAACUCCUGUUGUGGUCGUCACAGCUGCACCUGAGGGUCCCCCGCAACCAUCUCCGACUACUACUACAACUAUCGGCCUCACCCAGCCUCUGAUGACUGAUUUUUCUUCUGGUAAUAUGGCAACUAUGGGCAACUCAGGCUUCCGUCCUCUUGGCCCCCAGGGUCCCUUUGCUACUCCUCAGUAUUCCAUGCCUUCAGGCUACCCUUGGGGCAUGCCGAUUGCAACCAACGGGGGUUUUGGUCCAGGCGCUACUGAAAUGCCUUUCGCACAGGGUCAACAGACUUCGGCACAUUUCCAGAUGAGUCAACCGAUUCCUCAAGCUACCAUGACUCAAGCAGGUCCUACUGUGCAUGUUGGGCCACAACAUGAAGAACAGAUUUAUCACUCCGACAGUAUAAUGGGGGAUGAUAAAGCAAUCGAUUGGGAAGAAAGGUUCGGUGCUCUAGAGAAGAAGAUGAGUAAUAUGCGGGGAAAGGAAACAGUCGUCCAAAGCAUAUAUGACCUUUGCUUGGUACCAGAUGUAAACAUACCUCCAAAGUUCAAGAUGCCUGUAUUUGAGAAGUAUCAAGGGGACACAUGUCCACAAAAUCAUCUAACUAUGUAUAUUAGCAAGAUGAUAGCUUACAAGAAUAAUGUUCCCUUACUCAUUCACUGCUUCCAGGAUAGUUUGACUGGUCCGGCACAUACCUGGUUCAUGGGAUUGAAAGGAGUCACUACUUUUGAACAGUUGGCUGAGGCCUUCAUGCAACAGUACAAAUAUAAUACCUAUCUGGCGCCAAGUCGCAAGGAGUUGCAGUCCUUAACCCAGAAAGAUAAAGAAUCGUUCAAAGAAUACGCACAACGCUUCAUUCAAAAAGCUGCUCAGAUUCGUCCUCCCUUGGAUGAGAGGGAACUUUCAGAAUUGUUCUAUGAAACCCUGAGCCCUUGUUAUUCAGAAAAGAUGAUUGUCUGUGCAUCACAGAAGUUCACUGAUUUGGUGGAAACAGGAAUGCGCAUCGAGGAGUGGGCUCGUAAGGGAGCAGCUGUUUCGGGAGGUUCUUCAGGUGGUUCUUCAGGGGUUUCGUCCAAUGGUAAUAAGAAAUUUGGGAAUGGUUACCCAAAGAGGAAUGCCCAAGAGGUUAGCAUGGUGGCUCAUGGAGGACCUCAGCCCGUGUACCCUAAUCACCCCUUUGUUGCCAACAUCACCCCACAAAUGACCGCGCCCCAGAACCCAAACUAUCAAUCACCCAGACCUCAAGGACCUACACCAUACUACCCCCCAUUAUACCAACCACUAUACAACCUACAACAAUUCCCUCAACAACCAUAUUACCCCCAACAACCAUACCAACAAAGACCACAGCAACAACCCCGUCCUCAGGCUCCUUACAAUCAGCAGAAUCAAAGGCAACAAUUUGACCCCUUGCCAAUGACCUAUGGAGCAUUGCUCCCUUCUUUACUUGCACAGAAUCUGGUCCAAACAAUACCACCUCCUCGCAUUCCAGACCCUCUCCCACGCUGGUACCGUCCGGACCUUCAUUGUAUUUACCAUCAAGGGGCACCAGGCCACGAUGUGGAGCGUUGUUUUGCUCUUAAGAAAGAGGUUCAGAAACUGAUAAAUAGUAAAGAGUUAACCUUCACCGACCCUGAUGCUGUAGCUCAGAACAAUCCUCUGCCUACUCAUGGGCCUGCUGUUAAUAUGAUUCAAGAAGAUCAGGAAGAGGCUCGCAUUCUCUCUGUAGGUGAUAUCAAGACUCCUCUGGUACCGAUACAUGUGAAAAUGUGUAAAGCAACUCUCUUCAACCACAAUCAUGAAGCUUGUGACAUAUGUUCGAUGGAUCCUCGUGGAUGUAUACAAGUCCAGAAUGAUAUGCAGGGUCUCCUAAAUAGAAGGGAACUUGUGGUUACAAGGGAACCCGAGAGCAAGGACGUCUGUGUUGUCACUCCGGUAUUCAGAGCCAGGAGGCCGCUGGUGAUAAACCCUAACAGUACAAAGCCUGUUGGUACUCCCUUGGUAAUCUGUGUGCCUAGGCCCACGCCUACUACUGCUCAGAAAGCUGUACCCUAUAAGUACGAAGGCACGAUUCUUGAGCCCGGAAGUGAGACAACUUCACCUGUUGCUGUGGAUAAUAUCGCAGAGAAUAGCCGGAUUUUGAGGAGUGGCCGCAUGUUUCCUACGGUGGGUCCGAAGAGUGUUAGUGUUCCAGUCGAUGAGCCAGUAAAAGAGCAAAACGCCGGUAAAGGUAAAGCUGGGGAGCAAGCCAAAGAGUUUGACUUUGAUGAUGCCGAUGAAGUCUUGAAGCUGAUCAAGAAGAGUGAAUACAGGGUGGUGGACCAGCUGUUACAAACUCCUGCGAAGAUUUCCAUCAUGGCCCUGUUAUCAAGUUCUGGUGCUCAUCGGGAUGCCCUGAGGAAAGUACUAGACCAGGCAUUUGUGGAUUAUGAUGUAACUCUGGGUCAAUUCGAAAGCAUUGUGGGGAAUGUGACCGUGUGUAACAGUCUGACUUUCAGUGAUGAGGAUCUCCCGGCGGAGGGGAAUAAGCAUAAUCAAGCAUUAUUCAUCUCUGUACUUUGCAGAACGGACUCGUUAUCCAACGUCCUGAUAGAUACCGGCUCUGCACUUAAUGUGAUGCCCAAGUCAACUUUCGACCAAUUGGCGUACUCCGAGGCUCCUUUGAGACUUAGCAAGGUGACAGUAAGGGCCUUCGAUGGAACUAGGAGAUCGGUGUAUGGUGAGGUAGAUUUGCCAAUUUCGGUCGGCCCACAUGAAUUUCAGGUUACUUUCCAAGUCAUGGAAAUCCAGGCUUCUUUCAGCUGUUUGCUCGGCAGACCUUGGAUUCAUGACGCUGGGGCUGUGACAUCUACUCUCCAUCAGAAAUUGAAGUUCGUAAGUCGUGGAAAGUUGAUCACUGUGAGUGGCGAAUCGGCCUUUUUAAUCAGCAAUUUGUCUGCUUUCUCUGUUAUCGGUGGUAGUGGUUCAGACGGGCCAUCAUUCCAAGGAUUCUCUGCCGAAGAAAGUGUCGGUAAGAUUGAGACUUGUAUGGCUUCGUUGAAGGAUGCCCGGAGAGUAAUUCAGGAAGGCAAGACCGAAGGCUGGGGUCAGCUAGUGGAGUUGCCAGAAAAUAAGCGUAAAGAGGGAAUUGGUUUCCUUAACAGUAAGCCUGGGAUGUUCGACCCUACCAGAGGUUCUUUCCACAGUGCUGGUUUCAUUCAUGAUUCGCCAGAGACUAAUGCAAUUUUAGAUGAUGCACCUGGAGGAGUGACACCGGUCUUUGUGACGCCUGGAGGAGCUUGCUGCAACUGGAUUGCUGUUGACAUUCCUUCUGUGACACCCCGCUCUAAGUAAUGUGUUUGUCUUGUCUCUUGUUGUUUUUUGUUUUUAAGAAAACUCCUUUCGUUCUGCCCAAGGCGAAAGUGAAAUCAUGUAGGGCUUUGUUUUGAUUCUAGUACUUUUAUUACAAAUAAAAAUCGUCGUUUCUAUCACGGCCUUUAUUACUUUUUAUUUUUUGUUACUUUUUCUGGAAAAAAUGGUAAUACAAAAAUCCAAAAAAAUCAUUCUCUUUUUCUUUUAAAUUUCAAAACCAAAGGUCUGCAUUUACUCAUUAAAAUCAAUCAUGAAUCAUGUGCAGACUGAACAUAAGUGAAUCCGUUGAACACAGUGACCCCAUGCUUUCUCCCAACUUUGAGGUCCCGGUUUACGAGGCUGUGGCAGAGGAGGAUGAGGAGAUCCCGAAUGAGAUCAAAUGGAUGUUGGAACAAGAAAGGAAGACAAUUCAACCUCAUCAGGAGGAGAUAGACAUCAUCAAUCUGGGUACUGAGGAAGACAAGAAAGAAAUCAAGAUUGGGGCAUCGUUGGAUGUAUCUGUCAAGAAAAGAGUAAUUGAGCUUAUCAGAGAAUAUGUUGAUAUAUUCGCAUGGUCAUACAAAGACAUGCCGGGUCUAGACCCUGAGGUCGUUGAACACAGACUGCCUUUGAAGCCUGAGUGUCCUCCGGUAAAGCAGAAAUUGAGAAGAUCUCAUCCUGAUAUGGCCCUCAAGAUCAAAGAGGAAGUACGAAAGCAAAUUGAUGCAGGUUUCCUAGUCACAUCAGAGUAUCCUCAAUGGUUGGCCAACAUAGUGCCUGUUCCAAAGAAAGAUGGCAAAGUCAGAAUGUGUGUUGAUUAUCGGGACUUGAACAAGGCUAGUCCGAAGGAUAAUUUUCCUUUACCUCACAUUGAUGUAUUGGUUGAUAAUACUGCUAAGUGCAAGGUUUUCUCCUUCAUGGACGGUUUCUCCGGCUACAAUCAGAUCAGGAUGGCUCCUGAGGAUAGAUAAAAGACGUCUUUCAUCACGCCCUGGGGUGCUUUCUGCUAUGUGGUGAUGCCAUUUGGUUUGAUAAAUGCUGGUGCCACUUACCAAAGGGGUAUGACCAAAAUCUUUCAUGAUAUGAUUCACAAAGAAAUUGAGGUCUACGUAGAUGAUAUGAUUGUUAAGUCUGGCACAGAAGAAGAACAUGUUGAGUAUUUGUUGAAGAUGUUUCAGCGGUUGAGAAAGUACAAGCUCCGGUUGAAUCCUAACAAAUGUACUUUCGGUGUCAGAUCUGGUAAACUCCUAGGCUUUAUCGUCAGUCAAAAGGGUAUUGAAGUUGAUCCCGACAAGGUCAGAGCCAUCAGAGAAAUGCCUGUUCCAAAGACAGAGAAGCAAGUCAGAGGUUUUCUUGGUAGACUCAAUUAUAUCUCCAGAUUUAUCUCUCACAUGACCGCCACGUGUGGACCAAUUUUCAAGUUACUCCGCAAGGAUCAAGGGGUGAAGUGGAAUGAUGAUUGUCAGAAGGCUUUUGAUCAAAUCAAAGAAUAUCUGUUAGAACCUCCAAUUCUUGUUCCUCCAGUUGACGGAAGACCUUUGAUCAUGUAUUUAACAGUACUAGAAGAUUCCAUGGGCUGUGUUUUGGGUCAACAAGACGAAACCGGAAAGAAAGAGCACGCUAUCUACUAUUUGAGUAAGAAGUUCACUGAUUGUGAGUCCCGAUAUUCUGUACUUGAGAAAACUUGUUGUGCUUUAACUUGGGCUGCCAAGCGUCUCCGUCAUUAUAUGAUUAAUCAUACAACUUGGUUGAUAUCCAAGAUGGAUCCUAUCAAGUACAUAUUUGAGAAGCCAGCUUUAACUGGAAGGAUUGCUCGCUGGCAGAUGUUAUUGUCCGAGUAUGAUAUCGAGUAUCGCACUCAGAAAGCAGUCAAAGGUAGCAUCUUGGCAGAACAUUUGGCUCAUCAACCAAUCGAAGACUAUCAACCAAUCAAAUUCGACUUCCCAGAUGAAGAGGUUAUGUAUCUAAAAGCAAAAGAUUGUGACGAACCAGUGUUCGGUGAAGGUCCUGAUCCUGAAUCCGAAUGGGGUUUGAUAUUUGAUGGAGCCGUUAAUGUCUAUGGUAGUGGAAUUGGUGCAGUUCUCAUUACCCCUAAGGGUACUCACAUCCCUUUUACUGCAAGGAUUCGAUUUGAUUGUACAAACAACAUCGCAGAAUAUGAAGCUUGCAUCAUGGGUAUCGAAGAAGCCAUCGACUUGAGGAUCAAGAAAAUUGUCAUCUAUGGAGAUUCAGCUCUCGUGAUUAACCAGAUCAAAGGAGAAUGGGAAACUCGCCAUCCUGGUUUGAUUCCCUACAGAGAUUAUGCGAGACGAUUGCUGACUUUCUUCAACAAAGUAGAGUUACACCAUGUGCCCCGUGAUGAGAAUCAAAUGGCGGAUGCUUUAGCUACUCUAUCCUCAAUGAUCAAUGUGAACGGUCACAAUACUGUGCCAGUAAUCAAUGUCCAAUUUCUCGACCGACCUGCUUAUGUGUUUGUAGCUGAAGCAAUUGAUGAUGACAAGCCAUGGUAUCAUGAUAUCCAAGUUUUUCUUCAAACUCAAAAGUACCCACCUGGGGCAUCCAACAAGGACAAGAAAACAUUGAGAAAAUUGUCAAGCCGUUUCUUCCUUAACGAAGACGUUUUGUAUAAAAGGAACUUUGAUAGGGUCCUACUUAGAUGUGUGGAUAAGCAUGAAGCAGAAAAAUUGAUGUGCGAGAUUCAUGAAGGCUCUUUCGGAACUCACUCAUGUGGGCACGCCAUGGCGAAGAAGAUAUUGAGGGCUGGGUACUACUGGAUAACAAUGCACGCUGAUUGCUACAAUCAUGCCAAGAGAUGCCACAAAUGUCAAAUCUAUGCUGACAAGAUUCAUAUACCACCAUCUAUGCUCAAUGUCAUCUCUUCCCCGUGGCCCUUCUCUAUGUGGGGCAUUGACAUGAUUGGUCGGAUUGAACCAAAGGCUUCCAAUGGGCAUCGCUUCAUAUUAGUGGCUAUCGAUUAUUUCACCAAGUGGGUUGAAGCAGCAUCUUACGCCAAUGUGACCAAGCAGGUAGUGGUCAGAUUUAUCAAGAACAACCUCAUCAGCCGCUACGGUGUUCCCAACAGAAUCAUCACAGACAAUGGCACAAAUCUGAAUAACAACAUGAUGAAAGAGUUGUGCGAUGACUUCAAGAUUCAACAUCACAAUUCUUCUCCUUACAGACCACAGAUGAAUGGGGCAGUUGAAGCUGCAAACAAGAACAUCAAGAAGAUCAUACAGAAGAUGGUAGUUACUUAUAAGGACUGGCAUGAAAUGUUACCCUACGCUUUGCAUGGAUACCGUACCUCAGUGCGAACCUCGACAGGGGCAACCCCUUUCUCUUUGGUAUAUGGUAUGGAGGCUGUACUACCUGUAGAGGUUGAGAUCCCUUCUUUAAGAGUCUUGAUGGAAGCUGAAUUGUCUGAAGUUGAAUGGUGCCAGAGCAGGUACGACCAGUUGAAUUUGAUUGAGGAAAAACGUAUGGCUGCUUUGUGUCAUGGACAGUUAUAUCAGUCAAGGAUGAAACAAGCAUUCGAUAAAGGAGUCCAUCCCCGCGAAUUCAAGGAAGGAGAUCUUGUGCUCAAAUGUAUCAAAUCCUUUCAACCAGAUCCUAGGGGCAAAUGGACGCCAAACUAUGAAGGUCCCUAUGUGGUGAAGAGAGCUUUCUCUGGUGGUGCUUUAAUUCUUACAAAUAUGGAUGGAGAGGAGUUACCUCGUCCUGUGAAUUCUGAUGCAGUCAAGAAAUACUUUGUCUAAAUAUAUAAAAGAACAGCUCGGUAGGUCGAAAACCUGAAAGGGCGGCUUAAACCAAAAAUGAGCGUCUCGGUGGAUCGAAAACCCGAAAGGGCGGUCCAGGCAAAAAUUAGAGACAAAAAAAAAAAAAAAAAAAAAAAGGGGAAAUUAUCCUGAUAGAUCGAAAACCCGCAAGGGCGAUCUAUGCAAAAAUUAAGGAUCGAGACAAGUAACUGCAUCAGAUGAAACACCACUCGCCCGAGAUACCUUGACUGUCAGAAGUUCUCUAAUGUUGAAGCAUCCAAACUGUGGAAUUCAAAGUGGUUAGAAGUAUAGCGGUUAUUGUGUUCAAUGUGCCUAUCCCAUAUAAUUACCAUAUUCCAACUCUUUGUAAUCUGUGGUGCCAUGCCUUUAGCCGGUCACCUUUUCUAUUAAAUCAAUUUGAGCAUGUGCCCCUUUGUUGGAAUUCUUGUUUAUUCUAUGUGCAAAAAAUCUUUCUUUCGUUUUUAGUAUUAGUAUUUGAAGCAAAAAUUUUGAAAACUUUUCUAAAGAUUUUAUGUUUUCUUUCCAAAAAAAAAAAAAAAAAUGACAAACAUAUUAUCUUUAAAAACAUGUAUCACAUAAGUAUGUGUCAACAGUUGGUCCGAAACAAGCAGGUUCAACAAAGAAGAAAUAGUCAUUGCAAAAAAAAAAAAAAAAAAAAAAAAAAGAGGCGCCCUGGUGGAUCGAAAACCCGAAAGGGCGGUCCAGGUAAAAAUUAGGGGCAUACAAAAGAGAAAAAGAAAAAUGUCUCCCCGGUGGAUUGAAAAUCCGAAAGGACGAUCCAGGCAAAAGUUAGGGAUUUCAAAUAAAUACAAAAAGCAAUGACUAUUUAGACAAGACAGUACGGUGUUGCAUUGAUGAAAUGGCGACUUCUACCACAGUUUGUGAAGACUUACCUCAGCAGUAUGUUUAAGGGCUGUACCCUAACAAUGUUUGAUUCAUUCCCCGUGACUUUAUCCCCAUUGAAGGCUUUGAGUGUUCGUACAGUGAUGCCGGGCCAUUCUCCUCGUAGACCUGCCCAGUCCUGUCUCAACAAUCUUACCAUUACACCAUCAUAUGAGUCUCAUACAUAUUCAUUCAUUCAUGCAUACAUAGCACGCAUAUAAACACCAUCCAUACAUAGUUUCUUUUUUUUACCCAAUAUUUUGCUUCAUUAUCCUCAAAAUGGGUCUAAACUCAGGUAUGUUAUAAAACCAAUCAUGUUUCAAAGUGGCAGGUCUCGCCAGUAACCAGUCUAUACAGUUGCCCCAUCGUCUUCAGACAAUUUCAUUUUUCCCCUCAGGUGUAUCUUUGUCAAGUUAAUCCCCACUCAUAUCAAGCUUUACAAUGUCUUUACUUUAGCCACUCGUCGGCCCAUCAUGUCUUUAAUUUCGCCACUCGUCGGCCCGUCAUGUCUUUACUUUAGCCACUCGUCGGCCCGUCUUGUCUUUGCUUUAGCCACUCGUCGGCCCGUCAUGUCUUUACUUUAGCCGCUCGUCGGCCUGUCUUGUCUUUACUUUAGCCACUCGUCGGCCCAUCAUGUCUUUAAUUUCGCCACUCGUCGGCCCGUCAUGUCUUUACUUUAGCCACUCGUCGGCCCGUCUUGUCUUUACUUUAGCCACUCGUCGGCCCGUCAUGUCUUUACUUUAGCCGCUCGUCGGCCUGUCUUGUCUUUACCUUAGCCACUCGUCGGCCCGUCAUGUCUUUAAUUUCGCCACUCGUCGGCCCGUCAUGUCUUUAAUUUAGCCACUCGUCGGCCCGUCAUGUCUUUACGUUCGCCACUCGUCGGCCAAUCAUGUCUUUACUUUCGCCACUCGUCGACAAUCAUGUCUUUACUUUCGCCUUGAAACAAUGUUAUUAAACAUCAUCAUUUAUACUCCAGUCGUUUCAAGGUACCUCACAACAAUCGUAAGCAUUACCUAUCAUUUCUUUCCCCAGUGAUACCUAUCCAUUUGUCUCCCAGUCAGUCUUUGCAUCAUCUUUACCUUCAUGCUUAUAUCAUAUUCAGUCAUAUUAUCACAUUCAUCAGCAUCACAUCUCUGGCGUUUCAAAUGGUCCAAAAUUGGCGUUUUUAUAUAUUUAAGUCUCUCCGACCCUUUGGUUUAAAAAGUUCUCUUUUAAAACCUUUGUGACGAAGAAACUUAAAUAGGGGCAUCUGUCAUACCCCAAUUUUGGACCGUUUAAAAUCUCUUGUCCGUAUUUUAAAAUGGUUCACGUUCCCUUUUUAUUCGUUUUUUUUACCAUUUAAAAUUCGGGUUUCUUGUCUUUAGUCAUUCAAAAAGUUUUUAUUUUUACAUUUUAAUCAACGUUCGCAUUUCACAACAAUUAAAAACCGUCUCACUUUCGUUUUUACGACGCAUAGUUUUUUUUAUCGUAACGAUCACGUCAAAAAAGAGAAGGCCUAAUCGCUUUUUUUUAAAAAAAAGGCGUCUUUUCUUAUUAAUCAUUUCAAUCGAAAUUUCGGCAGGGAGGAUACUUUGAAGUACCUCAUGUCAGAUUCCGAAGGGACUUUUUAUUUUUUUAUUAUUUUUUUUAUUUUUAUUUUAUUAUUAUUUUUUUAUUUGUCUUUUUUAGUUUGUUUAUUAUUGUUUUAUUUUAUUAUUUUUAUUUUUUUAUAAAAAAAAAACACAACAAAGAAAAGAAGAAGACAUACGUCUUCCCUUUCUUCUUUUUCUUUUGCUUUUCUUUUUCUUUUUCUUUUUAUUCAUUCUUUUUAUUUUUAUUUAUUUAUUUAUUUGUUAAGCCUUUGUCCCCAAGUCUCAGCUGCAGGGGCAUUUUGGUUUUUGUUUUGUACCAGAGCCAACCCUAGUUUGUCACUAUAAAAACCCUGUCAAUCAUUGGGAAAUGGGCCAGAAGUCACUGUUCACGUCAAAAAAUCAGCAGCAAUUCACAAACACUCAUUUUCUACUUUUCCAACCCUUUUUCAGAUCAAACACUAAAAAUUACAAAGAAAUAACAUGAACACAUGAAGAACAUUCAUAUAUUCAUCAAAAUCCAGCAAUACCAAAACUUUACUAAAACCUCAAAACUAUUCAUAUAACCACACAAAUCACAAACAAGCAACCACAACACAACCGGACCGGAGCAACAACAACACAACCGGACCAGAGCAACAACAACACAACCGGACCGGAGCAACAACAACACAACCGAACCAGAACAGCAAGCAGGCCGAACCGGAGCAGAAAGCGGAACCGGACCGUAAGGGAGCAGAAACGAACCGGAAGGAAAGAAGGGGACCGGAAAAAGAGGUAAAAAUUUCACAUUUUCAUUUGUAGAUCUAGGAUUUUUGGUGUAUGGUUUCGAAAUUUUGAGCUUGGAUUCGAGUAGAGGAGGGGAAGAGGAGUAUUUUGAUGUAAAAAAUUUUCGAAAAAAGCAAAAAAAAACUCCGGCGCGGCGGCGCUCCGGCCGGCCACCACGCCGGAGUUGCUCCGGCCGCCCCUCCCCCACCUUCUUCUCCGGCGAGAUUCCUAGAGAGAAGUGGGAGCUUCUCUCUCUAGGUUUUUAGAAAGAGGUUUUUUUUGUGAUUUGUGUUAUGUUUUUUUGUUAAAACUCUUUUAUAGUGUUUCUUUUUUUGGUUUGAUCUUGUGCACAUGCGCAUACUGCAAUUCAGUGCUCCAUCGCGUUACACCCCUUGGAUCUGGAUCAUUCCUUGAUCUGAGGGCUCCUGUGUAUCUUGAUUUUGGAUCAAGUGGAUUUUCUUUCUGCGUGAGUAUGGUGUGGUUUCUGUUUGGACCAUCAGAUCGUUGAUCUGACGGUCACUGUGUUUUCAGUAUAAUCCCUUUGUUUCUAUGUUGUUUUUGUGACCGUUGGAUCUUAGAUCCUAUGGCUAUGAUGAAUCCAGGGGUUUGAACUUGGACCAUUGAUUUAAUCCAAUGAUCCAGAAUUAAUCCUGCUGAGCCAUUUGUUUAUUAUUUUUAUUUGUUAUUGUUUUUACUUUUUAAAUGCUG